GAUAAUGGCAGAAUUCUUUGUUUCAGAUCUUUGGCCUGGUCUUCCUUUUGUGGGUUUGGUUGAUAGGCUCAUGGGAAAAAUGGAUCGGGUAGAGAAAUGCUUCAAAAGUCUUGAUUCAUUUUACGAAGAACUCAUUGGUGAACACCUCGACCCUCAAAACCGAAAGUCUAAUGAUGAAGAAGAGGAUAUAGUUGACAUUCUACUCCGACUUAAGAAAGAUAAAGAAUUCAGUUUCACUUACGAUCACAUUAAAGGCAUGCUCGUGGUAAUCAUUACUUGCUCAUUUUAUCAAUUGCAUAAGAGCUCGUUUCAUUCGCAAGAUUUCUAUUAAACAUCAACUUUGAUUUUCAUAUGUCCCAUGGUAACCUAUCAUAACACAUGUUUGACAAAAUUUAAUCAUGUUUGUAUGUUUUUCUAAAAAUAUUAAUUAAUCCAAUCAAAAUUCAGAUAAAGUAUAUUUGAUAAUUUGUUAGAGCUUCUAGUGGCGAAACUAAAAAUUUUGAUAUUAAGGUACAAACAUGAUCAAGAUAUAUUUUAUGUAGUUAUCCCUUAAAUUAAAAAAAACAUGGUACAAUCGUUUUAUUUGGGUGAUACAAUAACAAAAAACAUAUAUAUAAAUAAUUUUUUUUAUAUAUAUAACAUAAUUCAUUGGGAUACCAUAGUACCCCACCGCCCCAAGUAACUCCGCUACUGAGAGCAUAUAUAUAUGCGCAUAAUCUAAUAGAAAAGUUGAGCAAAAUGAUAUGUCUAUUUGAUACAUAUUAAAUAAAUUAAACUCUAUCAUUGUGAGAUUUUAUUUAGUCUUCAAUAGAUAUGAAAUUAAAAUAUCAUUGAAGUCUUUAAUGAGAAAACCAAAUAUUUUUAAUUCUUAAAUAUAUGUUAGCUUAAUACAACAUAAUUUAUUUAUGAAAGAGUUAUAUAAAUAAUAAAAUAAUGAUGUAACAAUUUUGANNNNNNNNNNNNNNNNNNNNNNNNNNNNNNNNNNNNNNNNNNNNNNNNNNNNNNNNNNNNNNNNNNNNNNNNNNNNNNNNNNNNNNNNNNNNNNNNNNNNNNNNNNNNNNNNNNNNNNNNNNNNNNNNNNNNNNNNNNNNNNNNNNNNNNNNNNNNNNNNNNNNNNNNNNNNNNNNNNNNNNNNNNNNNNNNNNNNNNNNNNNNNNNNNNNNNNNNNNNNNNNNNNNNNNNNNNNNNNNNNNNNNNNNNNNNNNNNNNNNNNNNNNNNNNNNNNNNNNNNNNNNNNNNNNNNNNNNNNNNNNNNNNNNNNNNNNNNNNNNNNNNNNNNNNNNNNNNNNNNNNNNNNNNNNNNNNAUAUAUAUAGAGAGAGAGAGAGAGAGAGAGAGAGAGAGAGAGAGGCUCUAUUGAAAUUCAAAAAAAAAAGUUUGAGAUCAUGAGAUUCAACCUCAGUCAUAUAUUUUCUCAUGUGCCGCUCUAACGCUCCAGCAUACUGCCACGGUGAGAGAGUUGUUAUCAUAAAUGAUUAUGCAAUACUACCCAUUCCUUUUUCCCCGCCGCCUUCCCAACCACCACUGCAACCUUAGCCACUAAUCGACCCCAUUAAUACCACAUCCGUCAUCUGUACCACUGUCACCUUUGUCACCACCACCUCCUCUGUCACCAACCACCAUAAUCAUAUAUGAUUAAUAAAUUUGACAACAUACUUAUGUGCAUAAUCAUUUAUGAUUAGACAUAUAUGUAUAAAAAUGUAUAAUCAUAUAUGAUUAGAUCUUCUGCCAUAUAACAAUUUAUAAUUAGGCAUUAUCCUGCCCACCGGUAAGCUGGAGCGUUAAAAUGAUAAUGAAAAAUAUAUGGUUGAUGUUGAAUCUUAAGAUAUCUAUUUUUUCUAGAAUCUCAAUGGAACUGUCGUCUCUCUCUCUCUCUCUCUCUCUCUCUCUCUGUAUAUAUAUAUAUAUAUAUANNNNNNNNNNNNNNNNNNNNNNNNNNNNNNNUUAUUUGUCACAAAAAGCUUGUCACCUUAUGUUCGAGAUCGACUCUUUAAAAGCUUGACUCGAGAUCGAAUUAAACGAACUUGAGCCAAGCUCAAGCCUAAAAGUGAGGCUCGUUUCUUGAACGAGUUCGAGCCGUGCUUUAAUCAGUGAGCUCACGAGCUUAAAUGAGUUUAUAUAUAAUAUGAAUUAUUAUUAUUUUUAUAUGUUAAAAUAAAAAUUUAUUUGAGGAAUUAAGGAUUUAAGGUAUUAAUAAACGAGCUUCUUAACGAGCUUGAACCAAGUUAUUUAGCCUCAUUAGACAAAAACGAGCUAAUCUUGUUCCUGAGCCUACAUAAUUUUUACGAGUUCGAGCUGAUCUCCGUCCAAUAAAGAUCGAAUCGAACUGAGCUCAAACUCAAGCCCUUAUAACUUAAAAGAGCCCAGGCGGAGUCUGUCAAACUCGGGCUCAGCUUGGCUCGUUUACACCCUAAACAUAAGCAACCAAAAACAAUUUAUGGAUGAUUAUUUGUAACUUUGUAAGUAACUACCGUCUAAUUUAUAAAAUAAUCAAUUUUAAUGAUUUGGAAAAAAUAAAAAUAGUUAUUAAAUGAUAUUUCAAAUAGCGUAAUAACUUUCUCCACUAAAAUUCCCCAAAAAGUAAUGUCAUUAUUUUCUACUUAUCAUUUUAUCUAUGAUAAACCAAAACAAAAUCAUCUUUAAUAAAAUUCAAUUAAAAUUAUUUAUAAAAUUUUGCAAUAAUAAUUCUUUUUAAAAUAACACAACUGCUUUGAUCAUAUAUUAAUAAUAAAUUAAUAAAUUAGAAUAAUAAAGAAAAUAUAAUUCUUUUAAACCUCUUUACUUAUAUAGACAAAAAGUUUCAAAUUAUUUUUAAAAAUCGUACUAAAUGAGCCGACAUAAUAUCCUCUGAUUGUGUGGAAGACAAAUUGAGACUAUUUUUUUCCACUUGAAUAGAACCCUUAUUGGAUUUACAUGACAAUUCUGGAAGCCGCCAUUAUGCACGCGACUGUAAAUUUAUUGUUGUGUUUAUGAUGCAUCCAAGUCUAACGCACUGUUUUUUUUAUCUUCCGUGUAUCUAGUCAAUACAACCAAAACUACUACUGGAGGUUCAUAGAAUCUAAAAAAUGGCACUGUUGUUUCUAUUUCUUCUUGUGUGUGUUCCUCUCCAAUCUCUCCUCUAUUCUCUUUCAAAAAUCUUCAAAAACAGAUCUUGUUCAUGUCCACCAUGCCCUCAUGGACUACCUUUCAUCGGAAACUUGCACCAGAUCAAUUAUUCGAGCCUCCAUACUUUCCUAUGGCAACUCUCGAAAUCCUACUGCCCAAUCAUAUUUCUUCAAUUCAGUUUCAUUCCGGCUAUCGUUGAUUCUUCCGUGAGUGUAGCGAAAGAAGUCCGGAAAACCCAAUAUAUAUAUUUUUGCAAUAGGCCAUCAUUUGUUGGGCCAAAAAAAUUAACUUACAAUUACCUUGAUGUAACCAUUUCCCACUACAACGAUAAUCGGAGAGAUAUGAGAAAGAUUUAUAUGUUCCAUUUGUUGAGCCCUAAAAAAGUAGAAUCUUUUGGGUAUAUUCGUGAGACGAGGUCUCACGUACCAUGAAGAAGAUACAUGCGCUAGCUUUUUCGUUUAAUACCGUAAACUUGAGCGAAACUAUGAAGCAUGUGGACGUUACUUUAGUGACGAGAGUAGGCCUUGGAAGAGUUAUCAGGAUGAACAUGAAACAAAAGAGGUUCUUCGACUACUUAAUGAACUUCAAGGGAUAUAUAACGUCAGAAUUCAUUGUUUCAGAUCUUUGGCCUGGUCUUCCUUUUGUGGGUUUGGUUGAUAGGCUCAUGGGAAAUAUGGAUCGGGAAGAGAAAUGCUUCAAAAGUCUUUGAUUCAUUCUAGACAAAAUUGCAAAAAUGGUCCCUGUAGUAUGCAUUUUUUUGGGGUUUCAGUCGAGGACCAUUUCUAUAUAUUUCCACAUACAAAAGGAAAAAAUUAACAACAAAAAAUUAACGAAAGUUCGGAGGACCAUUUUUUUGGGGUUUCAGUCGAGGACCAUUUCGAGGCAUGGUCUUCAUUUUGUGGGUUUGGUUGAUAGGGGGUUAACAACAAAAAAUUAACGAAAGUUAAGUCGGAGGACCAUUUCUACAUACAAACUAGGCCAAAAGGACCAUGAAUCCAAAAAAGUCGAGGUUUGGACUGAAACCCCAAAAAAAUGCAUACCACAAAGACCAUUUUUGCAAUUUUGUCUUCAUUCUACGAAGAACUCAUUGGUGAACAGCUCGACCCUCAAAACCGAAAGUCUAAUGAUGAAGAAGAGGAUAUAGUUGACAUUCUACUCCGACUUAAGAAAGUUUCACUUACGAUCACAUUAAUUAAAGGCGUGCUCGUGGUAAUCAUUACUUGCUCAUUUUAUUAGUUGAAUAAGAGCUCAUUCGUUCACAAGAUUUCUAUUAAGCAUCAACUUUGAUUUUCAUAUGUCUUAUCAUAUUUUGGAGGAAUUAGGUUUACGUUGGAGAUUUGGAUACCCCUUGGAUCGUAUAAACACUUUUUGAACUGAGAUUUCUACCUUAUAUAUAGGUUGGAAGAAAUUCAGUUUAGGAUAAUCCAAGAAGACAUUUAUGAAUCUAGACACAGAAAUUGUAAACUGAAUUGCUAGAAUGACUCUAUGUUCAUCUGAAAAAUAGAGAGCUAAUAGUUGUGUGUCUCUUUUCAUAGAGAAUAAUCGUUUAUAUAAUAAACGAGAUUUUGAGUUUGCCUCUUAGGGUUGGCUGUCAUGAGUUGCUUUGGAAGCAAGUCAGAAAAUACGGAAUUUAAUGAGAAAAUCAAGAGUUUCCAAAACUGACAAAUUUCUUCAGUUUUACCAUAAUCGCCCUCAAGAAUUCGAUUUUUCCACUAUGUUCCUAUAUGCAAGCUAGAAUUCGAAUUUCGUCAGUUUUACACCUUGGAUCGUGUGAACACUUUUUGAACUGAUAUUUUUACCAUAUGGGUUGCAAGAAAUUCAACCUAGGAUAAUCUAAGAGAACACUUAUGAAUCUAGACACAAAAAUCGUAAGCCAAAUUGCUAGAAUGAUUCUAUGUUCGUCUGAAGAAUAGAGAGCUAAUACUUGUGUGUCUCUUCUCAAAGAGAAGAUUCGUUUAUAUAAUAAAUGAGAUUUAGGGUUUACCUCUUAGGGUUGGCCGUCAUUGGUUUCUUUGGAAGCAAGUCAGAAAAUCAGUAAUUUAAUGAGGAAAUCAAGGGUUUUCAAAAUUGACGAAUUUCGUCAGUUUUACCAUAAUCCCUCAAGAAUUUGAUUUUUCCAUUAUGUUCCCAUAUGCAAGCCAUGGGCUCUUCCCCUUGGACCCCUCUAUGGGCGUUUCCCCUAGACCUUGCCAAAGGGGCGUAUCCUUUUUGGAAACCCCAAACUUAGGGGCGCUGCCCCCGUACCCUCGAAUUGUCGUCGAACAAACUUCUAAUUCGAUCUUAUAAAUGCAUGCACUUCGUACAAACUCGUACAUAUAUUAGAGUAUGAAUUAUGAAGCCCCUUAGCUGACAUAUUAGUUCCAAUUACAUAAAAUGACAUGAUGACACUAAAAUCACCAACAAUGCUCCCCCGUUUUGGUGUAACCCUUGAACAAACAUAACUUUAUCAAAACAAAACCAAACUGGUACAUAAUGAAAAUAUCAAAACGAUUGAAUUUCCACUUAGUAUCAUUGUAACGACCUAAAAAUCACGACUAAAAAUUUCUUUUAAAACAUUACUAAAACCAUAUUUAUAAAAACGUAUCAUAAGUCAUAACAUAAUUUUCGAGUAUUAAAUUCAAACCAUAAUCUCAUUAUCAGAGUAAAACAUUCCCCAGGCUAACUGACUAUGGUGUGUGCACUGCAACCUCUCCAAGCUCCUCUUUUGAAAACUGAGUACCUGAAACCAAAACUGAAAAACGUAAGCACGAAGCUUAGUGAGCUCCACCAAACUACCACAUACCAUACAACAUAUAAAGCACAUACUAGGCCUUGCCCACUGCAUCGGACCGAGGUUCGGACUAACUGGGGCCUUGCCCCCUACAUCGGACCGAAGUCCGGAAACUGACUGUGACCUUGUCCCCUGCAUCGGACCGAAGUCCGGACUAACUGGGGCCUUGCCCCCUGCAUCGGACCGAAGUCCGGAAAACUGACUGGGACAUUGUCCCCUGCAUCGGACCAAAGUCUGGACUAACUGCAUCGGACCGAAGUCCGGAACUUACUGAACAUAACAUAGCAUAAGCACCUAUCAACUAGCAUAAACACAUAUACUGCAUACGGCAUCGGGUCGUGGCCCGGAACAAAUAACACAUAAAUCCUGUCUGAGCCACGAAGGCAUCAAACAUACUAACUACUGAAAUAAAAAUAAAAUAAAAAUAGAGGGUUGUACCAACAAGUCAUCGAGAUAGCCUUUUCACACGGAUCGCCAGCGUGGCAAGGCGACGACAUGUCGUCAGGGUAUAUCUCCUAAAAUGGCAUCGUUUCUUCUUUCUACACCAUGGAAUAAAAAUAAAUGUAAAUUACAUUUAUCGUGACAUAUACCAACAACAUGUCGUUGACAUAGAAUUUCAGAAGACCGCGUAAAGUUUUCGUUUCCCGCCGAAGUUGUGCCGACAACAUGUCGUUUGCAUAACGUUUCCGAUAAAACUAAAUUGGUCACAGUUGUCAAAAGCUCUGCCAACGACAUUUCAUUGGUAUAGCAUUGCUUCUAGGGAUGACAUCUGUUGUCGGGAUAGGUGCCGUCCCAUAGAUAGUUAUUCUUGUAGUGUAUAUUGAUGAACUAAAUUCAAUGAAGUAAUUUAAUUUGUCGUGUGUGUGUGUGUUUAUAUAUAUAUAUAUAUAUAUAUAUAUAUAUCAUUUUGUGGUAAUUUAAAACUUAAUUUAUAACUGAUAAACUGUUAUCUAAAAGUAUAUGACAACCUGCCCCAAGAGCAAGUGAGUGGUAUGGAUUCAGUAAUAUGUUUUCUAAUAUACUUUAUAGAGGAUAUGUAAAUUAUUGCAUGUGAUAGCAGGGGUAGAGUGGGUCUACUUAAUAGUAGAAGGAUAACCAUAAUUCCAACAAUCACCACUCACAUGAAAAUAAUGAAACGUAGUCUACUUCAUCAAUGUGAUUUAAUUUUUCAUGUAUAUUUAAACUUGUUAUGCCUUUGCGUUUAACUAAGGUAUUGUUUAGGAUCUUUAUUUAUAGCAGAUUAACCUUUCACUCUCUGCUUUCUUUGUUCUAACGUCUUAUAUUGUUGUUGUUGUUGUUCUCGUGUUAGGAUAUCUUGGCAGCUGGGACAGAUACUAGUGCCGCUACAGUGAUUUGGGCAAUGACGUUAUUAGUGAACAACCCCAAUGUAAUGAAGAAAACACAAGAAGAAGUGAGAAAUGUAGUUGGAAAGAAAGGUAGAGUUGAUGAGGAUGAUCUUUCAAAGCUCACAUAUUUGAAGGCAGUUGUAAAAGAGACCUUGAGGUUAUAUCCUCCGGCUCCUCUUUUAGUACCUCGAGAAAGUCAGAAAGAUGUCAGUUUACAUGGCUACAAAAUCAAGAAAAAAACCGUAGUUUACGUGAAUGCAUUUGCCAUUGGAAGGGACCCAGACGCUUGGGAGAACCCAGAGGAGUUCUUACCAGAAAGGUUUUUGGGUAGUGAUAUUGAUUUUAGAGGGAAUAAUUUUGAGUUCAUUCCAUUUGGAGCUGGUCGAAGAAUUUGUCCUGGAAUCUCGAUGGGUGUUGUCACAGUGGAGUUAUUGCUUGCGAAUCUUGUUUACUUGUUUAAUUGGGCUUUGCCUGAUGGGAUGAGGAAGGAAGACUUAGACUUUGAGGCGAUGGAAGGAAUAACCAUGCAAAAGCGGAAUGAUCUUUGCCUUGUAGCUCAUAUAUACGCCUGAAAUAUUCUAUUAAGCAUGAUUUAGUGGUGAUCACUUUGUAUCAAAUUAACAUUUCAAAAUAUAGUCGGGUUAGAUUCGACUUAUAUAGGCUUCAACCUUAGGGUGGCUUACUGUUAAAAAAAUAAACUUGUAAAAUAUACUUUUCAUCAUUAAUAUUUCGUAGAUUAUAUUUUAUUCUAGUUAAAUAAUGUAUGAUAUGUUACAUGUUUAAAACGUUUCAAAAUAAUAUUUCCUACGUUAUAUUUUAUUCUAGUUAGCUAGUAGCUAUAGCUUGUUAAUCUUUAAUUAGAGUUAGAUCAAUUGAUUAAAUGUUGAUUUUGUUUUUCAUUUUCAUCAUGUGUUGUUUCCUAAACCAGUGAAAUAAAGAUGUAUUAUUUAUAUUUGUGUUUUUUUCCCUCUUAGUUCUUUUUAUUUUUUUUUUUAAUUUUUUUUUUACUUUUAUGUUUUUAUCAUGAUUUUUUUAAUAACGAAAAGGAAAGACAUAAAAGUUAAUUUUUUAAUUUUUUUUUAUUUUAUAUAAAAUAGGCUAAUCUAGAAUAUAAUUACUUUAGUGGCAAUAUUUUUGUUUUUUAUUCAUUCAUUUACAAAUAAAUAAAUAAAUAAAAUGAACAUGUAUAUCAUUCAUUUUGGUUAUUAAAAAAAUCAUGAUAAAAACAUAAAUGUAAAAACACAAGACAAAAAAAAAACACAAAUAUAAAUAUUACAUCCUUAUUUCACUGGAAACUAUAAAUAUUACAUCCUUAUCUAACUCUAAAGAUUAACAAGCUAUAGCUACUAACUAGAAUAAAAUAUAAUAUACAAAAUAUUAUUUUGAAACGUUUUAAACAUGUAACAUAUUGUAUAUUAUUUAGCUAGAAUAAAACAUAAUGUAUGAAAUAUUAAUGAUGAAAAUUAUAUUUUACAAGUUUAUUUUUUUUAAUGGUAAGCCACCCUAAGGCUUAAGCCUAUAUAAGUUGAAUCUAACCUGAUUAUAUUUUGAAAUGUUAAUUUGAUACAAAGUGAUCACCACUAUAGUAUGAUUUACUUUAGGUUUUAAAUUUUACCCUAUAUUUUUAAGUUUAUUUGAUAUAUUAAUUUAGGUUAUGUAUUUAACAUUAUAUUAAAGUUAUUGAUAAAUCAAGAAGUCUUACAUUUAUGAUAAUAUUAAUAAUUAAUAACAUAUUUACGUUAGAAAAUAUAUUAUAGGGAAAUAUGAAAAGUUUGGAGUUUUGAAUUGAUGUUGUGAAAGGAAAAAUGUUUCUUUAUAAGUAUAGUAUGAUAUGAUAUAUAUAUAUAUAUAUAUAUAUAUAUAUAUAUAUAUAACUUAUGAAAACCAAAGUUAGCAAAUUAACAGUCAUAAUUAUUAACCAAUGAUUUUCAUACAUUUAAUAAUUUAUAGAUUAUUUAUCUGCAAGUUACAACGAUUGAUUCAAAUUAAUAUGUAAACUAUUUUUCAAUAUUUUCUAUCAUUAAAUUCCAUAACCACAUUUCCUCAAUUAUUUGUUACUUCCUGGUUAGUAACUAUGUCCAACAUCACAAUGUAAUUACAAUACGAUUGCUUCAAGUUGUUAAAGAAUUGAUUCCUUAAUGUUCUAAUAAUUCAUAGUCCAAGUGUUUAAUCAUCAAGUCCCAAAUAGCAACGUAAUUUGAAACUGAAACUUAUUCCCUUUUCAUUAAGUUAACUUCAUUCAAGAAUAAACUAACGACACAAAUAUCAAAAGCACAAGAAUGACAAUAACAACUUUAAUAAAUUCUAGUCAAAUAAACUUCAUAAUCAAUAUCUAAUCUAAACUACAACAACUUAUCUACCUCUACUAUAGUCAUACUUGGAUGUUCAUAAGAUGAUUUCUUUUCACUUUAUAUCUUCUAGGCAAGGAUUCAUAUAUAGGAGUUUAACCUAACACGGUUGAACUUUGACUGAAUGUAUAGCUAGUGGGUCCUCUUCAGGUUCUUGAUAGGCCUAGGGGUUUGAUUCUUGGUUUAUAAGAAAAUAAUAUAGAUCAUACACGCCAUCUGAAAUAGCAGGAAAAAAAUAGUUUUAGUUCAUUUCUUUUUCCCAAUUAAGUGCUAUCCGGAACAAUGAGGCAUAUACCAAAUUUAGGCCGAACAAUAUCACAUAAACAAAACUAAUUAGAACAUAAGAAGCACCAAAAACAAAGAAAUGAAAGAAACACAACCAAAAAACUACACCGGGAGCUAAGAAAAGCAAAACACUUCAAUAAAUUUUAGUCAAACAUAUAUCUUAAUCCCUUAUAAUGAUAAUUAAAAACAAACAUUCAAAUAUUAAAAAAAUUGGAAUAGGAUUAUUCAACGUGAAUAAAACCAAAAAUCAAGAUUACAUAAUCAUAAAAUAAUUUGGUCUUGAUCACUAAAACUCUGUCAUGGGAUUAUCUUAACAUAAAAAUCACUAACCGAGAUACAACAUAUCAUUCAAUCAGCUAAAAUCAACUCAAGAAUUAUAAAAUUUAGUCUAAAUGAGCCUAUAAUUGUUCAUUAAAUUAUGAAAUUGUCAUAGAUGAUUAAUAUAAUUUUAACUAUUUAUUGCCAUAUUACCAAUCUUGGUGGCCUUGCAUCCCCGUUUUUAAUAAAUAGCCCCUUCGGUUUGAGUUUUAAAGUUAUCAAUUUGGGAUUCUAGCUCAAACACUUGAUUCAAGUGAAAUUAUAUUUGAAGACAAUAUCCAAUUUGAAAUUCUAGUUAAGACUUCAAACUAAAAUUAUAGUUCCAAACUAUAUUUUGUAACUAAUCUCUAGUCUCCGACUUGACUUUAUACUUUGGAUCGUACAAACAAUCAACAAAAUGUGUUUCUUAAUAAAAACAUAAAAGAACAUGGGUUGAAUAAACAACGACAUGUGCAAGUUUGAAGACAUGAAGAGAAAAUCCAAAAAAUUAGAAGAAAAAGAAGGUUUGUAUCGGAUCAUAUAUAGUUUUUUGAUAGAUCAUGUAUAGGUUUUUUAUUGUAUAUUUUUGUGAAGCUCAGAUCGAUGCCCAUUAAACCUAACUGCCUAUGAAACAAUCUUAAAAACACUUCCAUGUGUAGCUUCUUGAACCUUCGGUUACACAAACCAUGAAGUAAUUCUAAAUGAUUACCUAAUUUUGAAUUUUUCAAGCACCAAGCAUUACAAAACAGUUUUACGAACUCGUAUAAAGAGUUGUUUUGCAACAUCAGAUAGACCUUUUAACCUGAAACAAAUUUUUUGAUGAAUCAAAUACCUAUAAAAACAUAUACCAAACAAUUAGUCCUUACGUACAAUUAAGAUCAGAAAGGAUAAAAAAUGUAGGUCAUGGAAGAAUCAAGAAGAAGAUUACUAGAGAAAUUAUGGGUAUCCCAAAGAAGGAUUAUAUGAUCAUUCCAUUGAAAACAUGUUGAUUUCAACCUCCAACUUCCAUUCCAACAUUGAAAUUAGAUUAAAUUAAAGUUAGAUCAACUGAUACAUUAAUUGAAAAAGACUACAAAACAACUACAAAAUAUUAAAAAAAUAAUAAAAUUAUGAUCAACUUGAGCACUUUGCUAGUCUGAUGGCAUGUUGAUGCUUACUAAAAGUGAUGGAUCUUUCCAAAAACAAAUAAAAUCAAUCGAUACAUACCCAAUUUACUGAUUGCUACUUGUUUAAUCACUCCCCGUGUUGUAACAACAACAUGCCUUUGUGUAAUACUUGGUAAUGGUAUAUGAAUGGUUUUUGACAACAAAUCCUAGUCAUCGGAGACAGUAAAAAUCGAUUAGCACAUUAGAAAAGACGAUUUAAGGAAAAAACUGAAACAUCCCAAAAAUUAAUAGGUAAAAAUUUCGUUUUUAAUUCAACCGAAACACCAAUUAUAUUUUAUUUAAACAUUCAAAAGUAUUUCAUAAUUAAACAGUCACCAGACUACAAUCCCAAAAUCAUCAUGUUGCGGAAACAUGGAUGGAUGCGUUGCGAUCAAGUAGGAUCCUUCCCUUUCGAACCGGAAGUAUCUGAAACCAUAACCAUAAAAACGUAAGCGCAAAGCUUAGUGAGUUUCCCCAAAAUACCGCAUACCAUACAUACCAUUGGGUCUAGCCCUCACAUUAGGCCCAACCCACACAUUGGCCUAACCCACUAUAAUGAGCCUAGCCCUGCCAAACCAAUGGGCCUAGCCCGAUCUGCUGGGUUUUGGCCAUAAGAACAUCCUAUGUGCUCAUACAAACCCUAAUGCUUGGAUCUAGGUUUCUCUAUUGUACAUACAAUUCAUCCAAGACUUUAAACCCUAGUUCUAGCAUACAAGUAAUCAUAUUAACAUAAGAAUGGGUUUAAGUUAUUACCUUUAUUGUUAUGUAGCAAUAACAAUCUCAAAUCCUUCUUGUAUUGACUUUAGAAAGCUUAGAGUCACAAAUGUCACUCCUCUAAUGGUUCACAAACACCAAGAGCAAGAGGAUGAGGAGGAGAAGAGAAGGAGGCUGCCCAAAAGCGUGUGGAAACCCUAACCAAUUAGUUCAUCACGUUUUUGGGGCUAUAGGGUCCUUUAAAUAGUGAAGCUAUUAGGGUUAUCUAACAAGGAAACCCUAAUUUGGAUGCUUAGGCCCUAAGCAACCCAUGGGCUCCUUCCUUAAAGGCCUAGGACGAUUUCUAAUGGGUUUCCCCAUAGAAUUCGUCCACCCCUUUAAUAUGGAGCCCAUUAGCUCAAUAUUCAACUAUCAUAUAAUUGACAGUUCUAGUCCCUUAAGUUUAAUUAAUCUCAUUUAGUCACAAAACUAAUUACUAAUUAAUUCUUGACUAAUAUUAAUUAAACAAUAUGAUUUCUCCUUUAAUAUAUUAUCCUCAUAAUAUAUUAAUAAAUCAUAUUUAAUCCUUUCUCUCCAUAAUUCAUCCUAUCAAGUUGCUUUGGUGAAGGCAACCCAAAAGGACCAUGCACCAUCGGGUCAAGUACAUACCAAAAUAGUUAUGGACUUAGACACUAAUCCAACAGUCUCCCACUUGGAUAAGUCUAAUAACUAUUCUGCGUAUGACUUCGGAUCCUGAUCUGCAAUCGUAGCUUUCCAAAGCCGCUGUCAACUCUGAUCAUAUCAGAUACGCGUGUCCUUAGAUAAGGGAUCAUAUAUUCCUCCAUUCUAGAUAUCAUAUGAGAUAUGAUUUCAAAUCAUUCUCUUUGUACUAUAUCUCGAUUCCCGAUUUAUGACGACUGACUAAUUGAACAAAUCAAAUUAGCCCUAGCCCGGCCGAGCAUUUACGUUUGUCAUCACUAAAUCAUCGAGGGGCCCAAAGAUAUCGCUUUUAUCCUACUUUGGAUAAAAGGAACGGAUAAACUUUGAUACAAUGCUUGCUUGCACUCACUCACCGAAUCACACACAACAAUAUGUUUUAUAACACCAAGUUACUAGUGCGUUUACAUAUUAUCAAUGUGCAACCGAUUUGCAAGAUACAACUCACACAUCUCGGUUUCAAGAAUAUAAGAUGUUAUCGUCUCACCAAUCACUCGUGAUACAAUUCAUGGAGUGAUCCAAGUGAGCGUGGGUUUAAUCCAAUGCUCAAAUCAUAUUCAUAAGCACUCAUGAACGUUGCAGCAAACAUUUGCUUAUGUCUAAUACUCUUUUAGACAAUCCACACACCAAUUCACGACAGUCUUCAUUCAUAUCUACUUCCAACAUAUGAACGACUGUGGCCCGUUUGAAUAAUUCGAUUAUUCUUAAUAAACUCAAUUAUUCUGGAAGUCAAAACAUGCAAAUGUGAAACACAAGAAUAAUACUAAUCCCAUAUGGCCUCAAACCUUUGAGUAUAAAUAAAACACCUUUUAUUUAUCACCAUAUUGAUUACUCAUUAUUUGUCGUUUCGGGUAAUCAACUUCUUACUUGAAUUCCAACACUUGUCCCAUGCUCCUAGCAUGCACACAAUGUUUACCUAUGGUUCUUACUUUGUGAAAUAGAUCACAUUGAACACAUUUCCAAUCCUUCUCAUUUCACAACUCCAAAUCCCUUUUUCAUAAGUGAAAGAAUAUCAAAUUCUUGCUACUUAUAGAAUAUGCUAGAUUCUAACAUUCUAUGCAACUAUCCUUUCGUAAUGUCACUGCACCAAAGUCACAAAGACUAUUGCCAAUGAUAUUACAAAGUCCUCUAUCGGAGAUUGUUACAAGACAAUUCCAUAGACGUGAUGUCUCUCACUCAAAGUACAUUCUUUGAACAUCCUUUUGCAUAGAAGUUUCUAAUCUAGUCAUAGAUUUCUCAAUAUUCAAUUCCCAAUAUGGACACACUUCCAUAUGUUCCAUAUGACAACUCAUUCUUAAUAGAAUCUUAUCUAUUCGUAAUGAUGUCGAUAUGGUCCAUCCAAUAUGGAAACAUUUCCAUAUUUUCCAAUACUAUACUUCCAACUACUCACAAGCGACCAAUCCUCGUCGAACUUUGGAUUGUCCUUUGAUAGUUGUUUAAUUAUUUUAGUCAAAACCAAUUCUAGUCCCUUUUCCCUCUAAAUGCGCUCGACAUUUGGAAAAUUUUAGAAUGGUCAAACAUUAAAGCAUUUGCAAUCGAUCCUAUACCCGAAGCGUAUGGGACACGACGCAUAAUGUUUUAUUUGCUAUGUUCUCAAAAUUCGAAUUGUGAAGAGGAAUGCCGUAAUCAUAAUCGAAAUUUUAAGAACACACUAUGUACCUUUGACUAAAUUUAUUAACAUUUCUCAACCUAAUCCUUUAGAUUUGAAAUGAAGCAUAAUAUUCUCUCCCUUAAUUAUAGCAAAACAACUUUACAACCCUUACGACUUUGCAAGGUAUAACUCUUGUUUUCUAUAAUUAAUAUUGCCAACUUGCAAUACGUGCCUUAAUAAUCAUACAAUCAUAACAUUUAUGCUCCCACUAUCAUGAUGAUUAUUAUAAAACAUAACACUUAUGCUCCCACUAGCUUCGACAUGUAUUCAUAAACAUCUUAACUUUCAGAAAAACAAUACUUAUUGAAUUUCUUAAGUUCAUGUUUCUAAUACUUAGUGCUUUGAUAAUCUUUUAUCAAGGCUUCUUGAACUUAUACACCUUUGCCUUCGAUAGUUCAUAUGUGUGUCUAAACAAUUAAGACUAAUUGCCAAACCUCACAAUUCAAAUUAUGGAAAGGGAUACCGUAACCAUAAUCGAAUUCGAGAAUGCAAUUUUACAAUCACUAUCUUCUUAAAAUCUUUCUUAGUGAAAGCAUUUCCUCACAAUCAUUUUCAUGAAGGAGGAAAUCUUAUGACACUUAGAUUUAAACGGUGUAUGUGUUCCUAUCCAUGUGAAUUUGUUAAAACCAAAGUUUACGACAAAUUCAAACUCAUAUGGACCGAACUUUCUUAAUCUUGAUUUCUUGCCUUAUGGUAGCACAGCUGCCCACCAUGUCUUCCAAGUAGUUAAGCAGCUCACCCUUUCCUAUCAAUGUACCUUUCAUUGAUUAAGGUGCUUUGCCUUUUAUGCGUUCAAAAUGAGAACUCAUAGAACUCACAUGCAUAAUUAACUCGAUUGGAUUGGCACAGAAUCAAAAUAAUGUCAACACGAUAGGUUGUAAACCUCAACUCGUGUGCUAGUGAUGAUCGAUAAGGUUUAUUUGAUUUGUUCUUGAAACCUUUCAAGACCAUUAAGACUCCCACUGACUCCUUGACAUAUAAGAUUCUCUUGUCAAUAAACAUUUCUUGACAAACAAAUAUUCAAGAGUUAGUGUAGCUUUUAUCAAAACACUUCAUAAAUUGGUCCUAGUUGGUCUUUGUCUUAUCCAAGACAUCACAACUUUCCACAUUUGAUGAAUGUUAUAAACCUUCUUAAUACUUAUCACUCAAUGUCACAAUCUUAACUCUAAGACUUGUUUUGGAACGAAGUAUGAUUGACUUCUUGAUUUAACCAUUUCUUCAAUUCUUGAUUCCUCUUCUUAGACAUACAAUUGUACUAAGACUCACUUAGAGGAUCAAUUGAGAUAUGGUUCUUAAUCAUUAAGACCUAUCAUAAAGCAUAAAAGGUACUCUCCCUUCUUCUUAGAAUGGAGAAACUUUUAUCUUUCUGCCUACUUGAUUCUUCUUAUUCGUUCUGCUAUUGAUUUAAACUUUUUCAAUCAAUUCAGAAUUACACUUAAUCUUAUAAGUAUAAUCAUAUUUACUAAACCUUUAGUAAAUCAUGACGAAUAUCUUUGUUACUCUUAUGGUGGACUUGAUCAACACGCAACUUUGUGUACUCGAUCUCCUAGUCCUUCACUUGACACUUUGUCAAUGAAUUAGUCUAAUUUCCAAAUAUGAAAUUUCUCAUUCAUCGUGCAACCAAGUUGCAUGAUUCCAAGUUUCUGUCCAAUUGAAACUUGGGCGAUGAGAAACUCUCCCUAUUUGGUAAACUCUCGACUUUCCAUAAAUAACAUAAUAAGAACCAAAUCCAUUAUUGCUAAUAAUAGAAACAUUCAAACAUCAAUUUUUCAUAUACGCCAUUGCAAGGAUAAAUAAAUAAUAUAAAAUCAAAAUUUAUUUUAUUGCGGAAAAAAUUUGUCCUUACAAUGCAAUUCAUUGAAAAACUAUGCUAAUACAUCUUUCUUAGCAAUCUAAUUCUAACUCUAAGUAGUAGCUCAAGAAUCUAAUCUUCGAGAAAUGCGAUCGAAAUCCAUUCCUUCACGGUUAGAUUCUGCUCACUUCUUCCCUUAAGCUUCCUUUCUUUUCUUCGAUCCUACAAAACAUCAAUUGUAAUCUUAUCACAUUAUGUAUUAAGAAUCUAGAAUAGAAGCUUAAAAGAGUUAGUUAAUGGAUUUUACCUAUAUUAGAGCCAUACGUUUCGACUCUCCCAUCUCUUAGAUCUCUUAGGUAAAUGGGGCAGCUUCGUCUCCAAUGCCCUUUCUCUUGGCAAUAAAAGCAAAUUGACUCUUUUGGAACAUGACAUGGAACUACUUCAGACAUUGCCUUUCUCUUAUGAUCAAACUUUUCGAUCAUAGCAUGUCUUUCGUUGCCAUUGUCUAUAUCCAUAGAGGUCUUGAAGGCAGAUUCACCAAUCAACUUUGCUUUUCUAUUGCGCCAAACCAUUGCUGAUUCAGCAGCAAUAAGCAUAUAGGUGAGAUCUAUAAGGGUCACGUCGCGGUUCAUCAUAUAGUACUCUCUUACGAACUCACUAUAUGAGUUAGGAAGUGACUGAAGAACCCAAUCAACAGCCAUUUCCUCACAGACAACGGAUCCCAACAUUCUUAACCUAUCAAUGUGUGACUUCAUCCCUAGGACGUGUGCACACACCGACUUUCCUUCUUUAUGUUUACUUGCCAAAAGGGCUUGAGUGAUCUUGAACUUUUCAAGCCUUUGAACUUGUGGGUUAGGGAGAAUAAUUGGAGGAGGAGGAGGAAGUGAAGCAUGAUUUCUUGUUCCUCGAUCGAAUCGUGGAAUAUCAUCUUCAUGUGGAAUGCUUGUUCCACGGGAUUUGGGAAGACCAUAGUUGUCGAACUUUGACAUCUACAAAACGGGAGAAAACGAAUUCAAGUUAGUUGAUUGAUUGAGUCCUUAGUAAAUCACCCAAAUGAGAUACUAAGGCUAGGACCCAACACAAUAUUCUACAACUCGGGAGAGGGAUGCCGUAACCCUAAUUGCAGAAUAUUUGAAGGUAAGUGAAUGACGAUUCACUAAUUUCCACCAUGAAAAACGAAAAAGAAAUUUAAGUUUUAAAUCUAUGAAAACUCCUAGAUCCUUUGAGAUUCAUUGAACUUUCAAUGGCAUGUUUAAAUCUCGAUAUGCCCCUCUUGUUUGUGACUGGGAUGCCGAGGAUCACAAAGCGGGUGUGAAUAACCAUGCAAACUUACAUGGUGCCCUCACAUGUUACAGUCACCUAUUCGAUGUGCCGGUAAACCACACACGCUCCACCGAACUAUGACAAACAUUGAGUCACCCUUUGCUACCUUUGCUUAGAACCAUUUAGUGUGCCGGUAAACCACACACGCUCCACUAACGUCUUCGCAAGGGCACAAAGUGUAAUUUCAUGGAAUUGCAUCAAUUCACUUUUGCCUAAGUAACUAAGAUUGGGAAUUUGUAAAACAUUUAGUUACUUUUGUACUUCAUUAUACUUAUAAUGGAAGGUUUUGUCCUAUCCUACCCGUUCGGCUAACGACCCUCCACUAGUCAAGAGUGCGGUGGGUAAGAGUGGAUACCCAUUCAAUCGCCAUUUUAUAGGCAAUUUCCUUAAACACCCCUUAUAGACCAGCUUCGUGAAUGAGGCCUACUAACGGUAAGACUGACUUUUACUCAUACAUAUAUAUAAUGUUAGACUUUUAAUGUUAUAUAUAGUAUAGAGUGUAUUUUACACUUUUAAAAUACUAGGUGGUCAAAUUUAAAAAAUACUUUUAAUUUAAUUAAAUUGUAAACCAAAACUUUAUGGAUUUAUUAAACCUCUUUUAAUUAUACACCUUAAUUAAUUAAUAAAACCAUAAGGGUGUGAUUUGAACUUUUCAAAACAAUACUAGGGUUUUAGAAUUUAACAUUCCUAAAUUAAACCUUUUAAUCAACUUUUAAAUCCCAAAACUUGAGGGCAAGUUUUGAAACCUUUUCAAAACAUUAGGGUUUAGAAUUUAAAUAUACAUCAAAAUUAAACUUUUAAUCAAAAUUUAAAUUCCAAAACUUGAGGGCAAGUUUUGAAACCUUUUCAAAACAUUAGGGUUUCAACUAUUUAAAUUUCAAAACAAAACUUUUAAGUUCAAAUUUAAACUAUAAAACCUAAAGGGGAAAAUUGAACUUUUCAUACAAGAUAAUUCAAAUCUAAAUUAAAAAUAAUCAAACUUUAUUUAACAAAACAAGUGAUUAUCUAAAAUUUGACAAUUAUCUUCUAUUUAGGUAAGGAUAAUCACCAAAUAUUGAUAAAAUUCGGAUUUUAUAACAAAAACAUGUUUAUGGUAAUUAUCCAAAGCCAAAACAGGAAGACAAUCGCGAAUAUGAGUUGUCAGACCCUUUGACUCGUCGAGUCUGGACCUGGACUCGUUGAGUACAGCUGACUCGGCGAGUCAAACACUCAGAAGCUUAAAAAAUCCAUUUUCAGAGCUGAUUUCGAUCAAAUAUGCAUCAAUACAAUAGAAACCAAUCAAGGCUUUGAUACCACUGAUGGGUUUUGGCCAUAAGAACAUCCUAUGUGCUCAUACAAACCCUAAUGCUUGGAUCUAGGUUUCUCUAUUGUACAUGCAAUUCAUCCAAGACUUUAAACCCUAGAUCUAGCAUACAAGUAAUCAUAUUAACAUAAGAAUGGGUUUAAGUUAUUACCUUGAUUGUUAUGUAGCAAUAACAAUCUCAAAUCCUUCUUGUAUUAACGUUAGAAAGCUUAGAGUCACAAAUGUCACUCCUCUAAUGGUUCACAAACACCAAGAGCAAGAGGAUGAGGAGGAGAAGAGAAAGAGGCUGCCCAAAAACGUGUGGAAACCCUAACCAAUUAGUUCACCACGUUUUUGGGGCUAUAGGGUCCUUUAAAUAGUGAGGCUAUUAGGGUUAUCUAACAAGGAAACCCAAAUUUGGAUGCUUAGGCCCUAAGCAACCCAUGAGCUCCUUCCUUAAACGCCUAGGACGAUUUCUAAUGGGUUUCCCCAUAGAAUUCGUCCACCCCUUUAAUAUGGUGUCCAUUAGCUCAAUAUUCAACUAUCAUACAAUUGACAGUUCUACUCCCUUAAGUUUAAUUAAUGUCAUUUAGUCACAAAACUAAUUACUAAUUAAUUCUUGACUAAUAUUAAUUAAGCAAUAUGAUUUCUCCUUUAAUAUAUUAUCCUCAUAAUAUAUUAAUAAAUCAUAUUUAAUCCUUUCUCACCAUUAUUCAUCCUAUAAAGUUGAUUUGGUGAAGGCAACCCAAAAGGACCAUGCACUAUCGGGUCAAGUACAUACCAAAAUAGUUAUGGACUUAGACACUAAUCCAACACGAUCAUACAAUGCAAAAGUCAUAAAGACAGCUAGCACUCUACAUAACAUACAAUGGGCCUAGCCCUUCCUGAUCCAUGGGCCUAUCCCAACCUACUAAUACGCCUAGCCCAACAUACCAUGAAAAAGUCACAAAGACAAAUAACAUAACAUAACCUAGUGGGCCGGCAUUGGUGCCUUCAACCCAUAGGUAUAGUGUGGAGACUCACCUCCAUCCGAUGAUAGCCAAAUACUUGCUCAGGUCACUGAAACAGAUAACCUCGCACCAACUAACAAUAACUACAACCUUAAUUAAUAAUUAACUAGAUAACCCAAAAUCCAUGGCCCACUCUAUAAUUCAACUUCCUAAAGGGUAAAAGGCUAUUUUACCCUUUUCUUACUUGGCCCAAAACAAAGGCCCAACCUAUUUUUUUUUCUAAAAGCCCAAUUCCCUAAAUGACAUCCCAAGGUCCAAUAUGACCCAUCUUCCUAAUUGGGCCCAAAAAUCAUCAUGGAUCUAAUUCCAAGAAAGCCCUUAGUCUAUCUAUGACCUAAAGUCAGAAGUCCAAUAAUCCAACGAGGCCCGAACCUUAAAAGGCCCUAAAUUGACAUACUGGGGAGUACACACCUCCGAAGCACAAGGUACAAGUUGCUAAUGCAUGAAACCUGUAUUACGCUGAGCGUACUCUCCUACGUACACCCAUUGUACUCAUCAAAGGUCCAAUAGUCCAUAAUAAGCUCUUAAUGGUUUAGAAAAAAGCAUCCAAACACUUAUCUUGACCCUAAAUGAUGUCUUAACAUGUAAAGUUGGCAACUUUACUCUUUUGCAGGACUUAAUGGGACCAAAUCCUUGUUUUCUAACAUAUUAAGAACACCAAAUCAUACAUGUAUCCAUAAAAACCAUCAAGAUGACAUUUUUAUGGCUUAAUAACUGAACAAGGACCAAAUAUGAGGCUCAAAGGUCCUGAAGUAGUUCCUACUCACAAGAUCAACAACCUUGGGACCAAAACAUGGAAAACCACCACCCAAAGCUAGAUCUAUACUAAAGAGCCAUAAAGUUUGAAGCUUUUUACCUCCAGAAGGUAGAUCAAGAUAAUUAGAGUGUGUAGGGGUACAAACGAGCCAAGCUACUCAUGAGCUACUUGAGAUCGAAUCGUUAAAAGCUCGACUCGAGAUCGAUUUUAAACGAGCCUGAGCCGAGCUUGAUCUUAAUAUUAGGCUUGUUUAUUAAACGAGCUCGAGCUCGAGCCUCUGUUACUUGGCUCGAUUAGGCUUGCNNNNNNNNNNNNNNNNNNNNNNNNNNNNNNNNNNNNNNNNNNNNNNNNNNNNNNNNNNNNNNNNNNNNNNNNNNNNNNNNNNNNNNNNNNNNNNNNNNNNNNNNNNNNNNNNNNNNNNNNNNNNNNNNNNNNNNNNNNNNNNNNNNNNNNNNNNNNNNNNNNNNNNNNNNNNNNNNNNNNNNNNNNNNNNNNNNNNNNNNNNNNNNNNNNNNNNNNNNNNNNNNNNNNNNNNNNNNNNNNNNNNNNNNNNAAAUUUAACAUAUAUAUAUAUAUAUAUAUAUAUAUAUAAUAAAAAAAAUUAUUUUUAUUUCUAUAUAUUAAAAUAAAUAAUAAUUUAAUAAAUACCAUUUUAGAAAAUUAGCCGAAUACAAGUCGAGCUCAAACCCAAUCUGAGCCCAUACAUUUCUUAACGAGCUGAUAUCGAACUUUGUACCACAAGGCUCGAACCGAGUCGACAUCAAGCUCGAGACUAUAAAUAUUUAAACGAGCCGAGCCCGAGCCUGGUCAAGGUCGAGCUCGACUUGGCUCGUUUGCAGCCCUAAGAGUGUGGAUCCGCAAGCUCCAAGCAAUCCCACACUUCUCCAAGAAACUCCUUCUUCCAAUGAGCACCAAAAUCCAUGGAAACAUUCCAAAAUAUUAAGAACCAUACCAAUGGAGGCUAGGGUUUCGUUUCUAGGGUUUAAUGGGAUGAAGGCUGAAGAUAAGAGGGUUUGCUGUUGAGUUAAGGUACUUAAAUAGGGUCCAAGACCCUUAAUUCAAGUUUGGAUAUGACUGGAAUAUGCCCAUCGUACUCUUGGUAUGCCCAACAUACUCCAUGAGGCAUCUGUGACUUCCAUUCUUAGUACGCCCAACGCACUUCCCAAGUACGCCCAACAUACUAGGCUUAACCUUUAAACCUUCGAACUUCCGAAUGCCAUAUCUUCUUCGUUCUAAGUCUGAUUUCCAAGAUCCUAAUUAUGGAUGAGCAUAGGCGGGUAGCCGCCUCAUUUUUUGAGAACUGGAACUGGCGGUUCCUAGAAAGUUUGAACCGGAACCGAAACCAAUUUAGGCAGUUCUUAAAUGUUUGGAACUAGUCUCGGAAUCGGCGGUUCCGGUUCCGGGAGCGGGUAACCCGGUUACAUUAAUUUUGUUAACUUUUUUUUCGAUAAAAUCGCAAUUUAGUUCGAUCUAAAUCAAAUCAAUUCGGACCAAAGACGGACAAAAUUAGACCAAUAUAUUCUAAAUUGGUCUAAGUAACACAUAUAUUUUUAUGGAAUUAUAUAUAUAUAUAUAUAUAUAAACCGGUUCCGGCGGGUACCCAGCGGGUAGCGGUUCCAAAAAAAUGAGAACCGGAUCCACCGCUGAAGGCGGUUCCAAUUAAAACCGGCAUUUUCGAGACGGUUCAGAUUCCAAAAGCGGGUACCCGGUUCCGAUGCUCAUCCCUAAUCCUUAUAUCUAGUGAAAGGUAACGAGAAGCUCUACACUUCUAUCAACUCUUCCUUGCCUGAAAACUUGCUGUACUGAAAUCCAAAAUUCAAAUCUAAUCUACCAAUUUAUGGUUGCACUCUUGGGCUCCAAAUCAUAAAUCAGACUUCUGGAUCAUCUAACUUACAUUUCCUACAUCCAAAUGGGUCUAAACGUCUCUUUCUCAUAGGCCCGAAGCCUUAUGAUAACCGAUCUUCGGGUCACAACCCCAAAUUAGGAAACGAUUCAGACAGGGUGCAACAAAAAAUAAUAAAACAGAGGAAAAUAAGAGAGGAAUUAUUACAUGUUCUUGUUAUCCAAGAAAUAGAAAACCCUAAAAUCAAAACAUGCCGCGUGCAAGAGUGAAUAAGAGCAUCGGUUCAUCACAUCAUACCUUUCAACUUUGUUAUUAUAAAGAUUUUAGGUUUUUUUUUUUCAUAAGGUUAACGUGGGAUAGUUGCGGUGAUGGAUGUGAAAUGGUGGAUUUAAAGAGAUAUAUGUUGAGAUUUAGGGGAUUUUCGUUUGAUAUUUGAAUUUAAUUUGACGUUUAAGAGGAGAAAUGAUUGACGAGAUUCUUGAAAGAUUGUGAUUACCAAAAAUUAAGAGGACAUUGAUUUUAUGGAAGUGAUGAAGACGUGAUAUCAGCAAAAAAAGGUAAGACAAUAUAUAUAUUUUCUUUAAAUUACGGAAUUAUUAAUGGAAUGGAAAAAUUAAUUAAACUUACUAUUUAUUACUAUUAUUUGAUUAAUUACGAAAUGAUAAGUGGAAUAUUAAAUAAAUAAAUAAAUCCAUAAAAUUUCGAGUGUUCAAGUGUAUGAGAAAGUGCAUGUGGAAUAAAAAACUACUCUUUUAUUAGAGUAUAUAUAUAUAUAUAUAUAUAUAUAUAUAUAUAUAUAUAAACAUACAUAUACAACUUUAAAUCAUGUAUNNNNNNNNNNNNNNNAUAUAUACUCAAGCUCGAAGCUCGGAUUGAACUCGAACCAAUCCUUGAUUUUAAGCUCGAGCUCGGGCUUGUGAAAUACUUGACAGUCUCUAGCCCGGGUCGACUAAUAUGUUUUUUUUAAAAAAUUACUAAAUUGAGUAAGAAAUAUUAAAACAUUACAUAUGUAACUGUCCAAAAUACCAAAAAAUCACAAUUGACCGCUUAGUAUCAAUAUAACAUCAACAAUAGUGCACAUGCAACGUCCCAAAAAUCUUAAGGUAAAAAUUCCAUAUUUAAUUCAACCAUAAACACCAUUUAGUCAUUUUAAUCAUGCAAAAGUAUAUCAGAGUAAAAAUAGUUAUCAGGGUACAAUUUCAAAAGCAUAAAGUGUGAAAACAUGGUUGGAUGCAUUGCGAUCAAGCCAGACCCUUCCAUCUCAAACCGGAAGUACCUGAAAAUAUUUUAAACAUAAAUGGAAAGCAAAAAGCUUAGCGAGUUCCCAAAAAUACCGCAUACCAUACAUAUAUGUCAGCUCAAGGCUGUGUCGGGUCUAUUUCACCCCCCGAGUCUAUUUCAAAUCAUAUGUUAGCACUAAGUUGUAUAGGGUCAAUUUCACCCCAGGUGUAUUUCACCUCACAUACAUAUAGCAAACAGGCACACAUGCAUACAACACAUAUAGCAGGAGUCACAAAGACUACAAGAACAUACAAUCCCUAGUUUCCUAGAGUAUGGUGAGCAAACUCACCUCAAUUUGCUGUCAGUCAAACAGAUGCUUGGGUUGUUGAAUCGGAGAAUCCCUACAUUAACCAAUAAAAUAAAACCCCAAUUAAUAAUUGGUCCAUAAAACAUAACUAGGAAUCUAGUUUAUUUAUCCAAAACCCCGGGUAAAAGGAAAUUUUACCCUUCCCAUAUGUAAUCGAAAAACUCAUGGACCAACUCCCAAAAGACUCGAGGCCAAAAAGGCCCAAAAGAGGGUUUCAUGAGUACACCCCACGUACAGGACUUGUAUGCCCUGAAUACUACACAAUGAUUCCUAACAUACAAUCCACACAUCAUGAUAUCAGGGAAAACANAUAUAUACUCAAGCUCGAAGCUCGGAUUGAACUCGAACCAAUCCUUGAUUUUAAGCUCGAGCUCGGGCUUGUGAAAUACUUGACAGUCUCUAGCCCGGGUCGACUAAUAUGUUUUUUUUAAAAAAUUACUAAAUUGAGUAAGAAAUAUUAAAACAUUACAUAUGUAACUGUCCAAAAUACCAAAAAAUCACAAUUGACCGCUUAGUAUCAAUAUAACAUCAACAAUAGUGCACAUGCAACGUCCCAAAAAUCUUAAGGUAAAAAUUCCAUAUUUAAUUCAACCAUAAACACCAUUUAGUCAUUUUAAUCAUGCAAAAGUAUAUCAGAGUAAAAAUAGUUAUCAGGGUACAAUUUCAAAAGCAUAAAGUGUGAAAACAUGGUUGGAUGCAUUGCGAUCAAGCCAGACCCUUCCAUCUCAAACCGGAAGUACCUGAAAAUAUUUUAAACAUAAAUGGAAAGCAAAAAGCUUAGCGAGUUCCCAAAAAUACCGCAUACCAUACAUAUAUGUCAGCUCAAGGCUGUGUCGGGUCUAUUUCACCCCCCGAGUCUAUUUCAAAUCAUAUGUUAGCACUAAGUUGUAUAGGGUCAAUUUCACCCCAGGUGUAUUUCACCUCACAUACAUAUAGCAAACAGGCACACAUGCAUACAACACAUAUAGCAGGAGUCACAAAGACUACAAGAACAUACAAUCCCUAGUUUCCUAGAGUAUGGUGAGCAAACUCACCUCAAUUUGCUGUCAGUCAAACAGAUGCUUGGGUUGUUGAAUCGGAGAAUCCCUACAUUAACCAAUAAAAUAAAACCCCAAUUAAUAAUUGGUCCAUAAAACAUAACUAGGAAUCUAGUUUAUUUAUCCAAAACCCCGGGUAAAAGGAAAUUUUACCCUUCCCAUAUGUAAUCGAAAAACUCAUGGACCAACUCCCAAAAGACUCGAGGCCAAAAAGGCCCAAAAGAGGGUUUCAUGAGUACACCCCACGUACAGGACUUGUAUGCCCUGAAUACUACACAAUGAUUCCUAACAUACAAUCCACACAUCAUGAUAUCAGGGAAAACAUGCAUUACGUUGAGCAUACGCGUAUGUACGCGCAACAUACCCCUUGGUGACCAUUUUCUUAUUUUAGGACUUUAUGGUUUAGACUAAAAUGUCCAAAAUCUAAUCUAGUGUCAAAACAUCGAAUUAAGUCAUAAAGUUUCCACCAUAUGACUUUCCAUGGUUAGAAAAGGUCCAAAAGCUAAAACCCUAAUUUAUUUAUGUUGGACUAGGUGUCUAAGCCCAUAACUAUAUUUGGUAUGUACUUGACCCGGUUGUAGCAUGAUCCUUUUAGGUUGCCUUCACCAAAGUAACUUGACUGGAUGAAUUAUAGAGAAAAAGGAUAAAUGUGGUUUAUUAAUAUAUUAUAUGAAUAAUAUAUUAAAGGAGAAAUAAUGUUGGUUAAAUAAUAUUGGUCAAUAAUUAAUUAGGAAUUAAUUUUGUGAUCAAAAGAUAUUGAUUAAACCUGGGGGACAAAUACUGUAAUUAUUGGAUAGUUGCAAAGUAGGCUAAGGAAACCCUAAAGAUAGGGUGGAAUAAUUCUUGUGGAUAAGACCAUAAGAAUUCGUCCAAGGAAGAGAUUCCAGAAGGAUCUUAUGGGCUGCUUAGAGCCUAAGCAACCGGAUAAGUGUUUGACUGAAACCCUAACUCCUCACCUAUAUAAAGGGACCCUAGGCAUCAUAUUUUCGGCUACACAUAACCCUAGAAGGAUUUCUAGAACUGAAAAUCACCUCCCUCCUCUCUCUCUUACAUUCUUCCAAUUUCCUUGGUGUUUGUGAUCGAUUAGAGGUAUUACAUUUGUGAUAUUAAGCUCUCUAAGUCAAUAAUCUUCAAGCUUAAAUUGAAAGGUAAUCUUAUAAACUUGUAUUAGUUAUUAAUUUUGAUUUUUGUAUGAUAGAUUUAGGGUUUACAAGCUUUGGAUGAUUUGCAUGUACAAUUAGAGAAACCUAGAUCCAAAGCAUUAGGGUUUGCAUGUGCACCAUAGGAUUGAUGUAAUCCUCAAAACCCAUUAGGGGUAUCAGAGCCUAGGCUAUUUUCUAUUAUAUUUGAUGCGUUGUUUGAUCAUUCAUUGCUUGCAAACUCAAAAAUUCUACCCUCUGUCAGCUGAACUCGUCGAGUCACCAGAUGAACUCGACGAGUCCAAUUAGUGACUUGGCAAGUCGGAGUGUUUGGGAGCAGAAUUUUGGGAUUUUGGCCUACUUUUGAUUCGGAUAGUUACCGAAAACGUUUUUGAUUAAUAAAAUCCGAUUUUUAUUAAAUAGAUAUGAUUAUCCUUAUCAAAAUAAAAGAUAAUUGCAAUUUAAUUAGAUAAUUAUUGCCUUAUAUGAUAAUAUCUAAUUAUUUGAAUUAUUUGAUUGCAUUAUCUUGCCAUGUAAUUGGAUUAGGUCAAAUUUAGAUAAUCACUAAUUAAUUGUUUAAUUAAAUUAUUUGUAAUUUGAUCUUGUUAGUUUCGAAAAGUUUCAAAACUUGCCCUCAAGUUUUGGAAUUCAAAAUUUUGAUUAAAAAGUUUAAUUUUGAAAUAUUUAAAUUCUAAACCCUAGAAUUUUACAAGUUUAAAAUUCAACCCUUAUACUAUUAUAAUAUUAUAAGAUUAAUAAGAUAUAUAUAUAUAUAUAUAUAUANNNNNNNNNNNNNNNNNNNNNNNNNNNNNNNNNNNNNNNNNNNNNNNNNNNNNNNNNNNNNNNNNAUAAGGUUGCUGCCUAUAAAAUGACAGUUUAAUCGGGGUCCACUCUCACCCACCACUUCCUUGAUUGGUGGAGGGUCGUUAGCCGAACGGGUAGGAUAUGACAUCUAAUUCCUCAUUAAAAGUACAAUGAUUAAUAAAGUAACUCAAUGUUUUUUUAUAAAAUUCUCAAUCUUAGUUACUUUAGGAAAAAUGUGAAAUGAUGCUAUUCCAUGAAAUUACACUUUGUACCCUGCCAAGUCGUUAGUGGAGCGUGCGUGGAUAACUGACACACUAAUAUGGACUAGCAAUGAUGGCAAAGGGUAGCUCGAUGUUUAUCAUAGAUCAAUGGAAUGUGUGUGGUUAACUGGCACAUUAAUUAGGUUGUAAAUGAUAUCGAGGGUACAAAGUAUAUUUGCAUGGUUGUUCACACCUUGUUUGUGAUCCUCGUUAUCCCAGUCAAAAACUUGAAGGUCAUAUCGAGAUUUAAACAUGUCAUUGAAAAGUUCAAUGAAUCUCAAAAGAUCUAGGAGUUUCAAUACAUUUAAUAGUUAAUUUCUUUUUUGUUUUUCAAGGUGGAAAUUAGUGAAUCGUCAUUCACUUACCUUCAAAUUAUUUGCAGUUUGGAUUAUGACAUCCCUCUUCUAAAUUGUAAAUAAUGUUGUUGGAUCCUAGCCCUAAUCUCUCAUUCUGGGUGCUUAAUUGGGGAUUCUUAUCUAAUAAAACUUUGUCUCUUUUCUAUUUCAGAUGUCUACUUCAAACAACAACAACGCUUCAGGAUCGACCCCUUCCGGCUCAUUUUCACUCAUGAACUUGUGUGGGAGGGUGAUUUUUGAUGGGACCAAUUUCAAUGAUUGGAUCUGCAACAUUCGCAUGGUCAACCGCUAUGAGGACAAGGAGUAUGUUCUCGAUAAGGAGCUGAAAGAGGUAAAUGCCAACACUGCUACUCCUGAAGAAAUCGUUGCUUUCGAGGCUCACGAAUGAGAUGCUACGAAAGUCCUACGAGGACUACUACCCUUAUGAGAUGCAUCAAGAUUUGAUGGAUAGGUACCAUCAAAGCGCGAGGCAGGAAAGGUACGAGAUCAUCGUUGCGAUGAUCACUACCAAAAUGAAGGACAGAGAGUGUGUCACGUCCCACCUGCAGAAAAUGCAGAGAUACAUGGGCUGCUUGUUAAAGUUAAAUGUUAACUUCGAUAAGGAGCUGGCCAUAGAUAUCAUUCUUCACUCCUUACCUCCUUGUUACAACCAGUUCCGCAUGACCUACUACAUGAACAAGGAAGAGGUCACUCUAAGCAAGCUUCAAGGCCUGCUAAGGACUGCUGAGAGUAGUCUGAAAAACAAAUUUGUUGCAUCAAUUCCUACUACCACCCCAAUCUUGGAAAUGGAGCAAGGGAAGGGAAAGAAGAGGAAGGCUACUUCUAAGAGCCACAAGGGAAAGUCCUACUAUGGUAUCUCUUCUAGUGAAACCAAGGUUGGUCCUACUGCACCCUCCUCCAACCCAAAGGAUGCAGAGUGCUACUACUACCACGAGAAAGGGCAUUAGAAACAAAGCUACAUGAAGUACUUGCAAGAUAUCAAGGAUGGGAAGAUAAAGACAUCCUUCAUAGGUAUUUAUAAUAUUCAUUCUAACAACUCAUUAAAUGCUAUGUCUUGGAUCCUUGAUACAAGAUGUGGUUUUCACAUUUGUUCUAAUUUGCAGGGCGUAAGAAGAAGUAGGGAUGUGGAGCAUGGGAAGAUAAACAUGAUAAUGGGGAAUAGGAAUGCGUCGCAUGUCACCAAGAUUGGAGUUUAGUCUUUAGUGCUUAGUAGUGGGUUAGGUUUAGUUUUGAAUAAUUGCUGUUACUCGUCAGAAAUGACACGAAACAUUAUUUUUUUCAUGGUUUGUAUAAACAAGGUUUUAGAUUUUCGUUUGAUAAUGAAAGGGGUUCUAUUAAUGAUUUCUUGAAUGGUUCUUUCUAUUUUGAAGCAUUUCCUUGUAAUGGAAUAUAUGAAACUGUGAUGGUUGUAGACAACUUAGCAAAUGAUGUGUUGCAUAUCGAUUCUUCCAAUAGUUUGGAAAAAUCAUUCUUGUGGCAUUGUCGUCUUGGACUUUUCCCGGAGCUUCAGAUUUGGUUGUUCGACUGAUGAUUUGAGUGCUUUUGUAGAAACAAGGUGUUUGUCAAGGACUCGGAAAAAGUCCUUCUUGUUUGUCUUCUUGGUUUUGUAUACAAACCCUAGAACCGGAUCAUCAAUAGGGCCUUCAGCUAGAAGAUUAGCUUCCGGAAGCACGUAUUCUAUCUUGGCAACAAAGUCUCCAGUUCCAAAAAGAUGGGCCAACUCAUAGUCACAUCGACUAAAUUCUGCGACAUAGUCUUUGAGGAAGCUCAGAGGUGCAUGGUACGCACCCAUGCUGAUAUCAUCAUUCUGAAGUCCUCGAAGGUGAGAAACUAGAGUGAGAAUAUCAUUUGGAUUCAUCGUCGGAAAGUCAGCAUCAGUGAUGGUUUGAUAAGAUGGGUUGUUCCUGAUAACAUGGUAAUGGAAGAGUGAACAGUUAAGUUCAAACUUGGUGAGGACCUUUCUUCCGUAUCCAUAAAUCUUGGUAAUCUUCUUCCUCAUCCAUACUUCCUUUAGGGGAAGUGCAUUCUUGGCAUAGAAGGUUUUUAACCUUUCAUGCUUUGUCGUGAUGGUGAACUCCAGAUUGUCAUUGGGAUGGAGAGGGGAAAAACUUGAUGUAAAAUUUGCUGAAGGGAGAGAGAGGAAGAUCAAGCUAUUCAAAAUCAUCGGAAGUAAUGUCAUAGUACAUAAAUGGUACUAAAUCGACAUCCUUAAGAAUACCUUCAUGGAAGAGAAGAGAAAUGCCACGCAUCAGAUUAGGAUUGUCUUUGAGCGCUUGGAUCUGAAUGUUGUCCUCUAAAGCCUUAUUUAUUUCUUCCUGAGACCAUCCAAGUUUUUGCUUUGGUGGAGGUCCGAAUUCCGUGAUAGGCUUCUUUCCUUUGUCUUUGAUUUUGUUAAGGACUGAGAUCACAUGCAACAUGUUCUCAUCCACAGUGACCUUGGGAGGGGAGGAUGGAAGAGGUUCUUCUGGAAUGUCGUCUGGGGUCCGGAGAGGAGAACCUUCAUCAAUUGGAGUGAUUUUUGUGUCAGGAAUUGGUGGUAACAUGGAAGGUGUGGCCCGGAUGGCUUGAGCGGUGAGGAAGGAUUUGGCCUUGUCCAUUUUGAUUCCUCCUUGAAGAACAUCUGGCAAAGAAGAUGGCCACGAAAGUGCUGACCUAAUUCUUUUCUCUUCCUAGGUCAUUUGCUUAGGAAAAUGCCUCCGUGGAGCUUCAAUAGCAAGUACUCCCUUAGUGACAUAAAAUUCUUCAUCACUGUCUUCAUCAUCAUCAUCAGAGUUCCCUAGUAUUCCGGAAAGAACUUAGACUUCAUCAUCAAAAUUGAGAUCUUCAUCGCGAAGUUGAAAAACUGAGGCAGGUUUCCACGGUUGACUUGGACCUUCUCCCCCUCUUGCAUCGAUGACCUUAGGAACCGAUACAAGCGGCAAAGAGUCGUUCAGAUCAUCAAAUUUGUCAAACACCUUUUGAAGACCGGUGUUAAGAUGACGAGUAAGCACAUCAUAAGCUUCGAAAGUGGGCGCUUGGGGGGAGAGAUGAUCGAACAGAUGUCCAAGGAUAGCAAGCAUCUCAUCAAACUUGCAAUUCGGAAUGUCAAUAAUGUUCCAAGUGGAGCGGAGCAGUUUGAUGAGGACUUGAUGAUCAGGUUCAUUUCAUCUUUUUUCCGGAUUUCCUUCUCCAGCCUCUGAAUUUGUUUUUCAUGGCGAAAGUGAGUCUGCUUGAUGAGGUCGUUGGUAGCAGCUACCAAAUCAUCAUGGACCUUGAGCAUUGUGGUAAUGGUGUCGAGAUAAUGCUCAACUGAAGCAUCAUACUUAGCUUCAACUUCUUCAAUGGAAUGCUUGAGCCGGAUGGAGAUCAGUUGAUCUAAUUAAGCUUCUCUUUCAGCCAUGGAGGGUCCGGACUGAUGAGAUAAGGACUGGAGAAUUACAUCUAACUUGGAGUCCAGUCCGGAGAUCUUUUUAUCAAUCUUGGUGUUAAGCUCAGCCACUGAGGUCUCAAGAGUGGUAACCUUCUUCAUUGUGUCCGAGAUGUUGGAUUGAAUAUCCAAAAGGGCAAACGGAUCUAUAUGGUUUCCUGCUGAGGAUCCGUUGUCCGAGCUUGAAGGUUGAGGAUUGGGUUUCGUAGAUUCCAGAUUGAGUGGAGUGACAGAAGGACCGGGUUUGUUGGUGGCAUCAUCAUGAAGCUUUUGGGUUGAAUCUGAUGCAUCCUUUGUUGAGGAUGAGGAAUCAAAAUCAUAAGCAGGCUUGGAAGAAGAUGGCUUGAGAUGAAGUUGAACUGAGGAAAACACGUUAGCAUCAGCAACGUGUGCAUCAUCUAUUGUAAGCAUCACUUCUUCUGAAAUUUCAUCAUCCGAACCUAAAGGAUUUGAAGCAUGAGGAGGAGACUUUGGAGUUUCUCCGAAUGUGAAUUCUACAUCUGCAAGCUCAUCUGUAGGAACAACGUAUGGAAGGUUGCUUUGAAUGGCCCGAUUCCGCAUGGAGAUGAGAGUGGAAUCCACUUGGGAUCUUGUAUGUUCCAGAUGCCUUGAGUGUGCCCUGUUUACAAAGUCUUUCCACAUAGGAUUAUUAGUUCCUGGUCUUCCUAUACCCUUACUGGGUAUCAGAGCCUUGCUUGGUUUCUAUUGUAUUUGAUGCAUUAUGUGUUUAUUCAUUACUUGAAAUCGUUUUUUAUGCCUUCUGUGUAAUAGACCCGUCGAGUCCCAAGAGGAACUCGAUGAGUCAGAUGAACUCGGCGAGUUCUGUAAAGGACUCGGCGAGUUGGGCUGUCAGACAUAUGGAUUUUCGGGAUUUUGGCUUAUUUUGACUUGGGAUAAUUACCAAAAAUGUUUUUAAUUAAUAAAAUUCGAUUUUUAUUGAUUCCAUGUGAUUAUCUUAGUCAAAAUAAAAGAUAUUUAUCAUUUAAUUAGAUAAUUACUGCCUUAUUUGAUAAACCCUAAUUAUUUGAAUUAUUUAAUCAUAUAUCUUGCAUGAAAUUGGAUUAGGUCAAAAUUAGAUAAUCACAAAUUAAUUGUUUAAUUAUAUUAUUUGAAUUUUGAUCUAGAUAGUUUUGAAAUGUUUCAAAGCUUUCCCUCAAGUUUUGGAAUUUAUAUUUUUGAUUAAAAGUUUAAUUUUGAAAUAAUUAAAUUCCAAACCCUAGAAUUUUACAAGUUUAAAAUUAAAUGCUUAUACUAAUAUAAUAUUAUAAGAGUAAUUAUUAUAUAUGUAUAAGAUAAAUUCUAGUCUUACCGUUAGUAGGUCUCAUUCACGAAGCUGAUCUAUAAGGGGGGGGGGGUAUAAGGUUGCUAUCUAUAAAAUGAUAGUUUAAUGGGUGUCCACUCUCACCUACUGCUUCCUUGAUUGGUGGAGGGUCGUUAGCUGAACGGGUAAGAUAGGGCCACUAGUUCCUCAUUAAAAGUAUAAUGAUUAAUAAAGCAACUAAAUGUUUUUUUAUUAAAUUCCCAAUCUUAGUUACUUUAGGAAAAAUGUGAAUUUGAUGAUAUUCAAUGAAAUUACACGGCUUAUUUUGACUUGGGAUAAUUACCAAAAAAGGGUGACUUGAUGUUUUUCAUAGAUCAAUGGAGCGUGUGUGGUUAACCGGCACAUUGAUUAGGUGAUUGUAACAUUCGGAGCACCAUGUACAUUUGCAUGGUUAUUCACACAUUGUUUGUGAUCCUCGGUAUCCCAGUCACAAACUUGAAGGGAAUAUCGAGAUUUAACCAUGACAUUGAAAAGUUCAAUGAAUCUCAAAAAAUCUAGGAAUUUUCAAUACAUUUAAAACUUGAUUUUCUGUUUUUUUCAUGGUGGAAAUUAGUGAAUCAUCAUUCACUUACCUUCAGAUUAUUUGUUGUUUAGAUUACGACAUACCUCUUCUAAAUUACAAAUAAUGUUGUUGGAUCCUAUCCAUAAUUUCUCAUUUGGGUGUUUAAUUGGGGAUUCUUAUCUAAUCAAACUUUGUCUCUUUUCUUUUUCAGGUGUCUAACUCGAACAACAACAACGCUUCAGGCUCAACCUCUUCCGACUCAUUCUCACUCGUGAAUUUGUGUGGGAGGGUGAUUUUUGAUGGGACCAAUUUCAAUGAUUAGAUUCGCAAUAUUCGAAUGGUUACCCGCUACGAGGACAAGGAGUAUGUCCUCGAUAAGGAGCUAAAGGAGGUGAAUGUCAACACUGCUACUGCCGAGGCCCACGAGCAAGAUCCUACGAAAGUCCAUUGCAUCAUGCUCGCGACUAUGACUGCAGAACUCCAGAAGUCCUAUGAGGACUACUACCCUUUUGACAUGCACCAAGAUAUGAUGCAAAGAUACCAUCAGAGUGCUCAUCAAGUGCGGUAUGAAAUAAUAUCCUCCAUGAUAACAACUAGGAUGAAGGAUGGAGAAUCCAUCACGGGCCACAUGUAGAAAAUGCAAAGGUAUGUAGACCAUUUGCUGAAGCUUAAUGUGAACUUCCUCGAGGAGCUAGCAAUAGAUAUCAUUUUGCACUCCUUACCCUCGUGUUAUGAUCAAUUCCACAUGACAUACCACAUGAAUAAGGAAGAAGUUACACUCAACAAACUUCAAGGACUCCUGAAGACCACAGAAUCAGGUCUUAAGGGUAAGUCGAUUGUUACCACUUCUGCUCCUACUACCAACUCCGCCCCUGUCUUUGCAAUCGGGAAAGGGAAAGGUAAGAAGAGGAAGACCCCUUCAAAGGGUACCAAGGGUAAGAUCCUUGAAUGCUCUUCUUCAAGUGGAACCAAGAAAGGUUUCAUUACUCCUUCUUCUGACCCAAAGGAGGCUGAAUGCUUCUAUUGCCAUGAAAAGUCGCACUAGAAGCGGAACUACCCAAAGUACCAGCAAGAUGUGAAGGAUGGGAAAGUCAAACCCAACCAUGCAGGUAUUUACAUUAUCUUAUCUAAUAACUCACCCUAUUCUAACUCUUGGGUCCUUGAUACCGGUUCUGGUAUUCAUAUAUGUUCUGAUUUGCAGGGACUAAGAAGAAGUGAGAAUGUGGAGCAGGGAAAGAUAAACUUGAUCAUGGGGAAUAAAAAAGCUUCACUUGUCACCAAGAUUGGAGUUUGUUCUUUGUUGCUAAGUAGUGGGUUUACAUUAGAUUUGAAUAAAUGUCGUUAUUCGCCUGAAAUGGAAAGAAAUAUUAUUUCCUUUCAUGCUUUGUACAAACAAGGGUUUACAUUUUCUUUUGAUAAUGAAAUUGGUGGAAUAAAUCCUUUCUUUAAUAAUGUUCUUUAUUUUAAAGAAUUACCUUGUGAUGGUGUGUAUGAAGCUGUGUAUGUUGUAGAUAACCUAGGAAAUAAUGUGUUGUGUAUUGAUUCUUCUAAUAAUAAUAACUUGGAUAAAGCAUCAUUAUAGCAUUGUCAUCUUGGACAUGUGAGCAAGAAAUGCAUAGGCCAACUCCAAAAGGAUGGAGUCUUGGAGUCAUUUGACUUGAAGUCAAAUGAUAGUUGUGAAUCAUGCUUACUUGAAAAAAUGACAAAGUCACCCUUCACUGGUUCUUGUGUUAGGGAUGAAGGUUUGUUGGAUCUGGUACACACAUAUGUGUGUGGACCCUUCAAAUCUGCCACAAGGGAUGGUAAUCGUUAUUUGACUUUCACUGAUGAUUAUAGUAGAUAUGGAUAUGUCUAUUUAAUCAAGCAUAAGUCAGAGAUUUUUGAAAGGUUUAAAGAGUUUAAACAGGAAGUGGGGAAUCAAUUGGGUAGGAACAUUAAGAUGCUUCGAUCUGAUUGUGGUGGUGAGUAUCUUAGUACAGAGUUUCUUGACUAUCUUAAGGAAUGUGGGAUUAUCUCACAAUUGAAACCUUGCACGACACCACAGAUUAAUAGUAUGGCUAAGAGGUGCAAUAGAAACUUGUUGGAUAUGGUUCGUUCCAUGAUGAGUCGAGCUUCGCUACGAAUCUUAUUUUGGGGAUUUGCCUUAGAGACUGCCGCCCAUAUCCUUAAUCUGGUCCCUACAAAGAAAGUGGCCAAAACUCGUCAUGAGAUGUGGGCUGGUAAAGUUCCCAAACUAGGCCACAUCAAUAUUUGGGGUUGCAAGGAUUUCGUGAGGCGCGAGAGUCAUGAUAAGCUCGAAUCUAGAAGUGAGAGGUGUAUUUUCAUCGGCUACCCACAUAAAUCCUUUGGUCACCUCUUCUACAAACAUAUUGAGAAUGUGGUCUUUGUAGCAAGGAUGGGUGUGUGGAGAGAGAGAGAGAGAGAGAGAGAGUUCAUAAGCCAAGGAAACAGUGGGAGGCAAAUUGAUCUUGAAGAAAUUCAAGAGUCAAGUGGUGAAGAAACUUCAAACCCUAGCACUCAACCUGAGGAGGAAACUCAUGUUGAGCCAAUUGCCGAAUCUGUACCUCUGAGGCGUUCCACAAGAGUUAGGAAUCCACCUGAGCAUUAUUAUGGCUUCCAUAUUACUGCGGAAGGUGAUACACUUAUCAGUGAUGAGACAUUGGUAAGUCUGGAUGAACCUAACAGCUACGCGGUAGCCAUGGAAGGCCCCAAGUCUACUAAAUGGAAAGAGGCAAUGGAUAGCAAGAUAUAGUCCAUGUAUGACAAUCAAGUUUGGAACUUGGUUGACAAUGUACCAGGUCUUAAGACAGUUGGGUGCAAAUGGAUCUUCAAGAAGAAGACCGACAUGGAUGGUAAUGUACACACUUAUAAGGCGCGACUGGUUGCAACAAGCUUUUCUCAAACUCCGGCAGUUGAUUAUGAUGAGACCUUUUCACCUGUUGCAAAGAUUAAAUCCAUUAGGAUCCUGUUAGCCAUCGCUGUAUUUCAUGAUUAUAAAAUAUGGCAAAUGGAUGUCAAAACCGCCUUCCUUAAUGGAAGUUUAGCUGAGGAUGUUUACAUGAGUCAACCAGAGGGUUUUGUCAGUACAGAAUACCCUAAUAAAGUGUGUAAGCUUGAGAAAUCUAUCUAUGGAUUGAAACAAGCAUCUCGCAGAUGGAAUCUUUGUUUCAAUGAGAAAGUCAAAGAGUUUGGCUUUUCGAGGAGUGAAGAUGAAUCUUGUCUAUAUGUCAAGGCUAGUGGGAGUAUAGUUAGCUUUUCGGUACUGUAUGUGGAUGACAUGCUACUCAUAGGAAAUGAUAUCCCAACCUUGCAGGAAGUGAAGCCCUGGCUUGGGAUGUGUUUCUCUAUGAAGACCUAGGAGAAGAUGCCUAUAUUCUAGGGAUAAGGAUUCUGAGAGACUAGAGUAAAAGACUAAUUGAACUUAGUCAGAGUACCUACUUGGAUAAGGUAUUGAAUAGGUUCAACAUUCAAGAUUCCAAGAAAAGAGAGUUAACGAUCUAGAAUAAUGCCAGACUGAGUAAGACUCAGAGCCCGAGUACCGAGGCAGACAUAGCAUAAAUGAGUCGAGUACCUUAUGCUUCCGUUGUAGGCUCGAUCAUGAAUGCUAUGACUUGUACUCAUCAUGAUGUAGCCUUUGCCUUAAGCAUGGCUAGCAGAUAUCAGGGGAACCCUGGCAAGGCUCACUGGACUGCGGUAAAGAAUAUCCUCAAGUACCUACGGAGGACGAAGGACUGGGUCCUUACCCUCGGUGGGAGUGAUGAUUUGAGAGUUGUAGGGUAUAGUGAUGCUAGCUUUCAGACUGAUAGGGAUAAUUUCGGCUCUCAAUCAGGCUGGGUAUUUAGCUUAAAUGGAGGAUCAAUUACUUGGAAGAGUUCCAAGCAGGAGACCGUGGCUGAUUCAACUUGCGAAUCAUAGUAUAUAGCAGCAAGUGAGGCAGCAAAGGAGGCGAUAUGGCUGAAGAACUUCAAUGGAGACCUUGGAGUAGUACCAACUAUAAAGGAGCCUAUGGAAAUUUUUUGUGAUAGUGAAAGUGCAGUUACCUUAGCCUAGGAACCAAAGGAUCAUGGGAGAUCCAGACACAUCGACAGAAAAUAUCAUUUCAUCAAACAUCGCAUAGAAGAAGGACUCCUCGUGGAAAAGAGGGUAUCAUCGGAUGAGAACCCAACAUAUCCCCUCACGAAGGGACUGAGUCGGGUUAAGCAUCUCCAACAUGCUCGGAGCAUAGGGCUGAAGGAUGAUAUUAGUUUUAGUAGUUAGACAAUUUGAAAUUUGUAAAGUGUAAUUGACAUUUGAUGGUGAAUAAAAGUUGUGUUUAUUUAUGAGUAACGUGUUGCUAUCUUUUUUCAAUCGUUUACUAUAUUUCUUUUGCAUGUUUUGACUUCCAGAAUAAUUAUGUUUGGUAUAUCAUAGUAUUCGAAUUCUCCACAGGCGAUCAUAUGUUGGAAGUAGGUAUGAAUCAAGACUGUCAUGAGUUGGUUGCAGAGGUCUAAGUUGUUGGACAUGGCUACAACACUCAUGGGUUUUCAUAAAUUUUGAGUACUGGAUUCAACCCAUGCUCACUGGUAUCAGUUCACGGAAUUUAUCUCGAGUGAUUGUGAGAUGAUAAUAUCUUAUAAAUCUUCAAACCUAGAGAUAUGACUUACUGCCUAUGAGUUGGUUAUGCAUUGAUUGUACGAAAACGCAUUGGUACCUCGAUGUUAUAAAACGUGAUUUUGUGUGUGAUUCAACAAGUAUUAGAACAAGCAUAUGAGUCGAAGUUUAUCUGCUCCUUCUUGGACUAGGAGCGAUAUCUGGGCCCCUCAAUGAUUUUGUUUUGACCUAUGUAUUGGGCCCGGUCAGAACUAAGUUGAUGUGUUCAAUUUAGUUCUUUGUCAAACAAAUCGGAAAUCAAGAAACAAACUACUAGACAAUAAGUAAGACAUUGUUCCAUGUAUUUGUCCGGAUGAUAUCUAGAACAGAGGAUUAUAUGAUCACUUAUCUUAAAUGGCGUAUUAUCAUCUUCUCAGUUCCAAGAGACCUUGAAAGGUCUACGAUUUCUUAUCGGUUCCUGAAGUCAUACUUGCAGUUAUAAUUAUUAGACUUAUCCAAGUGGGAGACUGUUGGAUAAGGUGUCUAAGUCGAUAACUAUUUAUGGUAUGUACUUGACGUGGUUUAGCAUGGUCCAUUUGGGUUGCAUCGCAUAAUGCAUUUGGAUAGACUAAAUGAGAGAAAUAACACCUGUGGUUUUUUAAUAUAUUAUAAGUUCUAAUAUAUUAAAUAGAAUUAUUUUAUUAGUAUUGAUCAAGAAUUAAUUUAGAAUUAAUUAAGUGAUCAAAAGAUGAAUAAUUAAAUAUAUGGGUUGAUUGUGUAAAUCAUCCGUAACUUGUAUAGUGGGCUAAAGGCUUCAUGGAUUAUCAAGAUGGGCUAAGACCCAUAGGAUACUCCAUGGAGGUUUAAACCCAUGGGUCAUGGAAAUGAAGAGUCAUGUUACAUUAGGGUUUACAUGGUGUAACCCUAAGUGUACACAGUAUAUAAAGAACAUGACAUCCACAAAAGUCGGCUAAAGAAAAAAGUUACAAGAGGCCUAGGCUAAUUUUACAAGUGUUCUCCAUUCUCUCAAUGUCAUUCCAAAGCCCUUUUUGUUAUGUGAAACACUUAAGGCAUCACACUUGGGGUGCUAGGCUCUCAAGGGUUUCAAGGAAUCAAAUCAACUACAACGUAUGUAAUUAUAGCCAUCUUUUAUGUUAAAAGUUCGCCAUGUAUGCUAGAUAGGAUUAUGAACCUUGGAAAUCAAAUUUUGCAUGUAUUUUAGACAAACAAAGAUCCAAGGUUUUCUAGGGUUGCAUGUACACUUAGGAGUGUUAGAAUGCUCAUAACCCAUCAAGUAUAUCGACCGAUCCGUUUCAAAGCUGGGUUGGUUUAUGUUUGUACAAUCUUCGUGGAGGUGUUAAAUAUAACACCCAAAUGCUCGAUGCUUUAUCUAUACAUUUGAAUAUUGCGCAACCUCCCAAGUUACCACCUCACUGCCCGUAUAUUCCAACAUGGGAAGAGCUAUGGACAAGACAAGGAGACAGGGCAGGAACUAGUGGAACUCAAGGCAAUGACGAUGAUUAUUAGUUUUUAUUUUAUGUUUUCAUUUGGUUUUUGAACUUGUUUGUUUAUUCUUUUAUUUGUUUGGAACUUGUAACUGGAUGAUGGAUGAUUAUUCCCUUUUCUUCUCUAUAACUUGUUUUGUUUCAAAUUUCGUGAGUUUUCGUGAGCGAGAAGUUAAGAGUUAGAAGUUUUCAAGAGAGGCCAUGUCAUUUAGAGUUAUGAGUCGAGACCCACAAUCUUAGAUAAGUGUCGGGUUAAUCGAGAAAGAAGCAAGUUAGAGAAGAGUCACGAAAUAUACAGUUAAGAAGGGUCUUAAUCUAUUAAGACAUAAGUUCACAUUACACUUAUUUAAUGAAGAAGUGCUUUCUGUGAUGCCUAUUUUCCACGACGUGGACACCAAAAACACGUUGUGGAUUGAGUUUAAUUCACGAAUUCAGAAAACAACAUUAAUCAAAGCCACGUUGUGUAUUUCUUCACCAUGACGUGGAAUGCAGAAGUUACAAUUUUCUUCUUCUCUACACCAUCCGAUGUGGCAUAUGCUUUCCUACAUUGGUUCAUUAUGCUUUGAAGAUUUUCUACACUACAUUUGUUGAAGAUUAAAGUCUCGGAUUCAUAUUUUGCUGGCACAUUCACAUAUUUCACUUAUUAAAGAUCAAAGUUCAUAUUUGAAGAAAGUCCAAGUUCAAGAUGUUCAAGGUUUCCACACUAAGAAGAAUCAAUCUUGUCACUUCUACCCAGGGGAGUCUGUUCCUUUUUCUCCCUUUUAUUGCUUUCAAUUUGUUUUAUGCAUACAAUGAGGUCAUUGUAUGUAAUAAGUGUGGGGUAGGGGGUCGAGAAAGUAAAUUGCUAGAAAAUUAUAAAAAAUUAAAACUUUCGAAAAAUUUAGAAAUGGAUUUGAAAUAAUAAUCUAAAAAAUUGAAUCUAGUAAUUGUUUAGACUUAAGUUACUAGUGUUAUCUGAGAUGAUCCAAUGCGAGCUUAAAUGUUUAAUUGAGCUAAUACAUGUUGUAGUAUAUUUGUGGCUUCCCAAGUCUUAGUGAAAAGUCAUGAGAUAUGAAAAGUUAAUCUGGUAGCUUAUAUGGCAUAAUAUAUUUUGCAGCCUAAACCUGAAAUCUAUCCUGGAAAGCUUAUGUAGUCACUGCACAUAGCCUAAUACCUUUAACCAAUUAAUAAAGGUUCACUACAAGAAAAAUACCCUUUUACGACGCGCUAACCACGACACUCAUUGAUUUAUGUUACGCAGAAGAGAGUGACAUUAAAAAAGUGUCGUCUCUUCAAAAAAAUUAAGGAUUUAUGUCACACAUUAUUGCGUGCCCUUAGAUUAGUGUCUCAUGUAAAAAAAAUAAAAACACGGAGUGUACUUUAUCUAAAAUGUGCGUCCUCUGUGAAUGUCGCUUUAUGUUUUACUUAAAACGCGCAUUCUUGAAAGGGGGAAAUGAAAACCCUAAAAAUUAAAACCCCGCCUAUUCUAUGUGAAAAAUUAGAACCCACUCCUCUUCCAAUUAGCAACAAAGAAGCCUAGGGUCUUCGUAUUCCUCUCUCUCUGCCUCUAACCUAAAACCCAACCUGCGAUUUCAUAGAGAUUGUUAUUACGAUUUAAGAAGCAAAGAAGAAGACAAGCAAGGAUAGUACUACUAAAUUCCACAAAAUCGCAGGGACUAGGGCUUUUUUUUUCAAGAACGGAAACACUUGGUGCUCUAUGGCCUCCGCAACAAUCGAUCGAUGAUCUCGCCUCAUCUCAUCGGCAACAUCUUUGCUCACUUCUCCUCCAACGACCUUAGGGGUAUUUUCCUCCGGCGACCUCGGGCUCAUGUGACCUCGUCGGAGACUGCUCAAAUUUCCACACCCUAGCCCAACUAAGAUAUGCUUUGGUUAUUCUCUCUUCCUAAUGUUUUCAUUCUUCUAUAUCUUUAAUUUCUCCUCUAUUCAUAGCUUUGAUUUCGAUUUUGGAUCUUCUCAUCUUCUCCUGUGUAAAAUCCCAACUGAAAAACUAUGCAGGUUUCAAUGGCGAUUUCCUCCUCAUUCCACGAUCCUCACUUCUACUCUCUAAGCAUCUCAGGUAUGCUUUGUUCCUUCUCCCUUAUUUUAAUUCUUCUUGUUUGAUUUAUUAAGUGUGAUAUCCUUCCCCUACUUUUCUGAUUCUCGAUCCCAUUCUGAUACAUUGUUAGCAGUCGCACAUAGCACCUCACACACAUACUCACAUUUAAUAUUUUGAGCAUAAUUUUGAGAAUAUGUUAUGGUCCAAUGAAUUUUUUGUGUGUUUAUAUUAUCCAAGGUUUGAACUUUUUGUAUUAUGCUAAAUUACAUCUAUCAUGCUGUUACUUUCUGAGGUUUUAUGUUUCUUUUAUCACAGUGAUUGUUAAAGCAAGUAGUGGCCCAAGGUAUGUGGUCGGUUUCAUAAUUGAUUCAAUUUUGAUGAGUAAACAGGUUAGAUUUCAUAUGGUUGUUUGUUCAGAUUGGUAUUCAUCCUGAUUUUCGUUCAAUUAUGCAACAACUAUGAUGGAAUUUGCUAUGUUCCAUACUCGGAUUAUGAAUUUAUCGGAAAAUUGAAUAAUUAAUCUGGAAAAAAUACCAUCUUUGGAUGAUUUGUUUGUCAUCUGUAAAUAAGGAAUACCAUUUUUGGGUAAUUAGUUUCUCCAACAAAAUCUAAUCUUCAUAUUCUUUGUUUGUUUGAAAAGUAAUCCAUAUUGAAGUUGGCGUUAGGGUUCGGAUAUUUCAAGUAGUCAUCUUUUCGAAUUAGCCCCUGUCAAUACAGAAAAAUCACGAAAGAUUAAAGGGUUCAGAAAAUCAUCAGAAGUGGCUUGUGUUAUUCUACCACCUAAAGUCUUCAAAAUCUUGGAGAAACCUGUUCAUGAGUUCCAUGGACAUGGUGGAGAAAUCUUGUCCCUUCCAUGGUCUAGAAAAGGGGUUAGUAACUUAGAAUUAUAACACUUUAUUUAUAUUGGACUUAAUAAUGGACAUGUACUUCAUUUUCCUUGUUAUAUUAAACAGGCGAUGGAUGAAAUUAAAAACUCAGAAAUACAAAAAUUCUACAUUCAGGUAGUUGUUUUCUUGGAAUACCACCCUCUUAUUUCUUGCCUUUCUUUUGUAUGCCGAUUUCUUUAUUAAAAGUUUCUUUGUUGAAGGGUAUUUAUGACAUUUGGCUGAUAGUCAAACACUCCAAGAGUAAAAUGCUCAUUAUUUUUUUUACUUGAUACUAAUCUAAAGCUUCAAGAGUCUAGUUUACCAAACAUAAAAACUAAAGUAAAAGCUUGUUAAAAAAACAUUUAUAUUUACAACAUACUACAAUAGUCUACAUUACCCUUGCUAGUCUUCUCUUUUUCUCUUCUCUACCACAUUACCUUGUGCCUAUAUAACAUCCUCCAGUUCUUCAAGGGCAUGAUGGUCAUCUUAUCUGUUUUCAUGCUAUGUUUUACUUACUCCUCUUAUGUUAGUGUUUCAUCAUGUCGUUUUUAAAUAUAACAAGUGAAUUGUAGGGCAUAAUCGUCAUCUUAUCAGUUUUCAGUGGCUUUUUGACUGAAUUUGGCAUAAAUGACACUCUUUACCGAUUUUGAAUUCAAUGGAAACUAAACCUAAACCUAACCUAAAAGGGUUCUAUCUUAAUUUUGGAGAUAAUUCCUAAAUAAAAUGAAAUAAUAAUUAUUUCCCAGGAAAUGGAUUUAUCUAAUUUAGGAAAAAUAUUUUUCUUUUAUGUUGUCAAGCUUGCGGCUUUGUGGCCAAAAGGGAGCAUGGACAACCAUGGAAUACGAAAUGCAAUUUGUAGAGCCAAAGAACGUCGAAGAACACUAUUGCAAGAAAAGCUUUGCAGCUCUUGUUAAUUUAUAAUUAUUUUAUCCAAGGCUAUUUUAGACUUUUGACACAUAGUAGAUGUAUGUUUAAACGUUGCAAUUUAUAUGGCAUUUAUCAGGAAGUCUCAUUAUCCAGUCUACAUGAUUAAAUUAAUGGACAUAUAAUUCUCUAUUGAUUGAACAAAAAACAUUGCUUUGUAAUGAACCAAGUUAAAAACUGAAAGGGUAUAUAUGGGAAUAAAAUUUAAGGUAGGUUUGUCAAGAUUGUACGGAUAACUGCUGAUUGGAUAAAAGUCUUUUGAUCAUGUUCAGGGGCAUGAAAAGAAGCCUGUUGCAGGGCUGGAUAGCAAUCUCCAUGAAAAAGCUGACUUAGUUGCUGAACAUGGAAAACCGGUAAAUGACCAUAACACCCCUGAUAUAAAUUUUCCGGACAUUGUUGUCCCUGGCACACCUGAACUUGAUCAGAAACUUGGUGCACCUGCAAACAGGUUAAACCCACCAUCAGCAAGGGAUUGUUGAGUUGUAUACGACACUACCCGUGAAACUGUAUAUAUAAAUGGUAGAAUUUAUGUGACCAUAAUGCCCCUGUUCUAAGAUGUUUUAACCUCUCAAAUGUGUAUGAAUCUGCUGACCAGUUAUGGCGGUUACAAGUUUGUAGUGAAGAUGAUGUAUACUUUUUUAUGGGUAUAUAAACUCACCUUUUUCUCCGUGUUAUUAGCUCUGAGACUAGUAUUUAUCUUAUUAGCAGGCUAAACCCUGUAAGAGUCUGUGGGUAAGUGGCAUCAGCAGUUCCCUUUUAACAAGAUUAAAAAAAUGGAAAACAUGAAAGGAGAUUUUGUGGGUGUAAAGAAUAUAUUGCGUAUUUUAUCCUGUUUUGACUAUGAUCUCUGUAUAUGAAUGAUAUAACAGAGACAGGUUCCUGAUUUCCGUGAUGCAAAGGAAGGAAAACAUUUUAGAAGUAUGGGUCCACAUGAUUCACCAUGGUUGGCACCAGAUAGUGUUAAAAAGUACCCUGAUUCUUCAUAUUAUGGUCCCAAAAGGCAACAGGUUAUAACCUAGUUCUAUUUAUGCCCUUUUUGCAUUUAACUUAGGAUAUGGUAUCAUCUUUAUGUUUUAGCAUUUUUGUUUAUUGCAAUUAUGGGGUAUUUUUGUCUUCUACCAGUAAUGGGGAUUUUUUUAUUAUUAUUCCAAUAAUGGGGUAUUUUGGUCUUUUAAUAAAAAAAAAAUGGAAUCGAGUACCUUUCAGGAAUUGUGAACAUGGAAUAAUAUGAAGGGAAUUCCGUUGAUUGGCAACGAAACACGAAACAGAAUGGAAUAAUUUACAUCCUUUGUGGUGUUUUUACAACAUAAUAUAUUGGGCAUGGAAGGUCGAAAAGGAGAUGGAGAGCAACCAAGGUCAUGAUUUGGUAAUAGCAUAUUUCCAGGUGGCAUCUUCAAAUGAUAGCAUCUCUUCUUCAAAUAUUGACAUAAGGCAUGUACAUAUCAACAAAUGAUACAUUUUAAUCAUUAAUAUAAAAUCCAAGUUUCAUGAUUUUUUUAUUUUAAUUAACAAGUAUCAUUUGGAUCUAUGCAAAAAUGUAUUUAGAGAAGGUGUGUAUCCGGUUGUUGAUACAACAAAUGUUUACUAUGGGGGCAAAAACAUUGCUGGUAUGAACUAUGGAAAUUACUAUUUAUAUGUAAAUUUCAGGGUUAAUUUAUUAUUGGUGAAUUUUCAUGAAAUAUGUAGGAUCAACAUUAGGCACACAUUACAUUUUUUCACUUUUCUAUAUUUGAGCAUAUAAUUAAUAUAAUCUAACACACAUUUGUCAUCAGGUAUUGCGGAUGAAAUAUUUAAUCAAAAAAUGCCCAGCAUCUCACAUGCAUAUAUUGGUGAUGCAUGUAGUGACUGAGAAGAAGUAAAUGUAUAUGGUGAUAUUGGUGUCCGCUUAGUGUCCACGAGUGAUGAAAGAAAGAAAAUUUUGGAGGACAUAUUUUCUCCUAGUAAAUACUCAUUUAACUCCGUAAGUUACUUUCCAUUAUCAUCCAGUCCAAAACAGUCUAUACUGUAUGAGAAAAUGGUCGUUAGUUAGCUGAGUUUCGAUGCCAUGCUAGCUCUAUCAUAUCAUCUUGUAUUGUAUUGCAUGUUAAGUUACUGAUUUGCCAUGUGCAGGUUCUAACAGCUCUAGCAACCUCCUUCCAUGCCCUGAAGGCUCUCAAAGUUCCUGCAUCAGGUUAUUCUUUUAUAAAGGAAAUUGUCAAAGGAAUUGUCAAAGGAGAAUUUAUUCAUGGGUUUCUUUUAAUGUUGUAUAUGUUUUGUUUUCUAUAAUAAAUAUUAUGCAAUAUUAGCAAUGUGUUACAUUUACUUAUUAUUGGAAUGAUUAUUUGUAUUUGACAUAAUAGUGCAAUGAAUUAUCUUUAUUGUUUAUGGUAUUUUAUUUUGUAUUAUGAGACUUUUAAUGUGUUAUUUAAUUUGAAAAUUAGUAAAUCUAUCAAAAAUAUAAUUUUAAAAACAUUUAAAAUUAUGACACGCAAAAAUGCGUGUCUUUUUUCUUUAUGACAUGGGCUUCCUUGAUACGCAUUGUGUGUCAUAAACACGUGUGUCGUAAGGUUACGACAUGCAAAUGUGUGUCGUCUUCCUUUAUGACAGGGCCUACCUUGAUAUGCAUUGCGCGUCGUAAAUUCGUGUCAUAAAUGCACGUCGUAAGUGCGCGUCAUCUAUAGACGAUGCGCAAAGGUGUGUCGUCUCUCGUUAUGACAGAGCCUUCCUUGAUACGUAUUUGUGCGUCGUCUAAGCAUUUUACGACACACAUUGCGCGUCGUAAAAGACUGUUUUUCUAGUAAUGGUUGAAGGUAAGCUCUCAUGCUUAAGCAUAUAGGAUUUGAGUGAAAAAAAAGUGAGAAGUUGAAAAAAAAGAGAGAAAUUACUAAAAAGUUGAAAGAAUUUUGGGAGCAGUCAGGUAUGAAAUCCAAAAAUCAAAAUUCUGAAGAAUCAAAAAGUUGAAAAUAACAAAAAUCAAACAAAAAGGUGGUGAAUUCAAAGAAAUCGAAGAUCAAUUAUCAAAAGAAGUUAAGAAUUCCAAGAGCUCCAUUGUGGUAUCUAAAGUUGUAAUUUCUAGAUUAUGUAUGCUUGGGUAGCUUGACCAAAAAUACCUUGAGGUUAAGAAAGAUUUAUGAGCAUUGAUUCAGAGGGUUGCAAAAAUGAGUAUCGCAUAACCUAAGGGGUAAAGGUUCAUAAGGAUUGUGAGUAUUUAUGAUUAUGGAAGUUAUUAGGACCUUAGACACAAAUAUGCACAUUGAAGUCUUGGUAUAAUGGUUGAGUUCAAAAUGGAUUGUUCUAUGUGAUGCUAGUGAUGAAGGUUUGCAUUAAAAUAAUUAGUUUAAUUUAGUACUUGAGGACAAGCAAAGGAUAAGUGUGGGGUAUUUUGAUAUUGCAAUAUUUAUACAUACUUUUAGGCAAUAUUUUAAUACAUUUUUUAUACAUAUUUUGGUUAUUUUCAUAGAAUAAUGGUACUUAAAAUAUUAAAUUGUAUUUUGCAACUAAAAGAAGUCAUUUUGAAGAUUAAGGACUAAAAGUGACAAAAGAAGGAACUUUGGAGGCUUGGAAGACUAAAGAAAAGAAAACCCACGAAAAUAGCUUAAUCAACGUUGUGGACAUCUCUUACAUGACGUGGAAUAGAAAAUUCUGGAAGAUGAGUACACGCAAAGUCAUAAUCCUUGCCCGAUAAGGAUUCUUUCAAGCCCACGACGUGGAGUCCUAAUCCACAACGUGGAAUGCAAUUUCAUGAUAAUUAUAUAUAUCUUUGACACUUACGGGUUAAAAGGUUAGAUGGAGAUUAGAAGUUCCAGAAGACGAAUUUUAGAAAUAAUUUAGAGAGAAAUCAAGCAUUGGUAUUGGAGAAGAAUAUGAAGCUCAUUACUUUGCUUUUGAUUUGGUACAGUUCAUUUGCCUUUAUUAAUUGAACUUGUGUGUUUUAUUUUAGCUAUGAGUAGCUAAAUUGAGCUACUUCUGUUAGCUAGAUGAAGCUAGAACUCAUGAUUUGGUUAUAUUAAUUUAGACUUUCUAGUUGGUUAAAGUCUUGUGUUUGAUUUUUUAUAACUAGCAUGCUUAAUUUGAUAAAAGAUUGCUUUAAGUUUAUAUUAUGUGUAGUUAAUGACCAUUAAUGUACAUGAAUGUGAUUAUCGAGUAAUUUAGGAAACAUUAGAUUAUUAGAGCUCAGAUCAAACCAAUCUUAGAUAAGUAAUUGAAAUAUUGAAUUUAACCAAUCUUAGAUAAGUAAUUGAAAUAUUGAAUUUGGUUGUGCUGGAGAACUCAUAUUAUGAGCAUGGUUGUGUUUGUCAACUCAAUCUUACAUAGCUCCAGUCCUAUCUAAUAAUUGAUUUUGUGUUAAAUUAUGUAUGAUUCAAUUUUAUUAAGAAUUUAAGUUUAUCUGAACUUGCAAAAUUUGAUAAAACCCCCUUUUUUACUUUUGUUAGAAAUUUAGAUUAAUUUAAUAGUAAGUAGGUCAAAUAGUUAAUUAUGUUUCCUGUGUUCGAUACUCGACUUUUGUGCUAUACUAUUUGUAAGGGGUACACUACCUUGGGUCGAAUAGCUAGUAGGAGAGUAGGACAAAUUAGGUGUAGCUAUUUGCGCGCAUCAUAUUUUGUACUUACCUAGUGGAACUACUAUGCAUAAAUCAUAGGCAAAUGACUUGACCUAUGAGACGACUUGAGAAGCACUAAAGAUGAUGCUUACAGAAGUAUACUACAAAAAGAUAAGAUAUAGAAAUUAGAACAAGCACUGGUGGAGGAAAAGAUUGUAAUGAAACAUGUGAAAAUGGGUAUUUUGAGAGAAAUUGAACAAGACUAAAGAAGCAAGAGGUAACGGCUUGAGUCAGAGCAAUUGUGGUCGGAACAAGAAAUGAAAAGCAAUAACCAUUAGUAGCAACUGGUGUGUUUCCCAUUAAUCACUCGUAUAUCGAAGUACUUGUAAUCCAAACGUGCAUAAGCAUCUUCAUGAACCCUAAGUUUAAACAUAUACUAAGUCAUCAACCCAAUAGAUUGGAGAAAACCUACAAAGUUGAGACAACUAGUGAGCUGUCAAAAAUCUAAUUUUGAAAUUUUGUAAAUUUUAUUCUAACACCCUUCCAAUCAUGUUUUCACUUCAAUCUCGUGCGUAUGUCCACGGAAAGUCCAAUAUCAUUGUUCAUAUGAAACAGUUUUGUCUGUGUCGUGCUAAUUCAUUAUACGACCCCCUUUAACUGAUAAAGUAACCAUGAACGAUUGAUCUUUACUCUAAGACUUCAUGCCAAUUCCGAGCUGAAGCUUCGACAUUUUUAUAGGUAUGAAUUGACUACUUCCCCAUUGUGUCUAGAUCUAUACUACAAGAAAGUUGUACAACUAAAUAUACCCACGAGAAAACCAUGGUCAGUUAUGAUGACAAGUCGGAGAAAAACCUAAAGUUUCCUUCCGACCCUAAAAAUUAAACCAUGGAUUGUUGUGAACAUGAAAAGGAAAAGCUGACCAGAACAUGACAAAGAAAUCGUCAGAGUUCACAUGAUGUCGAUCUAUAUCAUCUCUCACCAAGAUAGUAGAUUCAUCUAGCCAUUAUGAAAAUCAUUGCAUUCCUUGAGUGCGCGCUUAGGCAUAACCAUAUCUAUUCAUCCCCAAUGGCUAGACCUCAUGAACCAUCUCGACAUGAGUAAUAUGGUUUGAACCUGUAUGACAGACUUUGGAUAUUGCAAUAAAUUCUCAUUUUCGUUAAUUGAUUUUUUCCUUCAACAAUAGCUAUCACACCACUAUCAAGCGCACACCGUUUAAGGCUUUAUACAGAUACAAGUGCCAAUACUCGUUAUGUUGAAUAAUGAUUAAAGAUGCGAAAUUGAACAAAAAGCGUGUUGGUGAUACAUUUCAUUCCUCUCAAAGAAUCAGUUUUGAGAUUACAAAAAAGAUUGUAUGAACCUGAGAACGAGUGUAGACUGUACUCGAACAACAAGAGAGUUAGGUAAAAGAAAAUGCAAGCCUUUUGACAUCCAAGUCGAAUACUGUGUAACUUUAAACGCUUUCCUUUUGAAGAAUGAUACGACUUAGAGAAUGAGGUAGGUUAUACCUACAACUCAAAGGAUCUUCAAAAUUCAAAAAAAAAAGGUCUUGUUAUUUAUAUGAAUUUAUCUAUAGAGCUUAACCUCAUGUAUGACACCUUUCGUGGGCCAAAACUCAAGAAGUGUAUGUCCGACGACACAAUUACAAUCUCUUUCUCAAUGAAGUGUACUAAGAAACCAUGCUAAUGUUUCAUAUUUUUGAAAGUACACAUGAUAGAAUUGUAUGUAAUAUUCAAUAACCUUUAAAUAUUUGAUUCGAUCGUACUACCUAUUCUAUGUUUAGUUGUGACUUGGGGUAAAGCCAUCUAAUGGAUCGGUUAUCUAAUCUAGAACUAUGCAACUUAAAUCGACUUUAGAAAGACCAUGUAUGGAUCAAGAGAAAUGAAAACACUACCAACUAUUUUAUAAAGGUUUAUCUACACGUUGACUUUCGGGACAAAAUUCCAUUUAACGAUGGGGACAAUGUAACAACUGGUAAAAGUGGGUAGUAAUCAUAACACUAAUGCUAAGCCAUCCACUAUAAUUAGACCUAUCGUACGUCACUACUAUAUUAUAGUAAACAAAUGAGGUUGUGUUACACUUAACUUCUCAUAAAUUAAUAAACUCUAAACUCAGAAUUAUGUCUAGUGAUCGAUUUCAUUUUAACAAUAUUUAUAUCCUGAAUCAUCAUGUUAGACAUGUGAAACUCUAGUUAUUGUUUAAAUAUAAAUUCGGGUAUAGGAACUUCAUUUAUAUGUAUAUUUUGAAUCAUCAUGUUAGACACGUAUGAGAUGAUUAUAGGAAUCAAGUUGAUUUAUUGUAAAUUCAGACGACUGAAAUAACGUAUUNNNNNNNNNNNCAAAUACCAAAUACUCAAAUACAUGUAUGAUAUAUAAUUGUAUUUAUAUAUGAAAACCUAAAUACUUGUAUAUAUAAGAUUAUGUAUUAUGUAUAAUUUCAAAAGACCAUGCUAACAUGACAAUUAUGGCAUCUCUAGUUCCAAAUCUCGAUUUCUCUAUAUAUCAUACACAUAUAUGUAGAUUAAACUCAUAAUACAUUGAAGUAUAUGUAUUGUGUGUAUAUGAUAUUGCUUCAAGUACUUCAAAACCAUUACCCACAACCAUAAAUCCUAAUAGACAUUGUAGCACACCUAAAAUGCCAAAGUAAUGAUCUAUUAGGUACAUGAGAAUUUCCAACUUCUAAUCCUUCCCCCUCAUUCUCGAUCAUUACUCCUCACACACACACUAACACAAUUGAACAUCAAGUUGCACAUGUAUCAAAUCUUGAAUCAAAUUGGGCAUUGCACUUUAAAUCAUAUAUAGAUCACAAUAGUACCUAGAAAUCUUCCAAAAAAUCAAUUAAAAUCUACAUAAGAUCAUCUCAAGUUGUAUCUUCAAGAACUCUUACCUUCUUCCCCGCUCUAAUCUCAAUCUUACUCUCCUCAUUUCUUCUCUUUGGAGGAAAAAUCAAGAACCAAAAAGAUGGUUGUUGUCCCCUUUUCGUUCCAGCUUCUUUCCUUUCCUUUUGAUGUGAUAAACACGCCACAAACACCCUCUGAAAUUUAUGUGAUAACCUGUUCAUUCCCUUUUUCUUCCUUCUUCAAUUUCAAACACAAAAUCCUCUACCAUAGAGAUUCAAGAGGGUUAUACCCCUCUCUCGUUUACCCUUCCAUCUCUUCCUUUCUCAUUUAGUAAAAUUUCAACAAACAAACACCACCAGUUACUUGUUGUCGUGCUGCUUCUAUUCUAUUAUUUUUCAUCGUGUUUUUUGUCGAAUGGAUGUAAGGCAACCAAGAGCUAUCGGAGCAGCCCUCACUAGCGGAUCAAUCAACAACAACCCCCUCCCCCCACACACAAACACACACACUUACUGUUUCAGUUUGUGUUUCUUUUUCCCGAUCAGAUGAGGUUCGAAGACUGAUUCCACUUUUGUCUGAAAUAUCGAACCAUGAACCAUGAACCACCACCACUUUGAUUGACUUUCUUCCUCUUUGAUCGAUCGUUUCAACCCUCUAAGCAACCCCUCGUCACCAUUGUUAGCGAUAGCAGUCGCGUGCUGCUUGCGUCUUCUUUCCCUAACCAGUGUUUGUCGAUUAGCCACCAGACCACCCCAGUUUGCUGCUUCGAUUGUUUUAUCCUUUGCCUUCCCCUAUCUAUGAAGAAGAUGGCGAAGAUCAAACCCACCAAGAGCCGUUGGAGAUCAGCUCUCCCUUCCUCGCGAUCUUCUUUUGCUUAACUAUCGUCGAAGAUCCCGUUGAUUGUCCCCGACAUUGUUUGGGGCUGCUUUUUAGCCUAAAAAGUCCUUUUCAACAAAAGGACUUUUUGUCUUAUAGCUUUUUGAAAAAGAAGAUUUUAAAAAGUGUUUGGAUUAUCUUUUGAGGGAGCAAAGGCUAAAAAGCCAACAGUUACAAAGUGUCACAAUUUCUGGCUUUUAAAAUCACUUAUUUUUUUCUUGCCAAAAAGUCAUUCUAAAAGGAUUUCUAGAAUUGCCAAACACCUUUUCAAACUUUUAACUUUUAGUAAAAACUAAAAUUUUAAAAAGUCAUGUUGAAAAGUAAUCCUAAACACACUCCCCAUUCGAUCGGCUGAUUCCUUUGCUCGAUCUGAUGAUCAGAUGAAGAAGAUGCAUCGUUUCCCAUUUUGUACAUUAGAUGAUUUUGGAAAAACAAGUCCCUUUAAUUGUUGUUUUAAAUUAGAAUUAGCACCUAAAUUGAAAUCCUUACAAACCAAGUCCCAUGUGAUUUCGGCUUUACAAAAAUGGUCCCUUUUGGAUAUAAUUUUUCACAAAAACAGUCCUUUGUGUUAGUAAGAUUAUAAAAUAAUUUUUUAAAUAUAAAAUAUUUCAAAACAGUUCCAUUUGAGUUAAAAUAUUAUAAAAAUAGUCUUGGGCUUUGCUUUAACUCAAAAAGAUGUCAAGAUAGGGUUUCUCCCGUGAGGCUUCACCAAAACAGAACCCAGACUAAGAUCACGCAUCGAAUGUAAGUUUCUAUGACCCCUUUUUUACGGUUUUAAUAUUUGGGGGAGAAUAUAUGUGUGUUUGUUUAAAUUUUAAUGAUAUUUCAAGUUUUAUAUACAAAAUAGCAUCAUACUCUAUUAUUGUUCAAACGUUUGUGAAAUAACAAUAUAAAAAUGUGAUCAAUCACCAAUAAAUCUAUUAAGUUAAAGUAGAUUGUUAAAAGACGAUAUAUUUAUACUUUACGUGAAAUAUGAAUAUAAUUACUAAGAAAAAUCACAAGAUUAUAAGUAAAUUGCUAUAAUAACACAAUUGAUACUAUAAGUCACAAAAAUGAAAAUGACCAAAAAUCUUACUAGCGUGUAAAAUGGAAGUACAUUGUCAUAUUUGGUAGAAAAGUCAAAUUUAUGAAAUCGUACAAUUAAUAGUUAAACUUAUCAAAAUUUAAAUUUAUAUAUAUAUAUAUAUAUAUAUAUANNNNNNNNNNNNNNNNNNNNNNNNNNNNNNNNNNNNNNNNNNNNNNNNNNNNNNNNNNNNNNNNNNNNNNNNNNNAUGAAUGUAAAAUUUAUUAAUAUAUUUUUAUAUUAAAUAUAAAAAUAUAACUCAUUCUACUAAGUUAUAGAUUUUAUUGCAAUACAUAGCAUGAUCGAUUUCAGAACUUAAGAUUCGUUAUUUGCGAAAUAUUAUAUUGUAUUAAUCUCAUGAAAUACAAAUAUUAGGAAAAUUGUUAUUUUCACGUUGGUUGAAACUUGGAAAAUGUUAUAAAAGCAAUCAUUAUGUUGCCCAAAUUUCAUCAUAAUCGACAAUAGAAAUUUAGAAAUCCAUUAAGUAUUGUGUAUCUCAAAUACUUAAAGACUUUAAUAAAAUAUUAUUCCUAAACAAAAAAAAUCAUAAAUAUUCAACAAUAUUAUAACGGGAAGUUUAGGACUAGGAUGCCUAGACACAUUGUUAGGAUCCUGUUGGAUAUUAUUCUUUUUAUAUCAGCUCAGAUACCGAUUGUUGGAAAUAUAAAAAUCUGAUCACUACAACAAAAGGCUCGGAUACCAGUUACUGUGUGACAGAUAUGUAAGUUAAAGAUAUAAGAUGUAGAUAUAUAUAAAAAUAAUAAUUGCGGAAUAAGUAUAAAUAUGAAAGCUAUAAAUGAAUGAAUUGUAUAAUAAUAUAAAUGACUGUAUUUAAAUGACUUAAAGCUAUAAAUAAUAUAAAUGACUGUAUUUAAAUGACAUAAAGAAAUAAUAAAAUAUAUAACUAUAUAAAUAUAUAAAUAUAUGUUAAGUAGGUUCGUCAAUAAAUUGACUGAACUGGACUGAUAGAACGACUGGUCGAUAUUUGGACUCUUGGAACGACUGGUCGAUAUUUGGACUCUUGGAAGGACUGGUCGAUUUUUGGACUCUUGUAUCUUAAUAGACUUUGUUUCUAUUUGUUCAAAGAUCAAUCCGGUGUUUGAUAAGUAACAAAAAGUUCAUUCAAAGCCCGGUUUUAUGUUAAACAACUUGUUUACAUAAAACUUCAAAAUACAUGAGUUUUAGUAUUUGUAUUUGAGGUAUUUUUGGGUAAAAACAUGCACACGGGUCGUGUAAGAUAAGGCACAAGUAACACGGGUCGUGUAGGAAGGUUUAGGAGGGUUUUAUACGGUUUUCUUGAUCAGGAUCCUGAAUACAGGCCGUGUUUGAUUUAGGCUUGGAUUAACAUGGGCCGUGUUGAAGUACCAGAGGGAAACAGAUGAGUACACGAGUCGUGUCUGAUUUUAGGCAUGCCGAACACGGGCCGUGUUCACGCAGAAGUCAAUUUCGGGAUUUUUGUGGGUUGAAGAUAAGGUUUGUUUAUGAUGUUUUGGCUAAGGUAAUUGUGUUAUGGUGUUUUGAGGAUGUUUUCUAGGCUGUUUAGAGGUUGGAAGGAGGUUGAUAUAAGGUGGUGAUGGUGAUGAAAUUUCUAUGAAGAUGACGAUGAAUAGUGAUGGGUUUUGUUGUUGAUCUUGAUACAUAAGGUUUUAGGGUGUUUCAUGGUUGUGUUUUUGUGUUUUGAUGUAAGGGAGGUGUUUUAGUGGUGAAUGGUGUGAUGAAAAAAGAUGGUGAAGAUGAAGAUCCUUGAGUUUUAAUGAAGAAGAUGAAUAUGGUUGAUGGUGUUCUUCAUUUAGCUAGUUGAUGAUCUUGGUGUUCUUCACUUUCUCCAGGGAUUUAUCUUGUUCUUGAAAAAGAUGAAGAUUGUGAUGUUCUUGGGAGUAUUUGGUGAUGUUGUAGGAGGUGUUACAAAAAAACAACAAAUGAACACACACACACACUACAUACUCACGUAUACAUAUAUGAGAAACAAAUAUCUAGUAGUGCACUUGAGUUUUAGUUGAAAGUAAUGGCUGGUGAUGCAAGUUGUGGUAGUAGCUAGGAUCAAAAACGUGGGAAUGAGUUUGCUACUUCAUUUCCUUGACUUUUCUUUGUUUGUUAACUCUUACUUANNNNNNNNNNNNNNNNNNNNNNNNNNNNNNNNNNNNNNNNNNNNNNNNNNNNNNNNNNNNNNNNNNNNNNNNNNNNNNNNNNNNNNNNNNNNNNNNNNNNNNNNNNNNNNNNNNNNNNNNNNNNNNNNNNNNNNNNNNNNNNNNNNNNNNNNNNNNNNNNNNNNNNNNNNNNNNNNNNNNNNNNNNNNNNNNNNNNNNNNNNNNNNNNNNNNNNNNNNNNNNNNNNNNNNNNNNNNNNNNNNNNNNNNNNNNNNNNNNNNNNNNNNNNNNNNNNNNNNNNNNNNNNNNNNNNNNNNNNNNNNNNNNNNNNNNNNNNNNNNNNNNNNNNNNNNNNNNNNNNNNNNNNNNNNNNNNNNNNNNNNNNNNNNNNNNNNNNNNNNNNNNNNNNNNNNNNNNNNNNNNNNNNNNNNNNNNNNNNNNNNNNNNNNNNNNNNNNNNNNNNNNNNNNNNNNNNNNNNNNNNNNNNNNNNNNNNNNNNNNNNNNNNNNNNNNNNNNNNNNNNNNNNNNNNNNNNNNNNNNNNNNNNNNNNNNNNNNNNNNNNNNNNNNNNNNNNNNNNNNNNNNNNNNNNNNNNNNNNNNNNNNNNNNNNNNNNNNNNNNNNNNNNNNNNNNNNNNNNNNNNNNNNNNNNNNNNNNNNNNNNNNNNNNNNNNNNNNNNNNNNNNNNNNNNNNNNNNNNNNNNNNNNNNNNNNNNNNNNNNNNNNNNNNNNNNNNNNNNNNNNNNNNNNNNNNNNNNNNNNNNNNNNNNNNNNNNNNNNNNNNNNNNNNNNNNNNNNNNNNNNNNNNNNNNNNNNNNAUGGGUUGUGGAUGUUAAUUUUUCUUUGUAAUUCCCUGGAACAUCAAACUCUCUGAAUCACCAAACAACAAACCUCAGGAACAUCAAGAUCAACAAGUUAAAUGAAGAAGACCAUCAGUCAUCUUCAUCAUCUUCAUCAAAGGCUCUUCAUUAAACUUUAAGAUCAUCAUCUUCACCACCUUAUAUCAACCUCCUUCCAACUUCUAAACAACCUCAAAAUACUCUCCAAAUACCCUCCUUAAACCUCCUCCAAAACCCUUUCAAAUCACCACAACCAUCACCACCUUGCUGUUUUUCACGACAUCAGAAUCUUCAAGUCAGAAACGAAGAAAACUGGGCUCAGUACAAGCACAAAAAGACUGGGGAGAUUUUCACCUCAAAUUCUUCAUAACCUUAACUACAUCUAAGAAUUUUCGUUGAUGAUUUUGACCACUGAAAACCCCAAAGAGACACGACAGAGAAUUGGCUAUCUGGAUAGAUUUCUGUUUUCGAGUUCAGAAUCUUAAUGUCAGAAAAUAAAAAACUGGGCACAACACAGCCAAGAUAAUACUACAGAGAUUUUCACCACAAAUUCUUUAGAACCUUACCUACAUAUAGGAAUUUUCGUGGACGAUUUUGACCACUGGAAACCCCAAAGAGACGCGAGAGAGAAUUGGCUAUCCAGAGAGAUUUUCUGAAAACUGAAGGUUUUUUUUGCGUGCAUGCAAGGAUUUGCGCGAACACGACACUGGAUGUUUUUUCCUAAGUGAACACGACCCGUGUUCACGAUUUUGACCUUGAAAACCUUCUAAAACGUCCUACAUGACCCGUGUCACUUGUGCCAUAUCCUACACGACCCAUGUACUCGUUUUCAUCAACUUUUCAAGAUUAAACACUCCUACACGACCCGUGUCACUUACCCUUUCCUUUACACGACUCGUGUACAUGUUUUUACCUAGAAAUACCUCAGAUACAAAUACAUAAACUCAUGUAUUUUUUACUUUUAUGUAAACAAGUUGGUUUAAAUAAAACCGAGCUUUGAAUGAACUUUUUGUUACUUAUCAAACACCAGAUUGAAAUUUGAACAAAUAGAAACAAAGUCUAUUAAGAUCUAAGAGUCCAAAUAUCGAGCAGUCGUUCCAAGAGUCCAAAUAUCGACCAGUCAUUCCAAGAGUCCAAAUAUCGACCAAUCGUUCCAAGAGUCCAUAUAUCGACCGGUCUUUCCAUCAGUCCAGUUCAGUCAAUUUAUUGACGAACCUAGUUAACAUAUAUUUAUAUAUUUAUAUAGUUAUAUAUUUUAUUAUUGCUUUAUGUCAUUUAAAUACAGUCAUUUAUAUUAUUUAUAGCUUUACGUCAUUUAAAUAUAGUCAUUUAUAUUAUGAUAGCUUUCAGUCAUUUAUAGCUUUCAUAUUUAUACGUAUUCCACAAUUAUUAUUCUUUAUAUAUAUAUCUACAUCCUAUAUCUUUAACUUACAUAUCUGUCACACAGUAACUGGUAUCCGAGCCUUUUGUUAUGGUGAUCAGAUUUUUAUAUUUCCAACAAUCGGUAUCUGAGCUGAUAUAAAAAGAAUAGUAUCCAACAAUUGGUAUUUGAGCCUUUAUUAGUGGUGAUCAGAUAAUAUAUUUUCAACAAAUAGUAUCAGAGCUGAUAUAAAAGAAUAUUUUCGAACAGAUCCAAGACUCCAGGGUCUCCCUGUAGGUGUCACGUUGUUUCUAGAGCCAUAUGAGUUAGGUUCGUUUCCUAAGCCAUUUUUAAAUAGCAUGAUCAAUUUUCAGAACUUAAGAGUCGUUAUUUGCAAAAUGUUAUAUUGUAUUAAUUUUGUGACAUCCCCAAUUUCACGACCAGAAAAAGACCGAUUUGUUUAUGCUUUGUUUUAAAAUCAGAGUAAUCGUUUAAAGAAAACAGAUGCAGAAUUUGUUCCCAAAACAAAAUGUGAUAAGAAUUUAUCAAAGCAUUUCUUUAAAGAAAUGUAUUUUCACUAAAAACAAAAUAUCGGGAUGUCAUGUUCCAAUACAGACCAAAAGCAUAAACAGUAUAUAAAAUAGAUCUUACAAUAGUUAUUUAUAACUACUGAUCUAUAAUCCAAAAUCUCUCGUCAAGUACACCAACUUAUACUCUUGUGCCAUUACCUGUAAUGCAAAGAAAACUAAGUGGGUCGGGCUUUGGAGCCUGGUGAGCAUAUAGGGUUUUCAACCCACAAUAAUAUAAUUAUUAUAUUUAAUCAUCAAACAAUCAACCCAAUUACCCAUCCCCGUUGUCUUCUUUAUUUCAUAAGGUUUUACCCUAAGAAUCAAGUAUCCUUCCUUCAUUCGUUCCUAAGGAUUGGCCUAAGGAAUUGACACAAAGUCCAUUGUUGCCCAAGGUUCCUAUAACAAACACUAAAUCCAUAGCUGCCAAAGUUCAUCUAUACAAUACUAAAUCCAUAGCCACCAAGGUUCAUCUAUACAAUACUAAAUCUAUAGUUACCAAGGUUCAUCUACAUUGUACUAAAUCCAUGGCUACCAUCGUUUUAUUAUAAGGCACUAAAUCUAUAGCUGUCAGGGUUUUUAGAGUACACCGGUGAACAUCAAGUGCACAACACCUACAAGUUGCGAGCUUGCUAGUGUUCCACAUGACUGUCUAGAAUAGUUUGUGGUUGUCAUCCUUACUCUAAUGAAUGAUAGGGGCCAUCGUUUGGGUAAAAGUUUCACUCAUUUUUCACCUGUCACCCUCAUCUCAUGAUCUAUAUCAUCUUUCGUCUCAUCCUCAAACUAAUCUUUCCUCACACACCAACUGUUUCAUCUACCCAUGUUCUACCCAGCAUAUUUGUAGAUAUAAAUUACAUAUAUAGUUUAAAUCAUUUAAAAACCUAUAUAAAACAUUCAUUCAACAUCCAUCUCAAGUAAACAAACAACGUAUAAACACAUAGCACGUAUUUCAUAGCAAAUACUUCAUAUCUAUGUAAUAGAAGAAAGUAACUACACACUCACUUGAUUAGACGAUGCUCGAACAACACUACGACUCUUCGAGUAGCAAUUCUCCGGUGAAACUGGGAUAUCUUCACACAUCGGGCUUCUCACGGGCAUAGCUUUGGCUUGAAACUCUUUUCUUCUCGGGAUCUUCGGAGCAUCAGGACCCGCAUUGGUAUCGGGGAUGGUAUCGGGGCUUUGGGGGGGUUAAAAGAAGGAUUAAAGAUUAGUAGAGUAAGAGAGAGGUUGAGAAAUUAGCAACCAAACCCGGCUGCCUUUGGUUUCUAUUUAUAAGGCUGAAAUUUCAGAUUUCACGUCGUGAACCAUCAUUUCACGUCGUGGCCUUGGACGUCAUCAGUGCGUAGUCGCGAUGUUUAGUAUGUCAGGCUCUAGAAGAUGUCAACACUGAGUUCACGUCGUGAACCCCUUUUUCACGUCGUGAACUCUGACACAAUGUUGGGGUUCGCGCCCCGAACUUCAGAAAUUCAUAACUUUCAGAUACGAGCUCCGUUUUCGACAUUCUUUAUAUCUACGCAUAGGUGAGAUUAUGCUCUACAACUCUCAUUUAGAUUUCGUCGGCUAUUUUUGAAUUUAAUUUUUAUUAUAUUAGUUUUAGUAGGCCGGUAUAGGAAAACUCCGUUAUAAACUCAUAACUUCUCAUCCGACUUCUGUUUUCGUCUGUCUUUUUACCGUUGUAUUACUAUCAAUGAGAUCUUCGAUUUUCGUUUAGAUUGUUUCGGCUAGAAAUCCUUCGAUCUCAUAUUCGAACUUUGGGCUGCAUACCGCUAAGUUGAAACUUAGAAAAAUCAUAACAUUCUCAUACGAAGUGAGAUUUGGAUGUUAUUUUUAUGCACGCUCUCGGUUUAAUGUAUUCUAUGACUUUCAUUUAGAUCGCUAAGGCCAAAUAUCGCUCUAACGUAAAUUCACUAUUUACAUCGCGAUGUGUCGUGCCGAUUCUGUCGUGAAACUUCGACAGGUCAUAACUUCUUUGUUAUAAUUCGGAUUUCGACAUUUUUUAUAUGUACGAAAUCCUUAUAAUAUAUACUACAACUUAGUUAAGAUUAGUCCAUCUAAAUAAUCUUCCAUCAAAAGUCAUUUUUGACUCUCAUUGUCUCUAAAUUAACUAGCUCUGAUCUACGGGUGUUAAACAUCUCGUGAAAUAUAAAUAUUAUGAAAAUUGUUAUUUUCACGUUGGCUGAAACCUAAAAAAUGUUAUAAAAGCAAUCAUUAUGCUGCCCAAAUUUCAUCAUAAUAGACGAUAGAAAUUUAGAAAUCCAUUAAGUCUUACGUAUCUCAAAUACUAAAAGACUUCAAUCGAAUAUUAUUCCUAAACAAAAAAAAAUCAUAAAUAUUCAACAAUCUUAUAACGGGAAGUUUAGGACUAGGAUGCCUAGACACAUUGUUAGGAUCCAACACUCCAGGGUCUUCCUAUAGGUGUCACGUUGUUUCUAGAGCCAUAUGAGUUAGGUUCGUUUCCUAAGACAUUUUUAAAUAGCAUGAUCGAUUUCAGAACUUAAGAGUCAUUAUUUGCGAAAUAUUAUAUUGUAUUAAUCUCGUGAAAUAAAAAUAUUAUGAAAAUUGUUAUUUUCACGUUGGUUGAAACCUGGAAAAUGUUAUAAAAGCAGUCAUGAUGCUGCCCAAAUUUCAUCAUAAUAGACAACAGAAAUUUAGAAAUCCAUUAAUUCUUGCGUAUCUCAAAUACUAAAAGACUUCAAUAAAAUAUUAUUCCUAAAAGAAUAAUAAAUAUUCAACAAUCUUAUAACGGGAAGUUUAGGACUAGGAUGCCUAGACAAAUUGUUAGAAUCCAACACUCCAGGGUCUCCCUGUAGGUGUCACGUUGUUUCUAGAGCCAUAUGAGUUAGGUUUGUUUCCUAAGCCAUUUGGGUUAUGUUGUUGGGUAUACUAAGACUGUGUGUCUUGGUGGAAAACCCUUUAUUUUCAUAAUCGUUAAUCCGCAGAGAAUGAUUAACGACAAGUAUAAGUGUCAUACUAUUGAUCUUGUACGGUUAGAUCGCCCGAUGGGAGUUGGUAGCUACAACUACGUCUGCCGAGAUAAAUUUUGGCAUUGAUGUUAGUACCAUUGAAGAUUACCAUGUGUUAUAACAAGGGUGAAUAACUUAAUCAUGACCUAUCUGUAACGCACGUGUUUUGAGGCUAAGCAUUAAUGCGAUAAUGUAAUAGUCUAGGUCAACCGUUGUAAACUAUUUUAAAGUAAUAAAUAUGAAUUACUUGAAUAUUAUGUGAAUUAUGUGCUUUCAUGUGAUUAUAUACUUGUUUGUAAAGAUAUUAUAAAAUAAGCUUCAAAAAUAAAAUGAUAGAUAAGCCCGAUGUCUAUGAAGGAAGUUGUAGUGGUCGUGACAAGGAUUCCGGACAAAUGAAGAACACCGAAAUUCGAGUUGUAGUGAAGAAGUUAUGACCUGUCAAAGUUUCACGACAGAACCGGCACGACACUGUGAGACAUAAAUAGCGAAUUUGCGAUAUAGGACUUUUUAGACUUAGCGAUCUAAACAAAAGUCGUAGUGUUCUUCAAACCGAGAGCGUGCAUAAAAAGAACGCCAAAAUCUGACUUUUUAUGAGGAAGUUAUGAUAUUUUCUAAGUUUCGACUUAGCGGUAUGCAGCCCUAUUGGAUCGAACAAUCUCUAGCCGACACAACCUAAAUGAGAAUCGAAGGUCUCGUGAAUAGUAGCACAACGGUAAAAAGACCGACGAAAGCAGACGUCAGAUGAAGAAGUUAUUAAUUUUUAACGGACUCUUCCUGUCCCGGCCUGUUAAAAAUAUAACUUUAAAUAUAGAUUUAAAAUUUGCGGACGGAGUCUAAAAGAAAUUUGUAGAGUAUAGUCUUACCUAUCCGUGGAUAUAAAGAACGUAAAAAAUGGAACUCGUAUGCGAAAGUUAUGAAUUUUUGAAUUCGGGAUGGAAAAUUACGAGGGGUACGCCUAGCGUAUCCUCAGACGCCAAGUGUUCCGGAGUACGCCCAACAUACAAGAAGCGAACACCCUGCUGUUUGACUUCUUCUGUGGUCUGAAGCGCUCCACGAAGCUCCAUCCAAACUGCGACACGUGCCCUUAUGCGCAGCGUACCACCGAGGGUACGCCCAGCAUACUGCAAGGCCUCACGCCUAUAAAGGGUGCGAUGUGCAGCCCCAUUUUCCUCACAUUUUAACCUGUCUUUCACUCACAACUCUCUCUCUCUCUCUCUCUCUCUCUCUCUCUCUCUUUCUAUAGCCUUCCAAAACACCCUCGAAGCCUAGGAAACCUCCCUAACAUUAGAAGAAAGCCCCGGAGCGCCCGAAGGCUCCAAGAAAAAGAGUUUUUCGGUUUAAAACUCUGCCUGCGUAGAGCCCGGUUUUCAAGAAAACCUCCCGGUUUCAUCAAAGAAGAUUAUUUUAAGAAGUGAAGUGUUGUCCGAAUCAUCCCUUAUCAGGUGAGUGUAUAGUCACUUUCAUCUUACACAUAGAUAUGAAGUGUUUUAUAUAAAUUGCGUGCUAUGUGUAUAUAUUAUCCGUUUACUUGAGAUCUAUGCUGGAUGAAAGAUCUAAACCUAUUUAUUUUCAUAUCUGAACUUUUUCCUUCAAAUCUAGACUUUUUCUUUCAGAUCUAAGACUUUUUCUUCAGAUGUGAACUGUAUAUGUAUUUUUUUCAGAUCUAAACCUUUUUCUUCAGAUAUGAACUGUAUAUACAUUUUUUUUUGUCAGAUCUAGACCUUUUCUUCAGAUUUGAACUGUAUAUGUGAUUUUACUUUGAGAUCUAUGUUGGGUGAAAGAUUUGAACUUUGUUUUUUAAGACCUAGACCUUAUAUAUAUAUAUAUAUAUAUACUCAUUNUAUAUAUAUAUAUAUUAUAUCUAAAAAUAUGUUGGGUAAAACAUGGGUAGAUGAUAUAGUUGAUGUGUGAUGAAAUAAAAUGAUGAGAGGCCUUGAUGUUGAUGUUGAUCCAUUCAUCUAGCGGAGUAUGGAUGAUGACCACAGACUUUUCUAGGAAAUUCAGUGUAACGCUAGCACGCUCGCAACCUGUACGUAUUUGUGAACGAUGUGUUCACCGGUGUAGUCCAUCCCCCNNNNNNNNNNNNNNNNNNNNNNNNNNNNNNNNNNNNNNNNNNNNNNNNNNNNNNNNNNNNNNNNNNNNNNNNNNNNNCCCCCCAUGGUUGGCUUACGGACCCUUAUUGAUGAGGAAUCCCCUUAGCAGUAGUGUCCAUCCCAAUGAAAUUCCUUAGGAUAGAUCCCUUAUAAUAGAUACUUUAGGGACGUAAAGUGAGGAUAACAGGAAUGGGUAAUCGGGUUGAAUAAUUGUUGAAAAUAAUAAACUUAUUUAUUGUGGGUUGAAAACCCUAAAUGCUCACCAAGCUUUCCAGCCUGACCCACUCAGUUUCUUGUAUUAUAGGUAGUGGCCAAAGCAUAGUUGGAUGAUCUGACAAGAGAUUAUGGAUUUUAGGCCAAUAGAAAAUUGUACGACCUAUGUUGUUUUGAGGCCAAUUUUGUUUUAUGGCCUGUGAUGUUAUUGUUUUAUGCUUUUGAUAUGUAUCGAUGUUGACAUCCCAAGUCAGUUUGAGGGUCUCUAAGCCAAGUGCACUCAAGGGUUGAAUGUUAAGAAGCGUUAUCUUGGAAUCAAUAGUUUAUACUCGAGCUUGGAACACCUUCAAAGGUGGUUCACGGCUGUAAAGUAGGUUCACGGCCAUGAACCCAUGCUUGGGAUGUGAACCACCCUCCAUAUAUAUGGGAUUCACACAUUUUCUCCUCACUUCUUCAUGCUCCAGCCGUGAACAUCCCCAUUCUCUCUCAACUAUCUUCAACCGUGAUCACUCCUAAAGGCCUCAAAACGUAAGUAUUUCAUCCCUUACUUGUUCAUGCUUAGGAACCCCUUUGUUCAAACCUUGAUUCAUCACUUUUCAUCACCAUCUUCAAGAUCUUCAAGAUUUCAUGACUGUGAACCCUUUGUAAGGGUCGUGAACCCUUCAAAUGAUCUUGGGCCGUGAACACCUCAUGAGGCCGUGAACUCAUAGAGUUGGCCGUGAACCCUCCUUGUAUGGUCAAGAUCAUCAUUCAACCAUCCAUUUGUGGGUCUAGCACUUCAUUUAGAGUGUUUCCUACAUCCAAAUGUUGUUUCCUAUGCUUAUUAGUAGUUAUAAACACUAAUUGUAUGCACAUAUAUGUGAUUAUAUGCCUUAAUAGGAUUCAUUUGUGCUUGAGACUUCUCCUAGUUUGCCAAGCACCCUAUUUUUUUCAUUCAACCAAGUGACUCACAAUCAGGUGAUUUCAUACCCCUACAAUCAACCUUUUAACUGUUUUAAAUGCUCUUUAAGGGGGGGGGGGGAGAUACAAGUUGAACACAAUGAAAUUGUGUUAUUAUAAACCUUUGAACUGUACAACUUUCCAACACUGUUAAACACCAUUUACAAACCAUUUUCAAAACUAUUUCAAAACAUUGUUAAACUUCAUUUCAAAACCCUUUUAAAGCUAAUUUUUAAACCUUGUGCAAACUCUUUUACUCUCAAACCAUAUUCCUUUAUGUAUUCGAGUAUAAAUAGGCUUUAAUGGACUUAGGAUUAUUGUUAAUAACCUUGACUCAUGUUCCUUGUUUCGUUGUGUGCUUAGGAUAGGAUACACUAGUCCGACUGUCGAUUAACUCAUAAUUAUACAUGCUAAAUACAUAUAACAAUAUUAAAUCUUACCUUUAAAGUUAUACUUAAUUCAAUUAUACAUGCUGAGCAAUUGAGUCAUUUCUACAAGUCAAUUACAAAACAAACAUACUAGUAAAUUAUAAUAGGAAUGGUUUAGAGAACACACUAGACAUAUACAUUUACAAGUACAGAAAGGAGCACUAUACAUAUACAUUUACAAGUACAGAAAGGAACAAUAUACAUAUACAUACACAUUUACAAGUACAGAAAGGAACAUACACACUAUACAUGUACAUGACAACUAGAAUGUGAGAUACUACUUCAUGACACAACAAUACAUUGUUAUGCCACGUGUUGUAACUAGUGUAUCCUGGAGGAAGAGUGUGAGUUUGAGUAUAGAUCUAUAUGGGAUUGACCAUCCCACAUCUCGUUGCUAGCUACAGUGGGACAUGCGGGUCCACGGGUGAUCAAAUGUCAUACCAUUUCUGUAACAUCCCAAAAAUCCGUACCAAAGAAUUUUCUUUAAAUCAUUACCAAAGCCAUAUUCAUAAAACAUAUCAUAAGUCAUAACAUGAAUUCAGAGUAUCAUUUCCAAAACAUAUUUUCAUUAUCAGAGUAAAACAUCCCAGGCUGACUAAUCAAUGGUGUGAGCCAUGCGAUCACCCCGAGCUCUUCCCUCCGCUACCGGAAGUACCUGAAACCAACACUGAAAAUCGUAAGAACGAAGCUUAGUGAGUUCCCCAACCUACCACAUACCCUGCAUAAACACAUACAACACAUACUGGGCCACACCUGCUAUUUCGGGCCUCGCCCGCUACAACGACCCCGCCGCUCCAGGCCCCGCCUGGCUUCGAGCCCCGCUCGGAUAAAGAUCUAUUUCACUUAGGCCUCGACUGUCAGUGGGCCUCGCCCACUAACAUAUAAUAGCACAUAAACAUAUCACAACACAUAAGCUAAACAUAUACUAAUGGGUCCUGUCCUAAGGCCUCGCCUAUCUUGGGCCUUGCCCUUGUCCUGCUACUGAUGAGUCAUGGGACCCCGUCGACGCUCCUACUGAUAGUGAGAUACGAGCCCAGCCCACACUCACUCUUUUCCUAACUCGGGCCUCNNNNNNNNNNNNNNUGGGUCUUCCUACUCAUAUCUACAUGGGUCGACAUUGUGGCCUUAGACCCAUUCACACAAAGGGAAACUCACCUGUACUGCUGAACUUGCUGAUAACCCUUUGAUUGUUGAUCGACAAUUCUCUGAACCGCUGCCCCACUAGCUCCCCGAGCUACCAAUAUCAAUAUACAUAACACUUAGAUCCAAACAGAACACUAGAAGUCGACUAAGUCCACUCUUGAAAAAGUCAAAGUCCUGGUCAAAGUCAAUCUUCCUGACUGACUCUACUCGCCGAGUCACCCCAAGACUCGUCGAGUCCAUGAAUUCAGAAACUCCUAUAAUACGACUCAACUCGCCGAGUCAUCCCAAGACUCGUCGAGUUCAAAGAUCUCUGAGUCCCAUCCUGUCCAACUCACUGGGUCACCAUUCAACUCACUGAUCUGAGCCUUAACCAGAAAGGGUUAGUGCUUUGCGACCUAACUCGCCAAGUCCAAGAACAGACUCGUCGAGUCCAUGACAAUCUUCAACAGACUCGCCGAGUUGUUCUUCCAACUCGUCGAGUCCAUGCCCAUCUUCAUCCAACUUGCCGAGUUCACCCAUGUGACUUGCCGAGUCACUUCAGUUCUUAAUCCAUACAAUGGCUUUUCGAGUCAUGCAGGGGCUCCAACUCAUAGAUCCACUCUUCCCAAGUCUAUUCCUCACGUAAAGUUGCAAACUUUAUGCGAAACCAAAGAGAUAUGGGCUUAAAACACUCUAGAGCUAGGGUUUGAGACCAAGGGGCUUCACCAACAACUUAUUGGCAUAAACUUUAUGGCUUUCUGGAUCCUUAAUAGCCUAUAUCUGAGGUAGCAACCUCAGGUCUACUCCAAACUUGAAAUAGAUCUCCUCCAUACUCAAAAUUCCCAAAUCUCAACCAUAAGAUAGAUCUAAAUGCAAUAGGGUCAGCUUAUUACCUCAAAGGAUCUGAAAAUCCACACCAACUGUGUAUCCAAGGUUUCCUCUUGCACCACUAUGAACCUCCUUCUCUUCCAAGCUUCCAAUCACUUCACCAAGGCUAGAUCUUGCUCAAAAACGGAUAUGGUGGCUAGGGUUAGGUAUUCUGGGUGAGAAAGUCUGUAAAUGAACCCUAAGGAAGAGAAUAAGAUGCUUAAAUAGGGCACCAAGUCCCGAAUUUAGGGUUUCCUAAUCCAGACCGGACUCGCCGAAUCCACUCUCCGACUCGUCGAUUCGGUCACUUACUCUCCGACCCGGAUCCCGCUUCGACUCGUCGAGUUCACCUAUGGACUCGACGAGUUGACCCCCCUUGACUUAGGGUUUUCCUUUCCUUUCUUAGUCUUUCUGAUUCUGGGUGUUACAACUUCGGCGUCCGAAUAGAGGCGUGUGUAUACUAGGUCAAUCAAGUAUGGUUAUAACCACAUCACAUUUUAACCUUAAUUGACCAAUUCGGUUUUAAAGGCAAUAAGACUCUCGGAAUUGUAUGAUUCAUUUAGUACGACUAUGAGUCUCAAUUUUUCCGUUUCAUUGAUGAUGUUAUCGCUGGGUUAAAACAUACUAUUUUCCUAUUAAAAGAUAGUAACUAUAUGGAAAACAUACUUUGAUACAGAUAUAAAGUACAAACAUAAACAUUACAUUUUUACAUGAGAACAAACAUACAAACAGUUGAGCUUUGGGUAGAAGGCUACAUUCCAUAAUAAGUAGAAAAUAUAGGAUUUUCUGGGAAAGAAAACUAACAUUUUUACAAAACAAAUGUAAGCAUUUUACUAUAUGGAUACAAACAUUUUACAACACAAGUUUAAGCAAACAACGCUAAAUACUUAUGAACUCACCAACAUUUAUGUAGAUACUCUCUUUCAAAUUAAAUUGUAUUCUCAGGGAACUAGUAGACAAGUACACCCAUUCAACUUUUGAGAAGACGGAGUGGAUUCAAGACUCGUCAUUAUUUUGACUAUAAAUUAUUGGUGUCAUUUAAACUUUACAGAAGAACACACAUGUAUUUAACUAUUUUAUUAAUGCAAUGGAUGUUGUUGGUUGUUUUACUAUUUUUCAUUGUUAUGAUACUGUACAUGACGUUCUCCACCCCCGAAUGUUUCCGCCACUUCGGUUUUGGGGGUGUGACAUGUUAGGCAAUACCCCUUUAUUGCAUAUAAAAUAUUUCAGGGUUGUGAUUCCAUUGCAUUUCCUCUAUGUUGAUUUUCUAAUAUCAAAACCAGAUUUUACUGCAUAUCCUUUAUACCACUUAAUAUAAUCUUUCAUAUCUUUAAAAAUUUAACUCAUAUGAGGUAUCCAACUAGCUUCAACCUCUAGAAUACGAAAGAAAGAACCAUCAGCUCCAAUGAAUUGUUUGCAAGAGCCAUAUUGUGCUAAAACAUUGUCACUUUGAACUACAAAUAAAAGAAUGUGCCACCAUGUUAACAUAUAAUCAGAAUAAUCUAAAUUCAUAUGACUUUAAUUGUAAAACACAACAAUUGUAACAACGGAAAUUUUAAAACAAAAUUUUCAUUUCUAAAAAUGUAUUUUCAUCCAAAACAAGGAAUAAAUAUCCAACGUAUCAUGUCAUAAUACAAUCAUAUAAAUCCCAAGAUCAUAAAUCAUCCAUCAGUGUGUACAGAUCACGCUGGCGCCUUCCCAUGGUCCUCGCUAGUACCUGAAACACAUACGCAACAACUGUAAGCAUAAAUGCUUAGUGAGUUCCCCAAAAUACAACUUACGCACAUACGCCUUUCCAGGCCCUGACCUUCCGGUCCAUGUGUCUCAGGGGACUUCCGUCCCUGCUGGGUAAACCUUCCGGUCCUACCCACGCCAACCUUACGGUCCACAUUACAACGCCUUCCGGCCCAUAACAUAAUGCCUUUCAGCCCAUAUCAAGAAUAUCAUACAUAGCACACAUAACAAUUAACUUAUCACAUAUAACACAUAUGUCUCAUACCAUAUCCGACCUUCCGGUCACACAGUCAAAACCCUUCCGGGUAUAGUAUAGUUAAAAGACUCACCUCGUGAAUAUCGAUAGCUAGCAAAUCCUGGAUUCACACGUGCUCGAUCCUCCGAGCUACAAUCUCCCUAUAUCAUCAUACGUCUCUUAUUAACAUUUUUACCACUAAGGUUGACUACCCUUUUUAAGUUAACACUAGUCAACUCUUGGUCCACGGUCAACGGUCAACGGUCAACUUUGACCGGACUCGGCGAGUGCACUAAGGUGACUCGGUGAGUCUAGACGUUUUCACCAAUCUCUCUAGGAUUCCCUUUUGACACAUCGAGUACUCCCCCUGNCUGGGCGAUCUGAAGGCAAUAUUCAAGCUACUCGCCGAGUCUGAUCAUCGGACUCGGCGAGUCCAUGCCAUGCAAUCACUCAAACUUGCUUCUAAGGUCAGAUCUGUUCCAACAAUUCAUAGAUCUGGCCUUCCUAGACUGAUUCAAUACGUAAAGUCCUUAUCUUGGUGUUCAUAACACACCCCAUGGCUCAUAAAUGGCAUUUUAACCUAAAGCAUAAGUAUUCCAAUCCAAAACCUCCAUUGAUUCACAAAAAGCUUGGGCAAAGGGACACUCUGGACCUCCAAGGGUCCAGAUCUGGUCUAAAUCGCUUAAGGGACCAAGGGGGCACUCGAUCUAGCCACAAAAGGGCUCAACAAGCCCUAAAUCAAAUGAAAACAUCAACAUAGCAGAGGAUAGCUCGAAGAUAUUACCUCAAAUGCGAUGCUCUGGACCCCAAACUCUCAGGAAGUGCCUCCUCUUGCCUUUCCUUAGCUGAUCCUCCCUUUUCCUUGCAAGAUGACACCUCCAAGAUCAAUAAUGGCCUCCUACUAUGCUCGAAACGCUCACACUCGAUUAGGGUUUCACUCAAGGGACUGGUGAGCACAAAUGUCGGCCAUAAGGCCCUUUAAAUAGGUCCCAAACCCGAGAAAUUAGGGUUUCAUUAAACAGCGCGGACUUGCCGAGUCCAUACCUUGGACUCGCCGAGUCCAGGCGCGAACCCGCGUCCAGAACCGCGGUCCUACUUGGCGAGUCUGAGCUCCAAAUCGCCGAGUCCCCUCUCAAAACACCAAAACACAAACAUAAAAGAUACCUGGAAAUCCGGGCUGUUACAAUAAUGUUGUAUGUUCAUUAUUCUAUAAGAAUAAUAUGCAGUAACAUGAACUUAUCAACAACAUCAAGUUAAUAAUUGAUAUUAAUAAAUAUGUGUUAUAUAUUCUAUUAGAAUAACUGAUAUCAGUAACAAAAUUACCUUGGGUUUCCGAUAGAUUUUUCUCAUUAUGCAAAAUCUCUGAAUCACCAUAACUGGAUUGAUGAGUUUCUUCAACAUGAUGAUUAUUUAUGAUGCCAUGCAUAUCUAAAUCAUCCAUAACUGAAAAACAUAUUUAUUGAAUGAAAGUUUAAAAUCAAACAAUGAAACAAAUGAUGUAUUUCCUAAUAAAAUAUUAUAGGUUAAAAUGUGUUGUAGGUUACAUAGAUUAAACAUAUGAUGUUUGAUUGCUGAAAAUCAUGAAUCAUACAUAUAUAAAUUACAGAUAUCACUAAUAGCUUGAUGAUUCAAUCAAUUCAUGUUACGAGGUUAAAAUUUUAAUAAGUUAUAUACAAGUAACAUUGAAAGCAGUGAUAACUCAAAAGUUGAUCAAUUGAAUAGCUCAUGAUACAAAGUAAAAAUUAACAAAUUUGCCUUGGAUAUCUGAUUGAUUUUCCUCAUUAUGAAGAAUCUCUUAAUCAUUAGAACUGAAUUGAUGACAUUCUUUAUCGAAAUGAUUAUUUUCAAUGNNNNNNNNNNNNNNNNUUAUCUAUAUAUAUAUAUAUAUAUAUAUAUAUAUAUAUAUAUAUAUAUAUAUAUAAAUUUACUUCUAGUUUUCUAUAAGAAUAAUAUGCCGUAACAUGAACUUAUCACUAAGAUGAUGUUAUUGAAAAGUAAACAGAUGACACAUUCCUGAAAAACAUAUUGAUUGAAUGAAAGUUUAAAAUCAAACAAUAAAAUAGAUGAUGCAUUGCCAAAUAACAUAUUAUAACUUAAGUUGUGUGCUAUUUUAUACAAAAUCAAUCAAUCAAUAUAAUGUUUGAUUGCAAAAAUCACGAAUCAUACAUAUAUAUAAAUUGGAGAAAUCGAUAAUAGAUGGAUGUUUCAAUCAUUUCAUGUUACUAGGUUAAAAGUCGAAAGCGAUGGAAACUCAAACCUUGAUCAAUUGAUAAAUUCAUGAUGUUGAGUAAAAUUCACUGCUUGAAAGAUCAUAAACAAUUAUAAAAGAUGAAGAGUAGCAGAAGAAGUCAUUGAACACUUGAAACUCUACCUUGGAUGAAAUUGAAGAUCUCGGAGUUAAAGUCGAUCACAAUAUUGUGAUGAAUUGUUGAUGUAGAUAGAAGAACACAAUCCUCAAUCACUCAAAUUAUCAAUUGCAAAUGUAGAAGAAUGAAGAACAUGAACUCGAAAAACAAAAAUAAAUUGAGAUUGUAAAAGCUAUGAUUUAGCAUUGUUCGAUCAAUGUCCAACUCAAAUCGAUUAUCAGUUCAAAGAAUAAAAGAUUCAAGGAGAUAGAAGAUCAAUCAUAAGAGUCAAUUGGAGAACAAAGAAUGUUGAUCAAGUGAAUAUCUUGGUAGAAGAACGGAAGCAGAUGCUUUCUUAAUGACGUGAAGACGACGCUAUCAUUAUAUCACAUAUGAUCAUCUUAAAUUUAACUUUGUGAUUGAUCUACCCCUAAAUAACUAAUUAUGUUAAAACAAAGUUCUAGUAUGAUCGAUAGAUUCUAAAAAAAAACAAGAAUAGUAAUUUAAAGAACACAGGAAUGGCUCAAACGUUGUCCAAUGAUUAAACUUUAACACCUCAGAAGAGCUCGAUUAAGAACUUCGACGUAGAAGUGUUUAGGGUUACAAUGCAGCUAUUAAUGAAAACGAUCACCUCUAAUGCUAUACAUGCAUGCACUAUAAAUAGCUUAACCCUAAACAUAAAUCACGGAUGGACAGGCCCAAUCCAGAUACACAAAUAAUAAGCCCAAUGACCCAACACAAACGAACCCAACAAUCUCCCCCUUUGCGUCAAUUGAGGCGAGAGCUCAGUUCGGUUUUGCAACAGAAGACUUCUUAACUAUCUUGAACACACACGAAAUGAUAGCCAAAAUAGUUUGUCGGAAAGUGAUAUACCACCGAAGCAUGUGUAAUGCCCGUAGAUUAGGGCUAGUCAAUUUAGACACGAUAAGCGUCAAAAACGACUUUUUGAUAGAAGAUUAUUUAGCAUAAAUAAUCUUAACUAAGUUGUAGUAUAUGUCACAAGGUUUCCGUGCAUAUAAAGAACGCCGAAAUCGGAGUUAUAACGAAGAAGUUAUGACAUGUCGAAGUUUCGCGACAGAACCGGCAUGACGCUGAAUGACGUAGAAAAUGAAUUUAUGUUAGAUUAAUAUUUUGGCCUUAACGAUCUAAACAAAAGUCGUAGAGUUCGUUAAACCAUGAGCGUGCAUAAAAAGAACGUCCGAAUCUGACUUCGUAUGAGGAAGUUAUGAUUUUUCUAAGUUUCGACUUAGCGGUAUGCAACCCGAAUACUUGAUUUAAGAUCGAGCGGUUUUUAUCCGAAACAAUCUAAAUGAGAAUCGAAGAUCUUUUUGAUAGUAGUCCAACGGUAAAAAGACAGACAAAAACGGACGUCGGACGAAGAAGUUAUGAAUUUCUAACGAAGUUUUUCUGUCCCGGCCUCCUAAAAACAAAUAAUAAAAAAUAAAGUCAAAAUUAGUAACGGAGUGUAAACGAAAGUUGUAGAGCAUAAUUUCACCUAAACGUGGAUAUAAAGAACAUCGAAAAUGGAGCUCGUAUGUGAAAGUUAUGAAUUUUUGAAGAUUGUAGCACACAUACCAAAGCUUAUCCGAAGCGUACGCCCAGCGUAACCGAAAUUACGUCCAUCGUACUUGAAAAUUACGCCUACCGUACUUGGAAAUUACGCCCAGCAUAAUCCCAAACCCAACAGCCUAUAAAUAGAAUGCGAGAGCUGCCGAUUUCUUUUGUUCAAACUCUUUCUUCUCUCUAGUUUUUGCCUCGAUUUGCGUGCCAAUUAUAUCCCGAAGCCCCGAUUUCAUUCCCGAGCCCCGAAGCAAGUUCUGAAACCUCGAGGAUCCCGAGAAGUGAGAUUCCCGAGNUUACCGAAGAAUACUACUUCUACAAGUCGUAGUGUUGUCCGAUCAUCUUCUAAUCAAGUGAGUGUAUAGUCACUUUCAUCUUACACAUAGAUAUGAAGUAUUUUAUAAAAUACAUGUUAUGUGUGUGUGUGUAUAUAUAUAUAUAUAUAUAUAUAUAUACAUAUAUAUAUAUUGUUGUUUAUAUGCAUGAGUGCAUAGUUACUUUCUUCUAACACAUAAAUAUAAAGUAUUAGCUAUCAAAUACGUGCUAUGUGUUAUAUAUUAAUUGUCUAUUUGAGAUGGACUUGGAUUUGAUGUUUUUAUAUAGGUGUUAAAUGAUUUCAAUUAUGUUUGUAUUUAUAUCUACAAAAAUGUUGGGUAGAACAUGGGUAGAUGAAAUAGUUGGUGACGACGCGACUUCGUGCCUAUUGAGUAAGCCUUGGUGACGAUGCGACUUCGUGCCUAUUUGAUAAACCUUGGUGACGAUGUGACUUCGUGCCUUUUGUGUAAACUCAGGUGACUUUGAUACAUAGUGCCUAUUGUGUAAACCUUGGUGACUAUGAGAUGUAGUGCCAAUUGUAUGAACCAUGGUGACUAUGCGACGUAGUGCCUGUUGUAUAAACUGUGGUAGCAAAUGGACUUUGUGCCAGUUCCUAAGGUAAAUCCUUAGGAAUGAAUGAAGAAAGUAUAAUUGAUUGUUAGGGUAAAACCUUAAGAAAUAAAGAAGAUAAUGAGGAUGGGUAAUUGGGUUUAUUGUUUGAUGAUUGAAUAUAAUAAAUAUAUUAUUGUGGGUUGAAAACCCUAUAUGCUCACCAGGCUCCCAAGCCUGACCCACUCAGUUUUCUUUGCAUUACAGGUAAUGGAACAAGAGUAUAAGUUGGUGGACUUAACGAGAGAUUUUGGAUUAUAAAUCAGUGGUUAUAAAUGACUGUUGUAAGGUCUAUUUUAUAUUGUUUAUGCUUUUGAUAUGUAUCGGAACAUGACAUCCCGAGGUUUUAUUAUUUAAUAAAAAAAUACAUUCUUUUUGAGAAAUAUUUUUGAUAAAUGGUUAUCAUAUUUUGUUUUUGGGACAAAUUCCGCAACUGUUUUCUUUAAAAUAUAACUCUGAUUUUAAAACAAAUCAUAAACAAAUCGGUCUUUUCUGGCCGUGAAAUUGGAGAUGUCACAGUUGGUAUCAAAGCAUUAGUUUAAGCGAACUAGGAAAUCUAUAGGAUUUCUAGACUUAAACUUAGAAUGCUAAGAAAUGAUUGUGAGAUGAGUGUCUACCAUAUUUUAAGUAACGAGCACUAUUAUAUUUUUGGAAAUUUGCCUAAAAUUCUUUUAUGUGCUAAAUGUUAUAUGUUGCCAUAUAUGAUAUUAUUUGUUCGGAUCUAUGGUCUUUUGCCGACCGGGUCUGGAAACUUUAUGUGUUUCGGAUUCUAAACGUAAAACUACGGUAUUAGAACUAGCAUGUAAACAUUUCGGAGUGAUAUGGAGGAUUUAAAUAUCUAUCGUGAAUGAGGAUCUAAAUUCACCUUGUCCGAUGUAUAGAUCAAAAUGGCAAGAACAAGAAGCGGAGUUGGAAAGGCGAACGAGAACAGGAAUCAACCACCCGUGAUUGAGCAAGUAGCUAUUGCAGCAACAGUAACAACUGAGCCAAUGACAAUGGUUGGUGUGCAAGCAAUGAUUUAAAUGAUGUUGGAUCGUCAGAUGGAGGAAACAAGGUGUUUGUUUCGGCAGAAUCGUGAAGAAUUUACAAUACCAAUUUAACAGCCCGAAGCAAAUGGAGGGCAGUCUGAAGGUGGAAACUUUAGUGGGAUCAUUGGUCAGGACGACCCACCGAUGGUAAGGCAGAACAACCAGGAUGGAGGAAAUGACAGACAUGGAUGCAAGUACAAGGAUUUCAUGGCAUCCAAACCACCGUGUCUUUCUGGGAACCUGACACCGGUGUAAGUCAUGGACUGGAUCUCCGAGAUGGAGACAAUGUUUGAAAGUUACGAUUGUAGCAACAGACAGAAGACCACUCUUGCAAUUCCUCUUUUAAAAUCUGGAAUACUUAGCUGGUGGAAGUUAUUGGCUGGUCCGAUGGCCAAGGGGGAAGCUAGCAAGAUGUCUUGGGAAGAAUUUGUGGUGCAAGUGAAAAUGCAAUACUGCUCUGAGCAGGAUCUUCUGGAAAUCAACAAUGAGUUCCAGAAUCUAAGGAAGGGAAAAUUGAGCGUCACUGAAUACGCCACAAGCUGUACGGAAAAGAUGAAGCUUAUUCCAUACCUACUUCCAACUGAACUUUCCAAGGUCAACAAGUUUGCCAAUGGAUUACCAGCGGACUUUGGUCCGAUAGUCAAGCAAGCAACCACUUUGAAAGCCACCAUCUGGGCAGCCAAAAAUGUUGAGACCCAAAUAAAAGAAAAGGGUCUAGAGAGAGCUGAAGUUGGAGAGAAAAGGAAACAUGAAGGAUCUUCAAUAAGCAACAAAGAAACCAAAUUCUCGAAAUCUGGAGGAAGAGAUGAAGCUAAGUGGUGCGAGAAGUGUAAAAAGAAACACUUCAGGAAGUGUAGAGAGGAGAUGAAUUGCUACAAAUGUGGGAAGCCGGGGCAUUACGCCAACAAGUGUGCAUCCAACAAAAAGGUGUGCUACGGAUGUAACGAGGAAGGGCACAUUUCUAGAGACUGCCCAAAGAAAAACGUACCGCCACAGCCAAGGGCAUUACACAUGAUCCUCUACCAAGCGAAUCAAGGAUGAGGAAUUUAUAUCCAAGGAUCAAAUUAUGAUGUAGCCAAUUAAAGGCAUAGUAUAGGGUGAACUUGAACUUUUGUGUAAUCAUUUCAAGUUAUAAUGUAAACCCUGGUUUUGAUAUUUAGAUACUUAUGGUUUUAAUACCUGAUGUGUUAAAUGAUUGUGUGAUUUUUGUAUAGUGACUUGGUUCGACUGAGAGACAAUACUUGGGACAAGUAUGAGUAGGUGUGAAAGGUAGUAGAUGCAUAUACUACCGGAAGCACAAGACUCACACUUAGAUCAGGGAAAGUCACAAGGUUACCAAGAAGCUAGUGAUUGAUCUUGUUUCAUUCAAGUAUGUCGUUACCAUUGUUUCGGUAGUGACUAAGAAGAUGAUUUAUAUUCUGACCCUAGCGGUCAUAUCAAAUUAAGUCCGACUACGACGAGUUUGUUAUGUGGUUCAUAGAACCAAUUUCGAGGUAGCAUCUGACUCAAGUCAGGAGAUUGAAAUCAAUGUGAUCGAUAGAAUCGCGCUCGUUGUUAAGGAAGCUUGUAGCUAGAAACGCUACAUGUAAAAAUGUGAUUAUAUCACAUUAGAAUACGAAGAAAGGUAUAUUCCAUUCCGGAAUUUGACUUUAUGAGACUUGAGUCUAAGCGUUGCAUCAUACGAUGAGGGGUCAUCAAGACAUGACCCAUUGGUCUGUUACAAUAGAUAAAUGAAUGUAUUUAUCCUAAGAAGAAAAACGAGUCCACAAUAAGGAUUUAUUUUAUAAAUUGAAGGUUACGAUUGAAAUUCCAACAUAGUAUGAAGAGCAGAUGUAAGAUUGAACAUCACGGUUAUUAAUUAGGAUGGAAAGUUAACAUAUGGAAUCAUUAUUCAAGCCCUGUUUCGUUGAUGAUUCCAGGACAUAAUCAUCCUAAGGGGGAGAUAAUUGUAACGCCCGUAGAAUAGGGCUAGUCAAUUUAGAGACGAUAUGCGUCAAAAACGAAUUUUUGAUAGAAGAUUAUUUAGAAUAAAUAAUCUUAACUAAGUUGUAGUAUAUGUCACAAGGUUUCCGUGCAGAUAAAGAACGCCGACAUCCGAGUUAUAACGAAGAAGUUAUGACCUGUCGAAGUUUCGCGACAGAACCGACAUGACGCUGAAUGAUGUAAAAAGUGAAUUUACGUUAGAUUAAUAUUUAGCCUUAACGAUCUAAACAAAAGUCGUAGAGUUCAUUAAACCAUGAUCGUGCAUAAAAAGAACAUCCGAAUCUGACUUCGUAUGAGGAAGUUAUGAUUUUUCUGAGUUUCAACUUAGCGGUGUGCAGCCCGAAUACUCGAUUUGAGAUCGAGCGCUUUUUAGCCGAAACAAUCUAAACAAGAAUCGAAGAUAUUUUUGAUAGUAGUCCAACGGUAAAAAGACAGACAAAAACGGACGUCGGACGAAGAAGUGUUGAAUUUCUAACGAAGUUUUUCUGUCCCGGCCUACUAAAAACAAAUAAUAAAAAAUAAAUUCAAAAUUAGCCAACGGGGUCUAAACGAAAGUUGUAGAGCAUAAUCUCGCCUACACGUGGAUAUAAAGAACAUCGAAAAUGGAGCUCAUAUGCAAAAGUUAUGAAUUUUUGAAGAUCGUGGCACACAUACCAAAGCUUAUCCGAAGCGUACGCCCAACGUAACCGAAAUUACACCCAGCUUACUGAGUACGCCCAUUAUACUUGGAAAUUACGCCCAUCGUACUUGGAAAUUACGCCCAGCGUAAUCCCAGACCCAGCAGCCUAUAAAUAGAAUGCGAGAGCUGCCGAUUUCUUUUGUUCAAACUCUUUCUUCUCUCUAGUUUUUGCCUCGAUUUGCGUGCCAAUUAUAUCCUGAAGCCCUGGUAUCAUUCUCGACCCCCGAAGCAAGUUCCGAAGCCCCGAGGAUCCCGAGAAGUGAGAUUCCCGAGCCGAAACCCUGCCUGCGAGGAGCCCGGUUUUUGUAAAGAUCUUCUAGAUCUACGGAUGAAUACUACUUCUACAAGUCGUAGUGAUGCCCGAUCAUCUGCUGAUCAAGUGAGUGUAUAGUCACUUUCAUCUUACACAUAGAUAUGAAGUAUUUUAUAAAAUACGUGUUACGUGUAUAUAUAUAUUGUUGUUUAUAUGUGUGAGUGUAUAGUUACUUUCAUCUUACACAUAGAUNUGUGUAUGUGUAUGUGUGUGUGUGUAUAUAUAUAUAUAUAUAUAUAUAUUCUUGUUUAUAUGCAUCUGUGCAUAGUUACUUUCUUCUAACACAUAAAUAUAAAGUAUUAGCUAUGAAAUACGUGCUAUGUGCUAUAUAUUAAUUUUCUAUUUGAGAUGGACUCGGAUUUGAUGUUUUUAUACAGGUGUUAAAUGAUUUAAAUUAUGUUUGUAUUUAUAUCUACAAAAAUGUGGGUAGAUCAUGGGUAGAUGAAAUAGUUGGUGACGAUGUGACUUCAUGCUUAUUGAGUAAGCCUUGGUGACGAUGCGACUUCGUGCCUGUUUGAUAAACCUUGGUGACGAUGUGACUUUGUGCCUUUUGUGUAAACCCAGGUGACUAUGAGACGUAGUGCCUAUUGUGUAAACCUUUGUGACUAUGAGAAGUAGUGCCAAUUGUAUGAACUCUGUUGACUAUGCGACAUAGUGCAUGUUGUAUAAACUGUGGUAGCAAAUGGACUUUGUGCCAGUUCCUUAGGUAAAUCCUUAGGAAUGAAUGAAGAAAGUAUAAUCGAUUCUUAGGGUAAAACCUUAAGAAAUAAAGAAGAUAAUGGGGAUGGGUAAUUGGGUUGAUUGUUUGAUGAUUGAAUAUAAUAAAUAUAUUAUUGUGGGGUGAAAACCCUAUAUGCUCACCAGGCUCCCAAGCCUGACCCACUCAGUUUUCUUUGCAUUACAGGUAAUGGCACAAGAGUAUAAGUUGGUGGACUUAAUGAGAGAUUUUGGAUUAUAAAUCAGUGGUUAUUAAUGACUGUUGUAAGGUCUAUUUUAUAUUGUUUAUGCUUUUGAUCUGUAUCGGAACAUGACAUCCCGAGGUUUUAUUAUUUAAUAAAAAAAUACAUUCUUUUUCAAGAAAUAUUUUUGAUAAAUGGUUAUCAUAUUUUGUUUUUGGGAAAAAUUCUGCAACUGUUUUCUUUAAAAGAUAACUCUGAUUUUAAAACAAAGCAUAAACAAAUCGGUCUUUUCUGGCCGUGAAAUUGGGGAUGUCACAGCAUGUCUAUGAAGUACUUCUUGUCAGCAGCGCUGUUCUUCUUACACUUGUUCACCAGAUCAAUGAUAUGCUCCAGACAGCAUGUGGAGAACAGAUGUUUAUCAUCUAGGGCAAACACGAACUUAUCUCCUUCUUUCCUUGUAAACAUCACUGUUCGGUACUUCGAAUCAAUCACUCCCAGCUUCAUUAUGUUCGGAUCCUAAGCUUUCCCAAUCGGUUUGAUAGUUGGUCUUUUUCGCAAAACAAAUGAGAUUUCUUGAUCCCUCAAGGAGACUCCAUGAAUAUAACAAGCAAACAUUCGUUUGAGAUAUUCAAUAAUCAGCUCAUACUGUUUUUGAUUGGUAAGCAGAAUGUUAUACAGUAGAAUCCAGUUAUGUGGAUUCAAGUUCGGCGGAUCAGCCAAAGGAAUGAUAUGAACCGACCCCUCUGAUCCUCUUCUUACCUUGAACUUCACGUUGAUGAAUUUCCUAGCAGAAGUCGCUUCAUAACCUUCACAAUUGUAAUCUUUUGAGAACUCCAGGUCAAAUGCUGAGGCUGAGCAAAUUCCAAGUAGUAAUCAACCAAUUCUCUAUCCGUGUUCAGAUCAGGCGAAGGAACGGCAACAGUCGGUUCAAAGCAAUGAAACACAAAAGCUUUCCGAGUGAUUGGCAUAUCAAAUUGGGAGUCCUUACAAUUCUCACGGUCAAAAGAAACAACUGGUUUAAGCCAAUGUGUGCGUGGAGAAUCUAUGGCUUCUUUUAUCAUUCGCUCCAACGUCCAAAAAGGAAAAAGUACUUUGCGACUUUCCAAAAGGUCGUGAGCCUCCUUUUGCUUUUACUCCCUCCCUUCAGCCUCUUUAGCAAUACGAGAGUUUUCAUCCAACUCUCUGUCUCUAUUUAUUCUUUUGAGAGCAGUGUCGUCAUUCUCUUCUUCUUAUUAUUAUUCUUCUUCCAUGAUCCCUUUACCUUUGUCAUGUUUACCAGAGCCCGAAGCUUCAUUACCCUUCGGUUCUAUAGUAUCUUUUGGUUUCGGUGGUUGCUAAGAAGAUUUUUUUGGUUGCUCUUCAUUCUUGUCUCCCCCUUGUUGCGGAGUAGCAACCGAUUCUGGAACACCCACUACUCGGCUCAAUAAAUCAAGACCCAGACGCAAUUUUUCAGCUAGAUGUCUCCGGAUAGUGAUAGUUAGGACCGAAUCAUGAACAUCCAAGAUAUUGGAAAGAAGAUCUUGGACAUCAGAAACGUAGCUUCUCAUGACAGUACACUCAAAUUUGAGCUCAUCAAUAUCCCGUCUUGCCGGAUUCAACCGAAAAGCCUGAGUCUUGAGCAUCGUAGGUUGACAAGCGAGCUCAUCCAUCACUUUAUUUUCAAAUGCCAAAUCCUCUUGCAAUUUUUCAAGGAGAGAAGCAACCGAGGAUUGAAAGGAUGCUUGAUCGGCUUGAAUCUCAGAACGAAGUUGGUCAAACUUCGCUUGUUCAGCCUGAAAAGUUUGGAGAGAGACUAAAUUAUAGCAUUUACCUUAUUGGAGUUAGUUUCAGCUGCCCCUUGAAGUGAUUCUAGAAAAAUCUUGGCAUUAUGAAUCAAUGAUUUUACUUCAUCAACAGCCUUCUUGCUUGACAGAGUCGAAGCAUCAACAGCUUCUGUGGCUCUCUGAAUUGAGGACGCAUGUUUGUUAAGUACUGUUUCCAAAAUUGCUUUUACUGCAGCCUCAGAAUAACCCGAAGAUGAAAAAUAGGAUGAGGCAAUGAGCAUGUCAAGCUUAUUAUGCAAAUCCUUCAAAUGUCGCUUAUUCACAGGAGCAUCUUCAUCGUCAUCGCUCUGGACCCGAUAAGGACUGUAAUAAGUUGACUCAAAGUUAAGAACUUCACCGCCCAGAAUAGUGUCAGACUCGGUUGAUGGUGAGGGUGAUAGGGGAGGUUCAAUUUGUAAGGUAGGUGCCCCCGUAUCAGACACGUUGACACUGGGUUCAGUUGUAGCUUGAGAAAAUAUUGGCGGUGGAAUAGGAGAGCUAACUGGUGGUGCAGUAGAAACUGGAGGUGGACAUGGGGCAAUAGUAAUUAGAAUCGAAGUCUGAGUAGGAGAUGGAGGAGGAGAUGGAACUGAAUCAUGAACUGGUACCUCGUAAGUAGGAGAAGGAGGAGGCGAAUAACCUCUCCUAGCAUCAGAAUGAACAUCCUCACCCCCAUCAUCACCAGAAUCAUCAUGAGGUUGAUCAGAAGCGUUGUAAUCCGAAUCACUAGUCGAUGGAGUGACCGAUUUCCUUGCUGUCUUCUUAACCUUUAGCUUUUUCUGAACAGGUGCUGCAACUUUCUCAGACUUCCUCUUUUUCGAAGCAGUGGCCUUAAUGGAUUGACUUUCCUCAUUAGCUUUCUUUGGAUCACUGCGUUUACCCCUUUUUUGCUGGUUUAUCAGCAUCUUCAAGUCAUUGUUGCAUCUCCGGAGUAUAAACUCUAGGACCAGACUGAGGAGUUUCCUUGUAGGCAGCGAUAAUCGAGCUUGUAGCAGGAACAGAUCCAUACAUGGAUUCAGGAAUUGAACCCACAUAGGAAAAUUUUGAAGGAUUAGCUACGAUGAACUUCGUCGUAUGAAGUGUGGCGAUUGUAGACAUUAAUGAGUCCGCCAUUACUGGAACAUUGAAUCUUACCAUGGCCCGAUGAGUAACUAUCAACCAAAAGCGAGCACACGAGAUCUCACAGUGACGUGAAGAAGAGUUCAAACUCUGUACCUGUUGGGACCAUAGGAUAGAAGCAGAAUCCAGAUGCAUAUGUCUGUAAAGACCAUAGAAGAAAACCAUAAAACCCUUGCUUGAGCCAUCAGAACCUGCAACUUGUUCAGCAAAACUCUUAACAAGAAGAGUAAAAAGACCAUUCCAUUGAGGAGGAAGGCAUGACUUCUUGAACUUAGUAACUAUGGUCAAAAUAUCCGUGUAACCAAGGUCAUAGAACAUUGAGAAGAGAGGUGAUAGAGUAAUCGAAUCUGGGUUCACCAUUGUUUCUUCAUAAGGAAGCCCUAAAAAAGAAGAAAACCUGACCUUAGACACAGAGGUCUUGUGAUUAAAUAUCUCGAAGAAAAUCCUCUCUUGUUUCUUGCCGUACGUUGCAGUAGUGUAGACUUGAGAUAGUAAUGACAUUGGCACUGUUUCAGCCUUCAUCAACGCCAUGGCAAGUGGUGAAUAUUUAAGACCUUCAACCAACUGGAGCAUGCAGACAUCAUAUAGAUGAGGAUCAAGAUCGAUAAUGAGAUUUUGAUUGGGCUUAAUCGUCAGUAGUGUGGAGGAAGCUGUUUGAUCUUGAACUAAUGAAGAAUCUGCCAUUGUUGGUUCACAAGAAGAUGAGAACAGUAGAGAAAGAUAAAUCGUUGGUAUACUUUGAGAAAAUUUGGAAGAGGUAAGGAUACACCUUUAAGAUGAAAAACCUUUUAUACCAUUUCCUGGAGAGAGAAAAACCCGGUAUAAUGAUGACUGAAUCUCUGAAAAGUCUCCAUAAAAAUCACGAUUUGACAACUGUUCCCUAAAAAGUUGUCAGGCGGCGUGAGUGAUUUUUGACGUUUCAAAUUCCCACGCCCAAAUUUCGCCAGAUGACUAGGAUCAAAUUCUUAUCCAGUUACCGGCUCUUCCAGUUAUGAAGUCUUUCCAAACUCGUGGAUGACUCAUCGUUCCGCUUGUGAUUUAUAGUUGUAUAUUUCGGUCUCUAAUUGAGUGCUCAUGGACGACAUAUAUAACCGAACUAGGAAACCUGAAAAGUAACAGUAUUAAACCGAACCAGACUUGGGAAAAUCACGUGGAUUUUCGUGCAAGAGUGUGACAAGAGAAAAGAAAUAAAGGAAAGUGCGUUUGGGAUGUGAGUGAUGUCUUAUCAAGACACGAAGUAGAUGAUCCUGGGCACGAAUCUUCUCCUUCAAAUUCAACAGAGACUUGAAGUGGUUGAGUGGUUUCCUGAUAAAAUAUGAUCGAAUUUUUGUUGAUAAACAUCGAAAUGUUUUUUUUUCAUAUAUAGGCUGUAAAAGGUGGCUUAUCUUCAACUGAACUUCGAUACUUAACACAAGAUCGAAAGUCAGGUGAAGUACUUGUGAGACCGAUGUGGUCUGUUGAACAAGUAGGUUGGAUAUAGUUUGUAGUGACGGGAUGUUUAUUAGAAAUCUCAAAAAUAAAAAUGAAACUAGAUCUUUUGGGAAGAAAUACCUUGGUGUUAGAAAAUUUCAUAAAGAUCACACAAAAAAUAAAAUGAGACUUCAUAAGGUAAAAAGUAACAGCUUGAAUAUUAAGUUUUCAACAUCAAUUCAUUUAUGGUGUUGGAUUUUGGGUGUCACUUAGUACAUGGUGUAAGUAUCUAAGAUCAUAAACACAGAUUUUGUGUAACAAUAAACCUCAGUGGUAAUUUCUGAUAGUCUCAAGGGUUACGUUGGUGGAAUAAAACAUGAUGGAGAAAGUAGAGGAUGCGGUUGAAGAACCGAAAGUACCUCUGCUAAAUAAGAAUGACAAAGCAGAAAACUCUUGACUCAUAUGAGAAGAGUAAGGUAGCUCAUGACUUGAGUGUAUUUAGCAGCCUAAUUGGGAAGAAAUGAUUGGUAUUGACCGAAUAAUUAAGGCUUCACUCAGAGUCUUAGAGGCUUCCGUCUACAUACAGAAGCAUGCUUCUAGGGACACCUAACUAGUUCAUAGAUAAGAAUCUUAUACCUGCCCUCCCUUCACCGCAUGUUCCUUAUGUGUUCUUUAGACCUAAGAAAGAAAAGAAACCACACGAAAUACAAGAAGAAAAUAUUUUUUUGGAUUUUUGCAAUUUUUGAAAAAGAGUAAAAACAGAAAAUAAAAUAUUUUUGUAUUUUUGAAAUUUCUGAAAAAGAGUAAAAAUAGAUAAUAAAAUAUUUAAGAUGAUGAUAAAAGAUAAAGAAAUGUGAGAAAAAUUUACAAGUUAUACAACCGAACCCUAAACUUAGAAAAGAUGAAGUGAAAUAGACCGAGCGUUCGGUUCAUUUCGGUUCCCUAAAAUUCCGAAGCCGAAAUAGACCGAGCCUUCGCUCUAUUUCGCUUGUCUAUUUUUUAGAGAGAAGUAGGGGGUUUCGGUACCAACUCUGCUUCCAUCAUUCCCAAGCCUUGUAAUAUUCUAUUAAAACUUGCUUCUGGUAAGGCCUUAGUAAAGAUGUCAGCAAGUUGAUCAGUGGACCGAACGAAAUGAACUUCCACAUUACCGUCUUCAACAUGGUCCUUGAUGAAAUGGUAUCGUAGUGUAAUAUGUUUGGUCUUGGAGUGUUGCAUUGGAUUGUGGCAAAUCCUUAUUGCACUUUUUGAGUCACAGUAGAGAGGAAUCUUCUUCAUACUUAGUCCAUAAUCUCUAAGUUGGCUUUCUAUCCAUAUGACUUGUGAUGUACAGGAUGCUGCUGCAAUAUACUCAACUUCGGUUGUUGAAAGAGACACACAGGUCUGAUUCUUGGACUGCCAACUGACAAGUUUACCACCAAGAAAUUGGCACCAUCCAAUUGUGCUCUUUCGGUCCAUACCACAUCCACCAAGAUCUACGUCAGAAAAGGCUUGAACAAAGAAUCCGAAUCUAGCUGGAUACCAGAGACCGAGAGACAAGGUUCGCUUCAGAUAUCGGAAAAUAUUCUUCACUGCAAUCAUAUGAGGUUCUCUUGGAUUUGCUUGGAAUAUGGCACAAUAGCACAAAGAGAACAUAAUAUAUGGUCUACUAGUUGUUAGAUACAUAAGAGACCCUAUCAUUUAACGAUAGAGAAUCACAUCAACAGCCGGUUUAUCCAGAGACGGUGAUAGCUUCGUGCCAAACUCCACGGGAACCUUCACUUUAGAAUCCCCCAACAUGCCAAACGUCGCCAACAAGGUCUUGGUAUAAGCCUCCUGGUUAAUAAAUAUGCUUCUGGUCCGUGUCUAAUAUUCAGUCCAAGGAAAAAGUUAAUUGGACCCAUUACGCUCAUUUCAAACUUAGUCUCCAUCAACUUCCUGAAUUUAGCUAUUAAGCUAGGAUUCAUGGAGCCAAAGAUGAUGUCAUCGACAUAAAUUUGAACUAUCGUUAAGUGUUCGGCUUCUUUCUUGCGAAAGAAGGUUGGGUCAACCGAACCUUGCUUAAAUUUCGACAUUUUGAGAAAGCGAUUUAGAGUUUCAUACCAAGCUCUCGGUGCUUGCUUCAGACCAUAUACUGCUUUAUCAGAACAUAACAAUGAUCAGGAUACUUCUCGUUCACAAACCCAGGUGGUUGCUCAACAUACACCGUUUCUUCUAGUUCUCCAUUGAAGAAAGCGCAUUUUACAUCCAUUUGGAAAACUUUGAAGUUUUUAUGUGCAACGUAUGCCAGAAAAGUUCUUACAGAUUCCAACCGUGCUAUAGGAGCGAAGGUCUCCUCAUAAUCUAUCCUUUCUUCCUGACAAUAUCCUUUCACUACUAGUCUCUCUUUAUUGCCAAUGACGUUUCCCUCUUUAUCCAGCUAAUUCCUGAAGACCCAUUUCAAACCAACCACCAAUGCAUCCUUUGGUGUGGGAAUCAACCUCCAAACACGAUUACGUUAAAACUCAUGGAGUUCGUCUUGCAUCGCUUGUACCCAAUCAGAGUGAUCAUGGGCAGCAUUGACCGUUUUCGGUUCAGUCUUGGAGACAAACGAAUUAAACAUGCAAUAUUCAACUUGUGAGAAUAGAGCAGUUUGUUUCACUUUAAGUUGGGAGAGUGUUAGAACCCGCUCAGAUGAUUCACCAAUUAUUUGUAUUUUAGGAUGAUCCUUUGUCCAUUUCGUAAGAGGAGGGUAGUUCGGGUCAUAAACAGGAUCCAACUCAGCAUUUACUUCUUCUUCAAGUUUUGAUUGAUCGCCUUUGUCAUUUGCAUUUUCAUUCGCCCACUCAAAUGGCGAAGCGUAUUCCAUAUCGGGUUCAGGACUCUCCCCCUUGGUUGGACCAUCAUUGGUUGGGUUAGGAGUUGGAUUCUCACCCUCGAAAGGUAAUUCGGUUGUUUUAGAAACAGAUGAACCCUCCCCUUUUAAUGUAGAACAAUCACUUGGAGGGUCAUUUUUGGGUUGGUUUCGGUUGGUGUGGGAUGAUCACUUUCCAUUUCCUUUGUAGCAUCAUCGAUGAUAUUUUUCAAGUUGUCGAUGUUGUUUUCUGCUACUUUCGCUUUUGAGUGUAUUGCCUUCUCUGGUUCAUCAAAGAGUAGCAUAUACUCUUCAAACAUAUUGGAGAUUGGAACCGAGACUUGACCUGAUUCAGGAAAGAUGUGUUCUACAGUACCUUCGCUUGUUUGAAUCUUCCUCAUAUAAUUAUCAUCAAAAGUCACAUAGUAAGUUUCUUCAAUCUUCCUAGAGCGUUUAUUCAAAACCCUAUAUGUCAUCGAUGUAAGCAAAUAACCAAGAAAUAUCCCCUCGUCUGCUUUGACGUCGAACUUGUUUCGGUUCUCUUAGGAGUUGAGAAUAAAACAUCUUGAACCGAACACGUGGAAAAAAGGGCUUAUGAUUGUUCAGUAUCUCGUAUGGAGUUGUUGAGAAUCACUUGUUGAGGAAAGAUCGGUUCUGAGUGUAGCAUGCAAAUGCAAUGACAUCAGCCCAGAAAUAAAGCGGAAGAGAAGCGAAGCUCAACAUGGUUCAGGCUGCUUCACAUAAGGAACGGUUUCGCCUUUCAACGAUCCCAUUCUGUUGUGGAGUAUAGGGAGCAGAAAAAUUGUGAGUUACUCCCUUUUCAGCCAGAAAGUCGUCAAACUCUUUAUUCUUGAACUCAAGCCCAUUGUCGCUUCUUAUGUUCCUCACCACCUUUCGCAGUUGCAGUUCCACUUGCUUGAUGAAUGCUUCCAACUUGGGAGUUGCCUCUGAUUUCUGUUUAAGAAAGAAAACCCAAGUGAAGCAUGAAAAUUCAUCUACUAUUACAAGAAUGAACUUACUACCACCGAUGCUUUUGAUAGCUGAAGGCCCACAUAAGUCGAUAUGCAGAAGUUCAAGCGCUUCGAUGAUCUUUGUGUUGAUACGAGUAGGAUGGCUCUUUCUGCUUUGCUUGCCCAUCUCACAUGCUACACAUAAGUGUUCCUUAUCAAACAUGAGAAGAGGAAGACCUCGAACAUGAUCACCAAGCAUAAGUUUAUUAAUGUAUUUGAAGUUCAGGUGCGAAAGUCGUCGGUGCCACAACCAGCUUUCGUCAGAUUUCGCCUUCGUCAGCAGACAUAUGGCUGGUUUACCCCGAAUUGGGUUGAGAUUGAGAGGAUACAUCUCUCCCUUGCGUUCAGACUUUAACAUAACCUUUUUCUUUUUCUUUUCAAUUAUCUUCGAGCCCUCAUCAUUGAAUAAAACUUUCAAACCGGUUCCCACAACUAGUUGAGAAACACUGAUGAGGUUGUGCUACAAUCCUUCCAUGUAAGCUAAUUUUCUUAUUGAGAAUUAUCCGUUGGUAAUCAUUCCAUUCCCUUUGAUCAUUCCAUAAGAGUUAUUUCCAUACUUGACACAACCACCAUCUUUAAGGGACCAAAACUCCCUUAAUUCUUCCCUCCUUCCUGUCAUGUGACGAGAGCAGCCACUGUCUAUGUACCAUUCGUCGUCGAACUGCUCGUCACUAAUCACCUGUAAAUUCAAGCAGAUUUAGGAACCCAAAGUCUCUUAGGCCCUGGUGAGUCUUUUACACAAAAGGGAAUAGCAACAGAAAGAUCAACCAAAUAUGUUCGUUUAAUCAAAUUGGUUUUGUGUUUUCUUUUGAUUGUAUAAACAUUGAUUUUAUUUUUAUCUUGUUUUAGUUGUGGUGUAUCAGAUGGUUUCUUGUUAGAUGCUUUUUCAGGUGAUGUUUUCUUAUGAGUCCUAGGGUUAGUUCACUUUUCUUAUCAUUGACUUGAGAGUUCGAGACCAUAUUUCUCUUUCCUUUGAUAUCUUUCUCAGAGUUACUCUUUGGUUGAGAGUGAGGAAAAUGGGUUUUAUGACCGAAACCAGACAUUCGGUUUUGAACUUUGUCUUUGGGACCGAGACUGGGCUUUCGGUUCUGAACUUUGGAGUUAGGACCGAAACUAGGCUUUCGGUUCUGAGAGUAGAAAGAGUUGGGACCGAAACUGGGCUUUCGGUUCUGUACUUUUGAGUUGGGACCAAAAUUUCCCUUUUGGUUCAUUUGAAGGUUUGUGGUGAUUGUGUGAAGGAGAUUAGAAUCCGGUCUUGUCACACGAUUUGACAUUAGUCUUUUUCUUGGUUGGGACAAAGUCAGGAUUUUGUGACUGUCAAAACUGUUUUCGCUCAUUAGGUUCUUCAUGUAUCUCCGGUUCCUUUGGCGUUUUUGUUCUCCAGUUACUCUUGAGACUUAUGAAUAUUGAAUCUUCGUUUCGGUUUCUCCUUAUGAGCUUCGGUUGUCUUGGAAGAUACACUUGAUGCCUUCCUUGAUUUUUUUGGUAUCUCUUUUGAUCCACUCGAGCUUGGUUUGUCAAAACUUGAGGGAUUGUUAAUGGGUUUGGCAACAUAUUUACCCUUUACCCUCCAUGAGGUUCGCUCCGAUAUGCCGACGGUUUUGUCUGCAUUAUCGAUAGGGGUGGACUAGAAGUAAUUGUCGCACCCUUCAGUGUUAUCUUUGUCGACCAAGGUUUUCAACUCUGCCGUUUGUUUCUUGGUAACUCCUUCAACAACAUAUACUUGAUUUGGCAUUGUUUGAACUUUUUGAUAGACAAGCGCCUUUUCUUGGAGCUUCUUUAAUUUGUCCUUUAACAGGCGAGCAUAUUCAACCGAGUUUUCAGAUAUGAGGGGUUUUUCAUUCUCGGUUUCGUUCUUCAGAUAUUCAGAACAAUCAACCACAUCAUCCACCGAGAUCUCGCUCAUCUCACUUUCCUCAUCAAAUUCAUAUGUGUUUUCUACAUUCAUUUUAUGUUCUGAACUUAAUAUGGCAUUUGACGAGUCAAAUGUUUGUAUGGUCUUGGACUUAAUUUUUAACCUAUUAUUUUCAUCCAAAAGAUACUUAAGCAUGCAUUUGCGUUCCUUGGAGUCAAUGAAGGUCUCAAUCUUGUCUAGUCCAUAUUUGUAAGUGACCGAAAUCUCAACUGAGGAGAUUAUUGAUUCAAAUUCUUCAAUGACUUCAUCCUCCUUGAAUUCAAGGAAGGGUAAAAUCAUCUUAAUGAACCUUUUUCCCUAUUUCACAAUCUAAGUGCAACUGAGUAAUAUUCAUAUAUAACCGUUUUGCAAUUAAACAAAAAACAUUUCGUUGCUUAAAAACUUUCAAUUUUCUCGUUGUAAAUAAAUAAGUUCGUCCCUAGCCCUAACUAACUCUUGUUCCUUCAGCUGUAUCCACAUCCUCCUCUCCUCACUCUUGGAAGACUCUCUGCUGAGUUGGUCAGUUAGGUUAGAAUUUGCUAGGUGAGUUUGCAUGAAACUACCGCUUAAGUUAGAGAAUUUGAAUUUUAAUUCAUUUAAUUCUUUUUCACAAUCUGUUACCGGAAUUUUAAGAGAUUCAAGGAUGGAUUGUACAUUUUAGAUCAACCGAUCACAGUUGUUGAUCCUUUCACUGACGGACUUGGCUGCAAAACAUUUAUCUUCAUACAUGUUCGGUUCCUCACGCUUACCUUCGGUUGAAAUUUCAGCAGUCACCAUCAAGUAUUUCCCAUCCGACUUAACAUCCUCCUCUCGUGCCACAAAAGCUCUUCCAUGUGUAGGUUUUCUCACAUCCGCAUCCUCAGAAUCUGUGGACCAAACUUCGACACCACCGAACUCAUUUUCAUCAACGUUUUCGUAUACAAUCAAGGCGUUCAUAGGACUGUUAGCUGCUUUCUUUUUCUUUAUUUCUUCAAGAUUUCGCAUGUAGUAUGCUUCGUCAUCUUCCCCAUCCCUUUUCUCAGCCAUCUUCCUCAGCAUACAAUCCUAGCAAUGUGGUUCUUGACAUGACAAUAGUUGCAAUCGUACCCUGAGUCUCCUACAAUCUUGUUAUCCUUCUUUUCAUCAUCCUUCUGAGAAGUGUUCUUUGUCUCUUCUUUCACCUUCUCCGAACUAUAGCUUCCUUGCCAGUUUUGGUUCUUAUUGACAGGGAAUUUCCUUAGAGAAAACUUCUUUGGGUUUGUGACCAUCAUUGCGUAUUCUUCACUGGUUAGAUCACAUUCUAACAUGUCAGAUUCUUCCUCUUCGUCUGCCACAUUUUUUUCUCUUCGAAACAAAAGCCAAUGAUCCCACACCCGAAACUACCUUCGCUUCUUUUGUCACCAUGCUUUCAUGAGAUUUUAAAAUACCCAUUAGUUUCGCCAGUAAAUAUGUUUUAAAUUGUUCAUGAGCCUUCACAGUUGAGACCACUGCCAUCCACUCGGGUCUCAGGCCAUUCAUGAACGUAACUUUCUGUUCAGUCCCUUUUCUUUCAAGACCAUGCUUCAUCAUCUUGCUAAGCAGAUGAUUGUAACGGUUUAACGUCUUGUCACAACUAGGAAUUUUGAGGCCUUGUAACUACAACACUUAUAACAACUAUAAAUCAAUAACAUGAAAGCCUGCAUGAUGCUUAUUCUAUAACAACAAAACUUCAUCAAAUACUUCAUUCUAGCACUACAAAUGGUCAACAAAGAAUUGGAAACCUUUGAAAACACGAUUUAAGUCCAUUUUGGACUAGGAUUUCCUUAUUGGGCCUAAUGGACUAAUAAAUCUCCAAUUUGUCAAUCUGGAACCUAGAAUUCUCAAAUGGACCCUAGUUGGACCCAUAUACAUGAAACUUAAUACUUUUGGGCCUUAUGAGCCCAAAAUAUACAAGGUUAACUUUAGUUGGCCUUAAUGGGUCACAACCAACUUAAUUCAUCCCUAAUAGGUCAUAAAAAUUACACUAUGAUUUAUUUGGGCCAGACAUCAUCAAAAGUGAGUCAUAAUAUAGGCUAAGCACUCAAGACCCAAUUCUUUCUCUUUUCCUUCUCCAUUCUCGGCCCAAGCCCACAAAGAAGAAGGAGUUGACUUUGUGUGUGCCACCUCAUUUUUACUUAAUGGUCUUCCAUGCAUUCUCCCAUAUUUCCAUGCAACCAUGUCAUCAACCUUCUCUCUUCUCUCCUCUCUUCUUCUCUUGGCCGUACACAACACACACACACACACUCACAAAAUUCAUUUCCAUUCUCUCAAACUCUCCCUAGAACAUCCUUACACUCAUUCAUCAAGCUUUCGAUAAUUAGGAAGCUUUCAAGGAGAUUUUUCACACAAACACAUCAUCUAAGGUAAGUUGAUGUUAAAUCCAUGAUCAAGCUACUUCAUUUCAUCAAAAAUCUCUUCUAAAUCUAUUCCAACUUGUGAUCUUGCACCUUAGAAGCCACUAAACUCGAGAUCUACCAAGAGGACUUGCUAGGAUCGAAAUUUUCUUUUUCUCUCUUCAAAACCGAAACUACAACUCAAGGUGAGCUUCAUACCCCUCUCUUUUCGGUUUUCAUAUGUUUUAUGGGGGAGAAUACAAGAAAAUGAGUAGAUCUAUGUGUAUGUGUAUGCUAUGUGUGAUUUUAUGCAUGUAUGUGUGUGAUUUUAUGUGUUUUUUGAUAAAUAUGUAAAGAAAAGAGGUGUUAACUCUAGAUCUAUGACUUAAGAAAUGAAACAAACAUAAUCUAAAUUAUUUUACACUAAACAAGUCAAGAAAAAAUAGCUUACAAGGUUAUGAGAAACAUAUUCUAACAUAAAACCCAUUUUAGGGCUUAAAUUGUCAAAAAUACAAAACUUGGGUUAAAAACUGUCAAGUCACGGUUUCUAGAGUCAAAACAGUUUCUAUAAUCAUUUUUUUGAAAAUUAGAAUUUUCAAAGAAAUGCAAAAAAUUAGCUUAAUGGGCUAAAUUUGGGCUUUUCGGCCCAAUAAGCCAUAAUUGCNCUUUUCGGCCCAAUAAGCCCAUAAUUGCGAAAUUUGAAGUUUAAAGGGGCUGAAAUGUAACAUUCUGCAAAACAGGGGAUAAGAAGUGAAAUAAAACUAUUUCAAAGGUCAAAGAUGCUUUUCAAUUCCAAAAAGGAUCAAGAAUGUAAACUUUUUAUAUUUUGGGUCAAAAAUGUAAAAGUUGCGAAAUAUGGGGUUCUAACCGAGAAGCUCCAUUCUGGAAGGACUAAAGUUGUUUACUAAAUAAAUUUUGGGUUAAAACUGUCUUUUCAAGAAGUUUAUGAUACAAAAGUGACAAGAAAAUGUUUUAAGGACUAAAAAUGAAAUUCUUUUAUAUAAAGGACUAAAAGUGUUAUUUUUAUAAAAGAAAGGUAGUGAAAAGGUCAAAUCCCAAUUUUAAACAAAUUAACUCAUUAAGAUAAAAUACAAGAUCCACGACUACCGACAAAACGGAAAACAAAUACACAUUCAACACCAAAUAUCGUUAUAAACGAAUUGAUUCGGUCUCGAAUCAAUACAAAACAACAAUCGUUAAAUCAAAACACUUCAAUAGACACGUGAGGACUACAAUGAGUAAAUCUACAAACUUUGGGCUUGUGAGUUUCAAAUCAUACUUGUUGGGCCUUGCAAGACCACCAACAUGAUCUUUGGGACCAAAAGGAUAACGCUUAUAUGUUAUUGGGCCUUCAAUGACCCAAUAUUUUAUAAAAGAACUUCAAAUUGCUUUUAUGUGCUAGUGGGCCAAAGUGUCCCAUUAGAAAAGCUAAUGACGUCACAGUAAUCAAAUGCGAGUUCGACCAUCGUGUCUUUUGCAUCCACGACUGCCUAAGGUACUUACGGUAGUAGUAGGACAUAAUGCUCCCCUUCUCUUCGUUCGUUAAGGCUUACGAGAAAUCAAAGUAGACAAAACUAGGAUGAUAUACAAUGUGGGUUAAUCAAUAUUCAUUCGUUAAGACAAUACAAAAAUCAAUAACCAUGAAUACAUUUCAACAUCGGAAAACAUCGGGUUUUCCGGGGAAUUCAAUACUACUCGCUCGAAAUUUUAUAACUAUAAUACAAAAUACCCUUCAUAUAUAUGUUUUUUUGCAAUCACUCAUGCAUCAACUUAUGGAUCUUCACACUUUGAUAAACAAAAGUCUUUUCAGAAAAUAUCAGAUUUUCUGGGUUUUACAAACUAUACAAAUCAUUUUAUCACAACAUUGCUUAUGAACUCACCAACAUUUCAUAUGUUGACGUUUUUCCAAAAUAACUUGUAUUCUUAGGUAACAGGUAAGCGGAAGAGUAAUAUGAAGUAAUGUUAGAUGUUAUGUUGUUAAAAGCACUCAAACAAUUUAUGUUAUGAAUGUGAAAUGUUAAAACAAUUUACUUGAUGUGAACAAUUCCAGUUGUAAUAUAUUGAUGCAUGGUGACGUUUAUGCUAUGAUUCAUGUAUAUUCAUUGUGAUGAUAAUCAAUUAAAGUCACGCGAUCCCUCGGACGUUUCCGCCGUCUGGUUCGGGGGUCUGACAGGUUGGUAUCAGAGCAUUGAUUAUAGUGAACUAGCAUAUCUAACCACACAUUGAUAUGCAACUAUAAACCAAAAAGGGGCUAACCCAACUCUGAACAAAACAAAACAAAUAAAAACACAACUAUAAAACAUCUUUGCCUGUGUGAAUUAGGAAACAAAAUAUAAUGCCAAACCAAAAAAGAUAAUGCUAUCAUCUCGACUAAGUCGGGACUGUACAUGGUUGUAUCAAGGAGAGGAUGUGGCCUUAUCAACUACAUUUCCUCCAAGGUGCAACUAUCACGUGUCCCGAGGAAAUCGCGAUGGUAGGAAAACCUAAAAAAAACAUACCCCUUUUAUCACCAAAAAGAGAACAACAACUUAAUCUAUACAAUAAUAGAAGCGUCAUAGGUGUAAUGAUAGUUACUCGCAUUCCCCUUCUCAAGUCGACAUGGAAGGAGAACACCAGGGCCCUCAGUUUCAUCAAGUCCUAGUAACCCACAGGAGGAUCAAGGAUGAGUCAGAGGUAGGUCAAGGAGGGGCACACGACAUUGAACCUGAAGAGGAACAGGACGAAUACGUAAUAGUUGAUUUCGAUUAUGAUGAGCUGGACCAGGAGCCAGACGAAGAAAAGGGCGUAGAGGAGGCACGCAAUGAACACCACCAGUCGGAAACCCCGCCAGAAUCUCGUGCAUUAAAGCACAGAAGUACUUACGAAAGAAGGGCUUGACGUUCUUGGCUCACAUAGUAGACAAAUCCAAGAAAGAGGUCAACAUUCAAGACAUUCCAAUAGCUUGUGAAUUCCCAGAUGUCUUUCCUAAUGAUCUUCCGGGGAUACCCCCAGAAAGACAAGUCGAGUUUCGAAUUGACCUUGUACUAGGAGCUACCCCAAUCGCCAAAGCGCCCUACAGAUUGGCUCCUGCGGAGAUGCAAGAGUUGACCCGUCAACUCAGUGAGCUUUUGGAUAAGGAUUGAUCCGACCCAGUUUCUCACCUUGGGGAGCUCCAGUUCUCUUUGUCAAGAAGAAAGACGAUACAUUCAGGAUGUGCAUCGACUACAAAGAACUUAACAAGCUCACUAUCAAAAACCGAUAUCCACUUCCACGAAUCGACGACCUAUUCGACCAGCUCCAAGAAGCUAGUCACUUCUCAAAGAUAGAUCUACGAUCUGGAUACCACCAACUCAAGGUCUGGGAGGAGGAUAUUCCAAAAACCGCCAUCCGAACUCGUUACGGACAUUAUGAAUUUGUCGUAAUGCCCUUCGGUCUAACGAAUGCUCUUGCCGCAUUCAUGGAUCUAAUGAAUCGAAUCUGCCGAACUUUUCUUGAUAACUUCAUAAUCGUUUUCAUCGAUGAUAUCCUCGUAUAUUCUCGGAGCGAAGAGGAACACGACCAACAUCUUCGACAAAUCCUGGAAACCCUGCGAACCGAAAAGUUAUACGCAAAACUCUCCAAGUCCGAGUUUUGGCUCCGAAGCAUGAAAUUUUUGGGACAUGUUGUUAGUCAGGAAGGAAUUCAUGUGGAUCCUUCUAAAAUCCAAGCUAUCAAAGGAUGGGCAAUUCCAAAAUCACCCAAAAAAAUUCGCCAAUUUCUAGAUUCAUCCAAAACUUCUCUAAGGCAGCCAAACCGCUUACCAUGCUCACACAAAAGGGCGUACCCUUCAUAUGGACGGACAAACAGGAAGCCGCGUUUCGAUCUCUGAAGCAAGCACUUUGCAGUGCGCCGGUGCUAUCGCUACCUGAAGGAACGGAAGACUUUAUUGUCUAUUGCGAUGCGUCAAAUCAGGGUUUAGGCUGUGUACUCAUGCAGCGAAGAAAAGUGAUAGCUUAUGCGUCCCGACAACUAAAGACUCACGAAGUGAAUUACACGACCCACAAUCUGGAGCUGGGAUCAGUGGUCUUCGCUCUGAAGAUUUGGAGACACUACCUUUACGGUACCAAGUGCACUAUCUUCACUGACCACAAGAGUCUCCAGCACAUCUUGAAUCAAAAAGAGCUAAACAUGAGGCAACGAAGAUGGGUCGAACUGCUAAAAGACUACGAGUGCAAAAUCAAGUACCACCCAGGAAAGGCUAACGUGGUAGCCGAUGCCUUGAGUCGAAAAGAAUACUCAAAUCGUCGUGUGAAAACUCUCUCGAUAACCAUCCAAUCCCACCUGAUCUCACAAAUCAGAACAGCCCAGUCAGAUGCCAUGAAGGCGGAAAACAAAACAAGUGAAGCGCUACGUGGAAUGGAGAAGAACUUGGAAGUGAAGGAAGAUGGAACAUAUUGUUGGAUAAGGUGUCUAAGUCCAUAACUAUUUCUGGUAAGUACUUGACCCGACCUGACAUGGUCCAUUUGGGUUCCAUGGCACCAUGCAAUUGGAUAGACUAAAUGAGAGAAAUAACACGUGGAGAUUAUUAAUAUAUUAUAAGUUCUAAUAUAUUAAUAAUAUUAUUUGAUUAGUUGAUCAAAGAAUUAAUUUGGAAUUAAUUAAGUGAUCAAAGGAUAACUAAUUAAAUAUAUGGGUUGAUUAUGUAAAUCAUCCAUAUCUUGUAUAGUGGGCUAAGAGGCUCCAUGGAUUAUCAAGUUGGGUUCUACCCAUAGGAUGCUCCAUGGAUGCUCCAUGGGAGUUACAAACCCAUGGGUCAUGGAAAUGAAGAGUCAUGACACAUUAGGGUUUACAUGGUGUAACCCUAGAUGUGUCAACACUAUAUAAGAAUCCCAUUCUCCACCAAAAUCGGCUACACAUAUGAAACAAGAGGGCUAGGCUGGUUUUAAGAAGUGUGUGUUCUCUCAAAAGUCUUUCCAAGACAAUUUGGUGUUGUGUGAAGCAUUUGAGGCAUCACACUUGGGGUGCUAGGCUCACAAGGUUUCAAGGAAAAUAAGCAACAAGGUAAGUUAUUCUAUCUUUCAUUCAAGUUAAAAUUGUUCCCCAUGUAUGCUAGAUAGGAAUAUAACCUUGGAAUUCAACUUUGCAUGAUAAUUAGACAAACAUAGAUCCAAGGUUAUUAGGGUUGCAUGUACACUUAGGAAGUGUUAGAAUGCUCAAAACCCAUCAGUGGUAUCAGAGCCUAGGCUUGUUUGUUUGUUAUUUGUGCAAAAUUGUUGGAAAAAGUCGAUAUUGUGCAAUCUGCCUGAUGAACUCGCCGAGUAGGUUCGUGUGUAAAUUCAUCCUACUCACCGAGUUCAUUGGGGGACUCGCCGAGUUCAUGUGUAAAUUCAUCCUACUCGCCGAGUAGGUUCGUGCACUCGGCGAGUAGGAGCCUCAGAAUGCAGAUUUUCGACUUUUGCUGCUGGAAAUGGACUAGAAACAUUAUCCUAAACUGUUUUGGUACUUGAAAACUUGUUUUAGAUGGUGUAAUGUUCAUGUUAAUCAAUUUACAAUGACAAUUAUCAAAAAUACGNCGGCGAGUCCAUGGGGAGGACUCGUCGAGUUCAUGUGUAUCUUCAACCUACUCGGCGAGUAGGUUUAUGCACUCGGCGAGUAGGGUCGACAGAGUGCAGAAUUUCGACUUGAGUUGCUGGAAAUGGAUUAGAAUCAUUACCCUAAAAUGUUUUGGUACUUGAAAACUUAUUUUAGAAGGUGUAAUGUCUUUUCUAACUCAUUUACAACAACUAGUUAUCAAAAUUACAAAGAUUAAAUGUGAUUUUGAUUCUUGAAAGUGUUCAUAUUCAUAUUCUUGUUCUUAUGAUGUUUAGAUGAUCAUAGGAAUUAUUUGUAACCUAUGUGGUAGAUUAAUUCAUGAUCAUAAUGUGUUUUAAUGGAGUCCAUAACUUGUCCUCAAGUUAUGGAAAACCAAAAGUCUCUUGGAUUAAAAACCAUUAAAAGAACACAAGAGUUAGGAAAAAUGAAAAGUCCUCAUUUUAUUACUCUAUUAAACUCAUAAGUUACAAGAAAUGAAAAGUUUUGAAAGUUUACAAAACUUGCCCUCAAGUUUUGGAACAAGUAAAGUUAAGUUAAAACUUUAGUUCCAACCCCUAGAAUUUUAAAAGUUAAAAUUCAACCCUUAUACUUAUAUUAUUAUGAUUUAAUAAUUAUAUAUAUAUGUAUAAGAACAAAGUCGUCUUACCGCUAGUACGCCUCAUUCACGAAGCCGGUCUAUAAGGUGGGUAUAAGGUUGUUGCCUAUAAAAUGGUGACUUAAUGGGUGUCCACUCUCACCCACCGCUUGCUUGAUCGGUGGAGGGUCGUUAGCCGAACGGGUAAGACAAGGACUUAUUAAUUCUCAUUCAAAGUAUGAUGAAUAUUAUAAAGUAACUAAAUGUUUUAUUAAAUUCCCAAUCUUAGUUACUUUAGGAAAAAUGUGAAUAAGGUGCUAUUCCAUGAAAUUACACUUUACACUUUGAUUAAGUCGUUGGUGGAGCGUGUGUGGUUAACCGGCACACUAACUUGGACUUAACAAGGUAGGUAAAGGGUGACUUAGGGUUUAUUAUAGUAUCGAUGGAGCGUGUGUGGUUAACCGGCACAUCGAUUGAGUGAUAAACUUUAAGGGUACCAAGUGAUUUGCAUGGUUACUUCACACCUCGUUUUGUGAUCCUCGGUAUCCCAGUCACAAAACUUGGAGGGCACACUCGAGAUUGAAACAUGCCUUUGAAAAGUUCAUUGAAUCUCAAAGAAUCUAGGAAUUUCUAAGAACCAUUCAAAAACCUAAUACUAUAAUAUUGCGUUUUUCGUGGUGGAAAUUGGUGAAUCGUCAUUCACCUACCUUUCAAAUAUGAUAUAGCUUAGAUUACGGAGCAUACCACUUCUAAGUUAUAAUAUUGUGAUUGGAUCCUAGCCUUAAUAUUACAUUUGGGUGUUUUAUUAAGGACUCUCUUAGUAUCUAAACUAAUCUUGUCCUCUUCCUUCAGAUGUCUUCAAACAAUGUUGCUUCUGGCCAAUCCUAAUNNNNNNNNGCUCCUUUACCCUUAUGAACUUGUGUGGGAAAGUCACUUUUGAUGGAUCCAACUUCAAUGAAUGGAUCAGAAACAUCAGGAUGAUUACCCGCUACGAGGACAAAGAAUAUGUCCUCGACAAGGAGAUUAAGGAGAUUGAUGAGACCACUGCAACUCCCCAGGAGAUCGCUAACUUUCAGGCACAUGAAAGGGAUGCUACCAAAGUGGCAUGCAUCAUGAUGGCCACGAUGACAACGGAACUCUAAAAGUCCUAUGAGGACUUCUACCCUUUGGAAAUGCACUAAGAUCUGAUAGAAAGAUACCAUCAAAGUGCACGACAAGAGAGGUAUGAAAUCAUCUGCUCCAUGAUAACAACCAUGAUGAAGGACGGGGAAUCCGUCAUGAGCCACAUGCAGAAAAUGCAAAGGUAUGUGGAUCGGUUGCUGAAGCUUAAUGUGAACUUCCCAGAGGAGCUUGCAAUAGAUAUCAUUUUGCGCUCCUUACCAUUGUGCUAUGAUCAAUUCCGCAUGACAUAUCACAUGAAUAACGAAGAGGUCACACUCAACAAACUUCAGGGUCUUCUCAAAACCGCAGAAACAGGUCUUAAGGGGAAGUCGGUUGUUAACACUCCUACCCCAAACUCCGCCCCGGUUUUGGCAAUCGGAAAAAGUUGAGGGAAGAAGAGAAAGAGCUCGUCAAAGGGUACCAAGGCUCGGACCCUUGAUGGCUCUUCUUCAAGUGGAACCAAGAAAGGUUUCUUCACUCUUUCUUCUGACCUAAAAGAGACUGAAUGCUUCUAUUUCCAUGAAAAAUCACAUUGGAAGCAGAACUGCCCAAAAUACCAGCAAGAUGUGAAGGAUGGGAAAGUUAAACCCAACCAUGCAGGUAUUUACACUAUCUUAUCUAAUAACUCACCCCAUUCUAACUCUUGGGUCCUUGAUAACGGUUGUCGUAUUCAUAUAUGUUCUAAUUUGCAGGGACUAAGAAGAAGUGAGAAUGUGGAGCAAGGAAGAAUAAACUAAAUCAUGGGGAAUAGGAAAGCUUUACCUGUCACCAAGAUUGGAGUUUAUACUUUAUCGCUAAGUAGUGGGUUUAGUUUAGAUUUGAAUAAGUGUUGUUAUUCGCCAGAAAUGGCAAGAAAUAUUAUUUCCUUUCAUGCAUUGUAUAAACAAGGUUUCACCUUUUCAUUUGAUAAUGAAGUUGGUUCGAUUAAUGCUUUCUUUAAUAAUGUUCUUUAUUUUAAAGCAUUACCUUGUGAUGGCGUGUAUGAAACAGUAUCUGUGGUUGAUAACUUAGGAAAUAAUGUAUUGUGUAUUGAUUCUGUUAAUAAUAAUAACUUGGAUAAAGCAUCAUUAUGGCAUUGUCGUCUUGUACAUAUAAGCAAGAAAUGCAUAGGCCAACUCCAAAAGGAUGGAGUCUUGGAGUCAUUUGACCUCAGGUCAGAUGAUAGUUGCGAAUCAUGCUUACUUGGAAAAAUGACAAAGUCACCCUUCACAGGUGUUGUGAGAGGGGUGAAUGUUUGUUGGAUCUUGUACACAUAGAUGUGUAUGGACCCUUCAAACAUGCCACAAGGGAUGCUAAUCGUUAUUAUCUGAAUUUUACUGAUGAUUACAAUACAUAUGGAUAUGUCUACUUAAUCAAGCAUAAGUCGGAGACUUUCGAAAAGUUUAAGGAAUUUAAACAAGAUGUCGAGAAUCAAUUGGGCAGGAACAUUAAGAUGCUUCGAUCCGAUCGUGGUGGUGAGUAUCUUAGUUCAGAGUUCCUUGACUAUCUAAGGGAAUGUGGGAUAGUCUCACAAUUGACACCUCCCAGGACACCACAGUUGAAUGGUGUGGCUGAGAGGCGUAAUCGAACCUUGUUAGAUAUGGUUCGUUCCAUGAUGAGUCGAGCUUCGCUACCAAUCUCAUUUUGGGGGUAUGCCUUAGAGACUGCCGCCCAUAUCCUUAAUCUAGUCCCUACAAAGAAAGUUGCCAAAACUCCUCAUGAGAUGUGGACUGGCAAAGUACCCAAACUAGACCACAUCAAGAUUUGGGGUUGCGAGGCUUUCGUGAGACGCGAGACUCAUGAUAAGCUCGAACCUCGAAGCGAGAGGUGUAUUUUCAUCGGUUACCCACAGCGAUCCUUUGGUUACCUCUUCUACAGACCUAGUGACAAUGUGGUCUUUGUAGCAAGAAGAGGAGUCUUUCGAGAAAGAGAGUUUAUAAGCCAAGGAGACAGUGGGAGGCAAAUUGAUCUUGAAGAAAUUCAAGAAUCAAGCGGUGAAGGAACUUCAAACUCUAGCCCUCAACUUGAGGAGGAAACUCCUGUUGAGCCAAUUGACAAAUCUGUACCUCUGAGACGUUCCACGAGAGUUAGGAGUGCACCUGAGCAUUACUAUGGAUUCCAUAUUACUGCAGAAGGUGAGACACUUAUUAGUGAUGAGACACUAGUAAGUCAAGAUGACCCUAACAGCUACGAGGAAGCCAUGGCAGGCCCCGAGUCUGCUAAAUGGAAAGAGGCUAUGGAUAGCGAGAUACAAUCCAUGUAUGACAAUCAAGUUUGGAACUUGGUUGAAAAUGUACCAGGUCGUAAGACAGUAGGGUGCAAAUGGGUCUUCAAGAAGAAGACCGACAUGGAUGGUAAAGUACACACUUAUAAGGCUAGACUGGUUGCAAAGGGCUUCUCUCAAAUUCCUGGAGUGGAUUAUGAUGAGACCUUUUCUCCGGUAGCCAAGAUUAAGUCUAUUCGGGUUCUGUUAGCCAUAGCUGCAUUUCAUGACUAUGAAAUAUGGCAGAUGGAUGUCAAAACCGCUUUCCUUAAUGGAAAGUUGGCUGAAGAUGUUUACAUGAGUCAGCCAGAGGGUUUUGUCAGCAACGAGUACCCUAAUAGAGUGUGUAAGCUUGAGAAAUCCAUUUAUGGAUUGAAGCAAGCACCUCGCAGAUGGAAUCUUUGCUUUGAUGAAAAGGUCAAGGAAUUUGGCUUUUCUAGGAGUGAAGAUGAAUCUUGUGUGUAUGUCAAGGCUAGUGGGAGUAUAGUUAGCUUUUUGGUAUUGUAUGUGGAUGACAUACUACUCAUAGGAAACGACAUUCCAACCCUGCAGGAAGUAAAGUCCUGGCUUGGGAAGUGUUUCGCUAUGAAGGACCUUGGUGAAGCUGCCUAUAUUCUAGGGAUAAGAAUCUUGAGAGAUCGGAGUAAAAGACUAAUUGGACUUAGUCAGAGUACCUACUUGGAUAAGGUGCUGAAGAGAUUCAGCAUGCAGGAUUCCAAGAAAGGAGAGUUACCCAUCCAGAGUAACACCAGAUUGAGUAAGACACAAAGCCCUAGCACUGAGGCUGAGAUAGCAGAAAUGAGUCGAACACCUUACGCUUCGGCUGUAGGAUCGAUCAUGUAUGCUAUGACGUGUACUCGACCCGAUGUAGCUUUUGCCUUGAGCAUGGUUAGCAGGUAUCAGGCGAACCCUGGCAAGGCACACUGGACUGCGGUAAAGAAUAUCCUCAAGUACCUACGGAGGACUAAGGACUGGGUCCUUACCCUCGGUGGGAGUGAUGACUUGAGAGUUGUAGGGUAUAGUGAUGCUAGCUUCCAGACUGAUAGGGAUAAUUUCCGCUCUCAGUCGGGCUGGGUCUUUACCCUAAACGGAGGAGCAAUUUCUUGGAAGAGUUCCAAGCAAGAGACAGUGGCAGAUUCUACUUGUGAAUCAGAGUAUAUUGCAGCUAGUGAAGCAGCAAAGGAGGCGAUAUGGCUGAAGAACUUCAUUGGAGACCUUGGAGUUGUACCAGCUAUUAAAGAGCCAAUGGAAAUUUUCUGUGAUAGUGAAAGUGCUGUUGCCUUAGCCAAGGAACCAAGGGAUCAUGGGAGAUCCAGACACAUCGACAGAAAAUACCAUUUCAUUAGACAUCGGAUCGAAGAAGGACUCCUCGUGGCAAAGAGGGUAUCAUCGGAUGAGAACCCAGCAGAUCCCCUCACGAAGGGACUGAGUAGGGUUAAGCAUCUCCAGCAUGCUCGGAGCAUAGGGCUGAAGGAUGAUAUAAGUUUUAGUAGUUAGAUAACCCAGAAAUUUGUAAAGUGUAAUUGACAUUUGAUGAUGAAUAAAAGGUGUUUUAUUUAUGAGUAAAGUGUUGCUAUCUCUUGUCGAUCGUUUACUAUAUUUCUUUUGCAUGUUUUGACUUCCAGAAUAAUUUUGUUUGGUAUAACAUAUUAUUCAAACCUCCACAGUCGGUCAUAUGUCGGAAGUAGGUAUGAAUCAAGACUGUCAUGAUGGGUUGUAGAGGUCUAAGGUGUUGGACAAGGCUACAACAAUCAUGAGUGCUCAUAAGUUCUGAGCAUUGGACUCAACCCACGCUCACUGGAAUCACUUCAUGGAAUUCUAUCUCGAGUGAUCGUGAGACGGUAAUAUCAUAUAAGUCUUCAAACCUAGAGAUAUGAUUUGUUACUUACAAGUUGGUUAUGCAUUGACUGUACGAAACCGCAUUGGUAACUCGAUGUUAUAAAACGUACUUUUGUGUGUAAUUCAAUGAGUGGUAGAACAAACAUAUGAGUCGAAGUUUAUCUGUUCCUUCUUGGAUUAGAAGCUGAUAUCUGGGCCCCUCGAUGAUUUUGUUUUGACCCAUGUACCGGGCCCGGUCAGAACUAAGUUGAUGUGUUCAAUUAAGUUCUAUGUCAAACAAAUCGGAAAUCGGGAAACAAACUGCUGGACAAUAAGUAAGACAUUGUUCCAUGUAUUUGUCCGGCUGAUAUCUAGAACGGAGGAUUAUAUGAUCACUUAUCUUAAAUGGCGUACCAUCAUCUUCUCAGUUCCGAGAGACCUUGAAAGAGCUACGAUUGCCGGUCGGUUCCUGAAGUACUAGAGAUAUAGUUAUUAGACUUAUCCAAGUGGGAGACUGUUGGAUAAGGUGUCUAAGUCCAUAACUAUUUCGGGCUUGUACUUGACCCGACCCGGCAUGGUCCAUUUGGGUUGCAUGGCACCAUGCAAUUGGAUAGACUAAAUGAGAGAAAUAACACUUGGAGAUUAUUAAUAUAUUAUAAGUUCUAAUAUAUUAAUAAUAUUAUUUGAUUAGUUGAUCAAAGAAUUAAUUUGGAAUUAAUUAAGUGAUCAAAGGAUAACUAAUUAAAUAUAUGGGUUGAUUAUGUAAAUCAUCCAUAUCUUGUAUAGUGGGCUAAGAGGCUCCAUGGAUUAUCAAGUUGGGUUCUACCCAUAGGAUGCUCCAUGGGAGUUACAAAUCCAUGGGUCAUGGAAAUGAAGAGUCAUGACACAUUAGGGAUUACAUGGUGUAACCCUAGAUGUGUCAACACUAUAUAAGAAUCCUAUUCUCCACCAAAAUCGACUACACAUAUGAAACAAGAGGGCUAGGCCGAUUUUUAGAAGUGUGUGUUCUCUCAAAAGUCUUUCCAAGAGUAUUUGGUGUUGUGUGAAGCAUUUGAGGCAUCACACUUGGGGUGCUAGGCUCACAAGGUUUCAAGGAACAUAAGCAACAACAAGGUAAGUUAUUCUAUCUAUGAUUCAAGUUAAAAUUGUUCCCCAUGUAUGCUAGAUAGGAAUAUAACCUUGGAAUUCAACUUUGCAUGAUAAUUAGACAAACAUAGAUCCAAGGUUAUUAGGGUUGCAUGUACACUUAGGAAGUGUUAGAAUGCUCAAAACCCAUCACAUAUUACUUCAUGAACCGCAUAUCGGUCACUAAACUUGGGGGAUUCAGAGAAGUAGUCAUGAACAAAGCCCACAAGACGCGAUACUCCAUCCAUCCGGGUUCAGACAAAAUGUACUUGGAUGUUAAGCAAAAUUAUUGGUGGCCAAAUAUGAAGGCAAAGAUUGCCACUUACGUGAGCAAGUGCCUCACUUGUGCUAAAGUAAAGGUGGAAUAUCAGAAGCCCUCUGGAUUACUACAGCAGCUAGUAAUUCCCGAGUGGAAAUGGGAAAGGAUUAUCAUGGAUUUUAUGACCAAACUACCCAAGUCGACGGAUGGUUUGGACACAAUCUGGGUAAUAGUUGAUAGACUAACAAAGUCCGCCCAUUUCUUGCCAAUAAAAGAAUCCUACAAGAUGGAGCACCUGACAAGAAUCUACAUCAAGGAAAUCGUGAGACUCUACGGAAUACCUGUAUCUAUCAUCUCAGAUAGAGAUAGUAGGUUUACAUCCCACUUUUGGCAAUCGCUUUAGAAAGCUAUGGGAGCACAAAUCGACAUGAGCACUGCCUACCACCCACAAACGGAUGGCCAAAGCGAGCGAACCAUCCAAACGCUAGAAGAUAUGCUUCGUGCGUGCGUAAUAGACUUUGGAAAAUCGUGGGAUACCCACUUGCCUUUGAUCGAGUUCUCGUAUAACAACAGUUAUCACUCGAGUAUCAAAGUUGCUCCUUUCGAAGCAUUAUGCGGGCGUAAAUGUAGAUCACCAUUGUGCUGGGCUGAGGUAGGAGACACCCAGCUAGCGAGAGGGCAAACGCCAAACAAUGCCUUAAAGGGACCGGAAAUCAUACGCGAGACGACCGAGAAGAUAAUUCAGAUCAGAGCACGACUGCAAUCGUCACGAGACAGACAAAAGAGCUACACCGAUAAACAAAGAGAGCCCUUGGAAUUCGAAGUUGGAGAUAGGGUGUUACUAAAAGUCUCUCCUUCGAAAGGAGUGAUUCGUUUUGGGAAGCGGGGCAAACUAAACCCUCGAUACAUUGGACCCUUCAAGAUUCUUGCCCGAAUCGGUCCAGUGGCUUAUAGAUUGCAACUACCCGCCGAGCUCAGCAGUGUACACCCUAUGUUCCACGUCUCCAACUUGAAGAAGUGCUUAUCCGAUGAGACUCUCUUCAUUCCAUUAGAGGAAAUCGAAAUCAAUGAGAACCUUCUGUUCAUCGAAGAGCCAGUUGAAAUCAUGGACCGAGAGGUGAAGCGUACCAAGCAGAGCCGCAUUCCAAUUGUGAAAGUUCGAUGGAACGCAAGACGCGGACCAGAAUUCACAUGGGAACGAGAAGAUCAAAGGAAGCAGAAGUACCCUCAUAUAUUAUUGCAUUCUCAAAUCUAGCUUUCAAAAGAAUUUCGGGACGAAAUUCCCUCUAACGGGGGGAUGAUAUCACAACUAGGAAUUUUGAGGCCUUGUAACUACAACACUUAUAACAACUAUAAAUCAAUAACAUGAAAAGCAUGCAUGAUGCUUAUUCUAUGACAACAAAACUUCAUCAAAUACUUCAUUCUAGCACUACAAAUGGUCAAUAAAGAAUUGGAAACCUUUGAAAUCACGAUUUAAGUCUAUUUUGGACUAGGAUUUCCUUAUUGGGCCUAAUGGACUAAUAUAUCUCCAAUUUGUCAAUCUGGAACUUAGAACUCUCAAAUGGGCCCUAGUUGGACCCAUAUACAUGAAACAUAAUACUUUUGGGCCUUAUGAGCCCAAAAUAUACUAGGUUAACUUUAAUGGGCCUUAAUGGGUCACAACCAACUUAAUUUAGCCCUAAUAGGUCAUAAAAAUUACACUUUGAUUUAUUUGGGCCCAAACAUCAUCUAAAGUGAGUCAUAAUAUGGGCUAAGCACUCAAGACCCAAUUCUUUCUCUUUUCCUUCUCCAUUCUCGGCCCAAGCCCACAAAGAAGGAGGAGUUGACUUUGUAUGUGCCACCUCAUUGUUACUUAAUGGUCUUCCAUGCAUUCUCCCAUAUUUCCAUGCAACCAUCUCAUCAACCUUCUCUCUUCUCUUCUCUCUUCUUCUCUCGGCCGUACACAACACACACUCACAAAAUUCAUUUCCAUUCUCUCAAACUCUCACUAGAACAUCCUUACACUCAUUAAUNCCAUCAAAUUUUCGAGAAUUUGAAGCCUUUUAAGGAGAUUUUUCCAACAAAUUCAUCAUCUAAGGUAAGUUCAUGCUUGGAUAUAUGAUCUAGAUUCUUUAUUUAUCAAAAACCUAUUCCUAAUCUAUACAAAAUCAUGAUCACUCUCCAAGAAAUCAUCUAAGUUCGAGAUUUACCAAGAGGACUUGCUAGGAUUGAAAUUUCUUCAUUUCCCUCUUGAAAACCGAAACUACAACUCAAGGUGAGCUUCAUACCCCUCUCUUUUCGAUUUUCAUAUGUUUUAUGGGGGAUAAUACAAGAAAAUGUUUAGAUCUAUGUGUAUGUGUAUGCUAUGUGUGAUUUUAUGUAUGUAUGUGUGUGAUUUUAUGUGUUUUUGUGAUAAUUAUGUAACCAAAAGGGGUGUUAACUCUAGAUCUAUGACUUGAGAAAGGAAAAAAACAUAAUCUAAUUGAUUUUACACUAAACAAGUCAAGAAAAAAUAGCUUACAAGGUUAUGAGAAACAUAUUCUAACAUAAAACCCAUUUUAGGGCUUAAAUUGUCAAAAAUACAAAACUUGGGUUAAAAAUUGUCAAGUCACGGUUUCUUGAGGGUCAAAAGAGUCAAAAUAGUUUCUAUAAUCAUUUUUUUGAAAAUUAGAAUUUUCAAAGAAAUGCAAAAAUUUAGCUUAAUGGGCUAACUUUGGGCUUUUCGGCCCAAUCAGCCCAUAAUUGCGAAAUUUGAAGUUUAAAGGGGCUGAAAUGUAACAUUCUGCAAAACAUGGGAUAAGAAGUGAAAUAAAACUAUUUCAAAGCUAAAAAAUGCUUUUCAAUUCCAAAAAGGAUAAAAAAUGUAAACAUUUUUAUAUUUUGGGUGAAAAAUGUAAAAGUUGCGAAAUAUGGGGUUCUAACCGAGAAGCUCCAUUCUGGAAGGACUAAAGCUGUUUACUAAAUAAAUUUUGGGUUAAAACUGUCUUUUCAACAAGUUAUGAUACAAAAGUAUCAAGAAAAUGUUUUAAGGACUAAAAAUGAAAUUCUUUUAUAUAAAGGACUAAAAGUGUUAUUUUUAUAAAAGAAAGGUAGUGAAAAGGUCAAAUCCUACUUUUAAACAAAUUAACUCAAUAAUAUAAAAUACAAGAUCCACGACUACCGACGAAACGGAAAAUGAAUACGCAUUCAACACCAAAUAUCGUUAUAAACGAAUUGAUUCGGUCUCGAAUCAAUACAAAACAAUAAUCGUUAAAUCAAAACACUUCAAUAGACACGUGAUGACUAUAAUGAGUAAAUCUACAAACUUUGGGCUUGUGAGUUUCAAAUCAUGCUUGUUGGGCCUUGCAAGCCCACCAACAUGAUCUUUGGGCCGAAAGGGAUAACGCUUAUAUGUUAUUGGGCCUUCAAUGACCCAAUAUUUUCCAAAAGGACUUUCAGUAGCUUUUAUGUGCUAGUGGGCCAAAGUGUCCCGUUAGAAAAGCUAGUAAGGUCACAGUAAUCAAAUGCGAGAUGGAUAAUCGUGCCUUUCGCAUCCACGACAGCCUAAGGUACUUACGGUAGUAGUGGGAGAUAAUGCUCCCCUUCUCUUCGUUCGUUAAGGCUUACGAGAAAUCAAAGUAGACAAAAUUAGGAUGAUAUACAAUGUGGGUUAAUCAAUAUUCAUUCAUUAAGACAAUACAAAAAUCAGUAAUCAUGAAUACAUUUCAACAUCGGAAAACAUCAGGUUUUCCAGGGAAUUCAAUACUACUCGCUUGAAAUUUUAUAACUAUAAUACAAAAUACCCUUCAUAUAUAUGUUUUUUUGAAAUCACUCAUGCAUAAACUUAUGGAUCUUCACAAUUUGAUAAACAAAAGUCUUUUCAGAAAAUAUCGGAUUUUCUGGGUUUUACAAACUAUACAAAUCAUUUUAUCACAACAUUGCUUAUGAACUCACCAACAUUUCAUAUGUUGAUGUUUUUCCAAAAUAACUUGUAUUCUCAUGUAACAGGUAAGCGGAAGAGUAAUAUGAAGUAAUCUUAGAUGUUAUCUUGUUAAAAGCACUCAAACAAUUUAUGUUACGAAUGUGAAAUGUUAAAAGAAUAUACUUGAUGUGAACAAUUUCGGUUGUAAUAUAUUGAUGCAUGGUGACGUUUAUGUUAUGAUUCAUGUAUAUUCAUUGUGAUGAUAAUCAAUUAAAGUCACGCGAUCCCUCGGACGUUUCCGCCGUUUGGUUCGGGGGUGUGACAUGUCUGAAGUAGUUUCUCUUCAGUUUUUUGUGCAAAAGCUCCAAACUCAGAGAGUAGUAAGGUUUCGAUCGAGUGCUCUAGAUCCUCAUCGGUUGAAUACAGUUCUUUCAAGCUGUCCCAUAUCUCUUUAGCGGUAGUGCACAAACUUACCAGACGAAAAGUGUCAGCUUGUAAGGUAAAUCUGAUCAUUCUUAAAGCUUUAACAUUGCAUAACAGCUUGUCUUUCUCAUUUUGAGGGAUCUUCUCCACGUCCACGAGGAGUUUAUUAUACUUUUUUUUGAGUCUUUACUAUUCUAUUCGUUCCAGAGUGAACAAACGGACCCAAAGUGAUUGCUUCCCAGAUGAGAUAACCAUUUUCUUCAGAUCCAACUACGUAAUCUUCAAAGUGAUGCGCCCAAAAUUCAUAGUCUUGAGUGUAAAGAAUGGGAAUCCUUGUAGUGGAUCCAAUGCUGUUGGAGAUGGGAUUAGUUUGAGAUUCUUCGUGAGACAUGAUGAGCCUUUCCUUGAUACUACUAAAAUCAGACCUGUAAACUUGAGAUUAGGGUUUUAUCAAACACAAGAGUUACCGUCGACAGUGUGACAACCCGAUAUUUCGAGUCAAUGUAAUGUAAAACCGAUCAAAUUUAGGUCAAAAUGUAACCUUCCUAAAAUCUUGUUCGGAUUAAAGAAAGUAGUAGGAAUCAUAUCAAGGUUUGCGUACAUAAAAAGAACGUCCAAAUCUGACCUCGGAUGAGGAAGUUAUGAAAUUUUGAAGAAAUUCCUUAAUCACGUCAUUUUAAUAAAUAAAUAAUAAAAAUAAUUUCGGAAUUAGCCAACGGAAUCUAAACGAAAGUCGUAGAUCAUGGUCUCACCUUCGCGUGAAUAUAAAGAACGUCAAAAACGGAGUUCGUAUGAGGGAGAUAUGAAUUUUUGAAGUUUAUUUAUAAUAAAUAUAAAUUUAAUUAUAAAUUCCCGGUAAUAUCCGAAGGGGAGUCAUCGGAUUGGACCGAAGUACGCCCUGCGUACCUUCGUACGCCCCGCGUACUGAGAUCGAGGGUCUCGGAUCGUCCACGUCGCNNNNNNNNNNNNNNNNNNNNNNNNNNNNNNNNNNNNNNNNNNNNNNNNNNNNNNNNNNNNNNNNNNNNNNNNNNNNNNNNNNNNNNNNNNNNNNNNNNNNNNNNNNNNNNNNNNNNNNNNNNNNNNNNNNNNNNNNNNNNNNNNNNNNNNNNNNNNNNNNNNNNNNNNNNNNNNNNNNNNNNNNNNNNNNNNNNNNNNNNNNNNNNNNNNNNNNNNNNNNNNNNNNNNNNNNNNNNNNNNNNNNNNNNNNNNNNNNNNNNNNNNNNNNNNNNNNNNNNNNNNNNNNNNNNNNNNNNNNNNNNNNNNNNNNNNNNNNNNNNNNNNNNNNNNNNNNNNNNNNNNNNNNNNNNNNNNNNNNNNNNNNNNNNNNNNNNNNNNNNNNNNNNNNNNNNNNNNNNNNNNNNNNNNNNNNNNNNNNNNNNNNNNNNNNNNNNNNNNNNNNNNNNNNNNNNNNNNNNNNNNNNNNNNNNNNNNNNNNNNNNNNNNNNNNNNNNNNNNNNNNNNNNNNNNNNNNNNNNNNNNNNNNNNNNNNNNNNNNNNNNNNNNNNNNNNNNNNNNNNNNNNNNNNNNNNNNNNNNNNNNNNNNNNNNNNNNNNNNNNNNNNNNNNNNNNNNNNNNNNNNNNNNNNNNNNNNNNNNNNNNNNNNNNNNNNNNNNNNNNNNNNNNNNNNNNNNNNNNNNNNNNNNNNNNNNNNNNNNNNNNNNNNNNNNNNNNNNNNNNNNNNNNNNNNNNNNNNNNNNNNNNNNNNNNNNNNNNNNNNNNNNNNNNNNNNNNNNNNNNNNNNNNNNNNNNNNNNNNNNNNNNNNNNNNNNNNNNNNNNNNNNNNNNNNNNNNNNNNNNNNNNNNNNNNNNNNNNNNNNNNNNNNNNNNNNNNNNNNNNNNNNNNNNNNNNNNNNNNNNNNNNNNNNNNNNNNNNNNNNNNNNNNNNNNNNNNNNNNNNNNNNNNNNNNNNNNNNNNNNNNNNNNNNNNNNNNNNNNNNNNNNNNNNNNNNNNNNNNNNNNNNNNNNNNNNNNNNNNNNNNNNNNNNNNNNNNNNNNNNNNNNNNNNNNNNNNNNNNNNNNNNNNNNNNNNNNNNNNNNNNNNNNNNNNNNNNNNNNNNNNNNNNNNNNNNNNNNNNNNNNNNNNNNNNNNNNNNNNNNNNNNNNNNNNNNNNNNNNNNNNNNNNNNNNNNNNNNNNNNNNNNNNNNNNNNNNNNNNNNNNNNNNNNNNNNNNNNNNNNNNNNNNNNNNNNNNNNNNNNNNNNNNNNNNNNNNNNNNNNNNNNNNNNNNNNNNNNNNNNNNNNNNNNNNNNNNNNNNNNNNNNNNNNNNNNNNNNNNNNNNNNNNNNNNNNNNNNNNNNNNNNNNNNNNNNNNNNNNNNNNNNNNNNNNNNNNNNNNNNNNNNNNNNNNNNNNNNNNNNNNNNNNNNNNNNNNNNNNNNNNNNNNNNNNNNNNNNNNNNNNNNNNNNNNNNNNNNNNNNNNNNNNNNNNNNNNNNNNNNNNNNNNNNNNNNNNNNNNNNNNNNNNNNNNNNNNNNNNNNNNNNNNNNNNNNNNNNNNNNNNNNNNNNNNNNNNNNNNNNNNNNNNNNNNNNNNNNNNNNNNNNNNNNNNNNNNNNNNNNNNNNNNNNNNNNNNNNNNNNNNNNNNNNNNNNNNNNNNNNNNNNNNNNNNNNNNNNNNNNNNNNNNNNNNNNNNNNNNNNNNNNNNNNNNNNNNNNNNNNNNNNNNNNNNNNNNNNNNNNNNNNNNNNNNNNNNNNNNNNNNNNNNNNNNNNNNNNNNNNNNNNNNNNNNNNNNNNNNNNNNNNNNNNNNNNNNNNNNNNNNNNNNNNNNNNNNNNNNNNNNNNNNNNNNNNNNNNNNNNNNNNNNNNNNNNNNNNNNNNNNNNNNNNNNNNNNNNNNNNNNNNNNNNNNNNNNNNNNNNNNNNNNNNNNNNNNNNNNNNNNNNNNNNNNNNNNNNNNNNNNNNNNNNNNNNNNNNNNNNNNNNNNNNNNNNNNNNNNNNNNNNNNNNNNNNNNNNNNNNNNNNNNNNNNNNNNNNNNNNNNNNNNNNNNNNNNNNNNNNNNNNNNNNNNNNNNNNNNNNNNNNNNNNNNNNNNNNNNNNNNNNNNNNNNNNNNNNNNNNNNNNNNNNNNNNNNNNNNNNNNNNNNNNNNNNNNNNNNNNNNNNNNNNNNNNNNNNNNNNNNNNNNNNNNNNNNNNNNNNNNNNNNNNNNNNNNNNNNNNNNNNNNNNNNNNNNNNNNNNNNNNNNNNNNNNNNNNNNNNNNNNNNNNNNNNNNNNNNNNNNNNNNNNNNNNNNNNNNNNNNNNNNNNNNNNNNNNNNNNNNNNNNNNNNNNNNNNNNNNNNNNNNNNNNNNNNNNNNNNNNNNNNNNNNNNNNNNNNNNNNNNNNNNNNNNNNNNNNNNNNNNNNNNNNNNNNNNNNNNNNNNNNNNNNNNNNNNNNNNNNNNNNNNNNNNNNNNNNNNNNNNNNNNNNNNNNNNNNNNNNNNNNNNNNNNNNNNNNNNNNNNNNNNNNNNNNNNNNNNNNNNNNNNNNNNNNNNNNNNNNNNNNNNNNNNNNNNNNNNNNNNNNNNNNNNNNNNNNNNNNNNNNNNNNNNNNNNNNNNNNNNNNNNNNNNNNNNNNNNNNNNNNNNNNNNNNNNNNNNNNNNNNNNNNNNNNNNNNNNNNNNNNNNNNNNNNNNNNNNNNNNNNNNNNNNNNNNNNNNNNNNNNNNNNNNNNNNNNNNNNNNNNNNNNNNNNNNNNNNNNNNNNNNNNNNNNNNNNNNNNNNNNNNNNNNNNNNNNNNNNNNNNNNNNNNNNNNNNNNNNNNNNNNNNNNNNNNNNNNNNNNNNNNNNNNNNNNNNNNNNNNNNNNNNNNNNNNNNNNNNNNNNNNNNNNNNNNNNNNNNNNNNNNNNNNNNNNNNNNNNNNNNNNNNNNNNNNNNNNNNNNNNNNNNNNNNNNNNNNNNNNNNNNNNNNNNNNNNNNNNNNNNNNNNNNNNNNNNNNNNNNNNNNNNNNNNNNNNNNNNNNNNNNNNNNNNNNNNNNNNNNNNNNNNNNNNNNNNNNNNNNNNNNNNNNNNNNNNNNNNNNNNNNNNNNNNNNNNNNNNNNNNNNNNNNNNNNNNNNNNNNNNNNNNNNNNNNNNNNNNNNNNNNNNNNNNNNNNNNNNNNNNNNNNNNNNNNNNNNNNNNNNNNNNNNNNNNNNNNNNNNNNNNNNNNNNNNNNNNNNNNNNNNNNNNNNNNNNNNNNNNNNNNNNNNNNNNNNNNNNNNNNNNNNNNNNNNNNNNNNNNNNNNNNNNNNNNNNNNNNNNNNNNNNNNNNNNNNNNNNNNNNNNNNNNNNNNNNNNNNNNNNNNNNNNNNNNNNNNNNNNNNNNNNNNNNNNNNNNNNNNNNNNNNNNNNNNNNNNNNNNNNNNNNNNNNNNNNNNNNNNNNNNNNNNNNNNNNNNNNNNNNNNNNNNNNNNNNNNNNNNNNNNNNNNNNNNNNNNNNNNNNNNNNNNNNNNNNNNNNNNNNNNNNNNNNNNNNNNNNNNNNNNNNNNNNNNNNNNNNNNNNNNNNNNNNNNNNNNNNNNNNNNNNNNNNNNNNNNNNNNNNNNNNNNNNNNNNNNNNNNNNNNNNNNNNNNNNNNNNNNNNNNNNNNNNNNNNNNNNNNNNNNNNNNNNNNNNNNNNNNNNNNNNNNNNNNNNNNNNNNNNNNNNNNNNNNNNNNNNNNNNNNNNNNNNNNNNNNNNNNNNNNNNNNNNNNNNNNNNNNNNNNNNNNNNNNNNNNNNNNNNNNNNNNNNNNNNNNNNNNNNNNNNNNNNNNNNNNNNNNNNNNNNNNNNNNNNNNNNNNNNNNNNNNNNNNNNNNNNNNNNNNNNNNNNNNNNNNNNNNNNNNNNNNNNNNNNNNNNNNNNNNNNNNNNNNNNNNNNNNNNNNNNNNNNNNNNNNNNNNNNNNNNNNNNNNNNNNNNNNNNNNNNNNNNNNNNNNNNNNNNNNNNNNNNNNNNNNNNNNNNNNNNNNNNNNNNNNNNNNNNNNNNNNNNNNNNNNNNNNNNNNNNNNNNNNNNNNNNNNNNNNNNNNNNNNNNNNNNNNNNNNNNNNNNNNNNNNNNNNNNNNNNNNNNNNNNNNNNNNNNNNNNNNNNNNNNNNNNNNNNNNNNNNNNNNNNNNNNNNNNNNNNNNNNNNNNNNNNNNNNNNNNNNNNNNNNNNNNNNNNNNNNNNNNNNNNNNNNNNNNNNNNNNNNNNNNNNNNNNNNNNNNNNNNNNNNNNNNNNNNNNNNNNNNNNNNNNNNNNNNNNNNNNNNNNNNNNNNNNNNNNNNNNNNNNNNNNNNNNNNNNNNNNNNNNNNNNNNNNNNNNNNNNNNNNNNNNNNNNNNNNNNNNNNNNNNNNNNNNNNNNNNNNNNNNNNNNNNNNNNNNNNNNNNNNNNNNNNNNNNNNNNNNNNNNNNNNNNNNNNNNNNNNNNNNNNNNNNNNNNNNNNNNNNNNNNNNNNNNNNNNNNNNNNNNNNNNNNNNNNNNNNNNNNNNNNNNNNNNNNNNNNNNNNNNNNNNNNNNNNNNNNNNNNGUACUAAACGCACUGUUAACAAGUUACCAUCGGGGUAACACAGAAUCAUACUAUUACAACUGCUAGAUCAAUGAGUCAGUUCAUUCAUGAGUCUAUACUAGGAAGAGAAUAUAUACAACUAUACUACGAGAACAUAUACAACUAUACUAGAACAAGAAACAUUUCAUCACACAUGCAAGAAUACGAUAACAAAUGUGAUCCACUGUAUCGGAGCAUGCCUUAAAUGUCAUGGCCCGAGUUGUAGCCAGAAUUCUCUUGGAGGGAGAGCGUUGAGUUUGCGUAUAGAUCUAUACUGGAUUGACUAUCCUACACCUUGCUGCUAGCUACAGCCGGACCUGCAGGUCUGCGGGUGCCAAACGUCAUUCCGUUAUUACGACCGUUCUUUAUGUCGUUGUUAUAAGUCGAUAGUAUGGUGCAAUUAUCACAUUAUACCUUAAUAUAAAUCCGGUUUAAGGUAGUAGUAAUUAGUACAACAGUAGUUCUUAUUAUACAAAACUACAGUACUACAAUGAUUUACCCAUUACAUAUUUUGGUGAUAAUCUCACUUAAGCAUUAAUGUACAAACUAUAUUUUAUCAAAUGAUAGUUAUACUUGGGUAAUCACACACUUUUACAACAGACGAGUUUACAAAACAGUUAAGCCUUGGUAGAAGGUUACUUUUAUAGAAAAUAUAGGAUUUUCUGAGAGAUUCAAACUUUUGCAAAUACUUUUAAACAUUUAUUUACAUUUUUACAAACUUAUACAUUGGGACAAGUUCAACGUUUUUGACAAUGAACAUUGACACUAAAAUACUUAUGAACUCACCAGCUUAAUGCUGAUAAACUCUUUCAAAAUAACUUGUAUUCUCAGGUCAUCAGUAGACAGGUACCGAUGCCAGCUUUUGAGAAGAUGGAGUGUUCUAAGACUCAUCAUUUUGUUAUUUUGAUUUACGUUAUAUUUUUGGUGUCUAAAAAUUGUACAGAACACGCAUGUAUUAAAACUUUAUAUAAUGCAAUGGAUGAUGUUGUUUGCCUAUUUAUAUUAACUGUGUUGUGAAUUACCUACAUGACGUCCUCCGCCCCAGAACGUUUCCGCCGUUCUUGGUUUUGGGGUGUGACAGACAGGAAGAAGUCGACUUCUAUAUAUUCGAUAAAAGCGGAAACCCUAAAGAGUUCUUCAAACAGAAGGAAUGCGUAUCAGUUACACAGUCUCCUGCUCUGAUACCAAUUGUUAGAGCAAAGUUCUAGUAUGAUCGAUAGAUUCUAAAUAGAAAAACAAGAAUAGUAAUCUAAAGAACACAGGAAUGGCUCAAACGUUGUCGAAUGAUUAAACUUUAACACCUCAGAAGAGCUCGAUUAAGAACUUCGACUGUAGAUUUGAUCCCCAUUUCUCACAAAAUAUAGGUGGUCUCAAAUGNUAUAUAUAUAUAUAUAUAUAUAUAAAUAUAUAUAUGGUUAUGAUUAAAUGUGAACUAUAAAUAUUAUGUGAAUGUAUGACCAUUUUUUGUCUAUUUGAUUAAAAGAAGUGAAUGACUAUGAUUUGAGUGUACAUGUUAUUAAAAAAGGAUAACAUGUACUCUAUUAUACACCUAGUUAAUAAAAUUUUAUUUAAAAAGAGAAAUACAUUAUUUAUAUCCUAAUUUGAUGGGAUUUUUAUUUAAUUUUUAUAUAUCUUAUUUUAUAAAAUUAAUCAUGAAUAUAUUUUUUUAUCAAAAAGCAAAUAUAUAUUAUAAUAUGAUGAACUCAUAUUUUCUUUUAAUUAUUAUAGAACGACUUUAUUCAAGUUAUUUUUUUUAAAAAUUAAUAUUCUCAAAGAAUACAUUUACAUAUAUUCUCAAUAAUUAAGAAUUUCAUCAACAAAAUAAUCAUAUACUUAUUGCAACGUUGACACAUCUUCUAAAAAAUAUGUAAAAAGUAACACAAAUAAGAAUUUCACAAAGCGCAACGCUUUCUUGAGAAUAUGAUAAUUCUCACAUAAUAUAUAUAUUCAUGCAUUCUUUAACAAUAUCAAUUUUUACAGAAUAGUUGAGUCUGAUAAUGAGUAAUAAUACAUAAGAAAGAAUAAAAAUGAGAGAAAAUGGCAAACAAUUCUAUAGUUAAAGAUGCCCACAUUAGCGAAAGAAACUUUUUAGAUGAUUCUAAAAGAAUACAUGAAACUAAAAAAAAUACAACUACAUGAAACAUUUUUGAUGUACAUAGGGUCGAUUUGCAACUCCAUUCUUUUAAUGUAAAAACUAAAACAUGCCUCAUUCUUGAAAUAAUACAUUGAUAUUCUUGAUUCUUUUUGAAAAAUGACCCUUGUUGAUAGAUGCUUUUAUUCUUUUUGAUACACAACCUUUCUUGAUAAAUGUUUUUAUCACCUAUCACAUAUCUAUAUUGUUGAAAAGCUUCUCUUUAUACAAUUUCAUUAGUUGCAUAAGCAAGACCUUUAUAUGGUAUUAUACAAACUUGUUAUUCUGGACAAUGAUUUGUGAAACAUGCAUAUNNNNNNNNNNNNNNNNNNNNNNNNNNNNNNNNNNNNNNNNNNNNNNNNNNNNNNNNNNNNNNNNNNNNNNNNNNNNNNNNNNNNNNNNNNNNNNNNNNNNNNNNNNNNNNNNNNNNNNNNNNNNNNNNNNNNNNNNNNNNNNNNNNNNNNNNNNNNNNNNNNNNNNNNNNNNNNNNNNNNNNNNNUCUCUCUCUCUCGUUAUAUAUAUAUAUAUAUAUAUAUAUAUAUAUAUAUAUAUAUAUAACUUAGAAAAGAACAUGAUGGUAAAACUCCUAUGAAAAAUCAACAUCUUUCCUAUAACAAAUAAUUAUUUUAAGCACCUGAUUGAAAAAGUCAGUACAGUUGUACCAAUCUCAAUUUGAAUCAGAUUAGUUGUAUAUUCAAAUCCCAAACAUGGAUAGAUUUCAAUCAAUGGGUAUGAAGUUCCAAUGAUUUUUCAUUAAUAUGUACAAAUUGAAAGCAUAAUGAAAUCAACAUGUGUUAACUCUAUCGUCUAUAAACUAGAUAGUGAAGUAGAGACAGAAACUAACAUUUAGGCUAUCAUAAACACUACAAACGUAAUCGAUGAAAACUUUACCGGAUCUAGUAGAAUUGUAGAGCCAAGAAAUGCCGAGAAGAAAAGGAACAAGACCUAAGCCUCAAUAAAUAAAUCCAAAAAUUGAUGUUUUGCUUUACUCAGUCAAAAAAAUUUGAUUCCUAAGGUACCAGAACAUCCUUGGAAACACUCACAGAUUCUCAGAGAACGAAUCCUCUGAUGCUUUUUUUUAACCGUACAAAGACAGUAAAUGCGUGUUCUUUAAGAACCCUUUGUUCGAACAAGUUUAAUCAUUGUUACAGCAUGCUUAAGUUAAGUAGUGAUGCGAUAAUGAGGUGUUCACAUACUUUAUCCCAAUUGUGGGCAAAUCAAGAUGUAGGGAAGCAAUUCUACUUUUCACACAUUUUCCAAACAAGUUGGGUUUCACAACCAAUUUGGAUGAUGAGAACCAUGGUUUCCUCUUGAUUAGAUCAUUCAAUCAGUGGAUUCUAUAAGCUAACAUAUGAAAAAUAAAGUAUAUCGAUCAAAAAUCUCACCUCAAAUCCUAUGUAUCUCACAUGCUUCUCCUUGGAUUAACAUAGAUAGAAAUGAAAAAUGAAUUUGAUGUUGAAAUCGUUGGUAAGAGAAGCAAAGUAGCAAUUUUUUUUAUAGAGACUUGUGCUUUUUUUUACAGACUAACCUAAAUAUGUUUAGCGCCACCAUUGAUUUGAGGUUGUGACAUUAAGUGCAUGAGAAUCUCAAAAAGAAAAUUUGACCAAUUUUUUUAGGCAUUCCAUGGGAAAAUUUCUAAGUCGUUAUAGAAAAGGGGAAGGUUUAAGCAAUUGUAGAGCAUCAACUCUCUCUCUCUCUCUCUCUCUCUCUCUCUCUCUCUCUUUCUCUCUCUUUAUGCAUCGAUCUCUUACAUGAAUCUGGUGGUGAUAAUGUCGUUCUUUGUUGUAGAUCGUGUGCCGAUGGAGAUGAACCAGUCCGUGGUGAUGUUGGUUGAUUUUAAGAUUACGAUGAUGGCGUGUAUAGUGGUAUUGAACCAGAGAAUUGGGAACGUGAAUUGGUGAUGAUUAAGUGACUGUUUCAGAUCAGUACGGUUUAGAUUUUAAAAGAUGUUUAUUUAUAUAUUUUAUAACUUAUCCGUGAUUUAAUGGAAAUAUUUAUAAAUAUAAGAUUUAUUUUUGUUUAUUAAAAUAGUUGUAAAGAAAAUAUCGAAAUUUCCCUUAUAUCUUGUUGGGUUAAUAAUUGGUUAUACAUUCAUAUAAUACUUAAAUNAUUAAAUACUAAAAUAUAUUUAUAUGUGAUUGUCAAUAUAAGACAAUAUUGUACUUUAAUAAAUGAGACUUUAAAAGUACUGCAUGAAUCACUGAUAACCACCAUUAACAUAUGCUUUACCAAAAACCCAAGAACCACCACCAGUCAACCACCUCUGUAAGCUCGCACCAAGAAGAAAAGAAAGAAUAGAUGUUACAUUUCUUAUAUUUUUUGUGUGGUUGUAAUUGAUUAGAGAGAAAAGGAAUCGGGGUGGAGAAUUAUAUUUAUACGAGAUAAAGUACGUGAAAGGUAAUGAUUAAUGAUUUCAAAAUUUAAACCAUCAUUUUAUGAUAUAAAAAUCCCUGAAAUUCCUCGAUUGCAUUCCAUAUCCAAAUAGAAUACAAAGCUUAGUGAUUUUCUACCUUUAAGUCGUUAAUUAAAAAAUUCUUGCACUAAAGUGGGUACAACUGGGACACUAUAAAAAAAAAUUGAUCAUAUUAUAUAAACUAGUUGUGAGACCCGUAUGUUAUACGGGUUUGAUAAAACAAAAAUUAAAUAUAAAAGUUUAAACUAAAACUUGUUUAAAUUUGAAAUUUUAGAUUUGAAAUUUAAAAUUUAAAUUUAAAAAGAAACAUAUAAAUAUUAUAUGAAUACUAAUAUUGUAAUUUAUUGGUUAUUUUCAAUUAAAGCAAUGAUUAAUUGAUGUGUAAAUAUGAUGUAUUAAUUAAGAAAAAAUAAAAAAAAAUAUAUGAAAAUGACAAAUGGAAAUAACAUUUAAUCAAAAAUACCAAAAAAUGACAUGUGUCCAAGUUAAUGAGAGAGUGACAUGUGGCAAAAUUAUUUUCAUUUAUCAGGGAAGAAAUCACCCUAUAUACUAUCAUACAUCAUUUCAGCCUAACUUUUGAGAUUAUAAUUAUCAUAUGAUUAUCAUUUGACUAACUUUUAUAUUUUAGUUCAUUAUAAUUUUUUAACAAUUACAUUUUUAUUACUGACUUUAUUAAUAUUAGUAAUUAGUAAUUUUAAACUAAUUCUAUUAUUAAGAUAAAAAACAAUAAUAAUAUUGUUUUCAUAAUAUAAUAUUAUAAAAAAUAAAACUUCCAAAUUAAUGCUCAUUAAUUUCUUUACUUUGUUUUUUUAGUAACUCGUAAACUUAAUACAUGUUAUUUUUUUCAUUUUCAUAAAUUUAAUACAUUUUAUUUUUUGUUAGAGUUAAGCCUCUUUUUUUAAAGAUAAAAUCAUAUUUUUUUUCCAUUUCCAUAAACAUAAUAUCUUUUGAUUUUUAAUAAAUCUGAAAUUUAUGUUUUAAUUGAAAAGAAACUUGUCUGUGUUAACAUGUAUUUGAUAAUUUUUAAAGUUUGGUAUAUGAUUGUUACUGAUUUCAAGGUUAUGUUUUAAAUUAAAGUUUUUAUAAAAUGUUGCGUAUGAUGUAUCUUUACCUUUAUUAUCAUAUUGAUACCAAAAAACAGAUUUUAUGAAUGAAUAGAAAAAAUAAUAAAAUCAGGUGAAAAAAAAUAUUAGAUUUCAAACUUACUAUUGAAAAAUUAGCCUAUGAAAAAGUUAAUUAUCUGAGCAUUUCAUGAAAUAAUAAAAAGAAUUACUAAAGAAAAAAAUGGAAUAUAUAAUCUGUAUCCUCAUUUCCUUCCCGCUUUAGUUUCACUCUUAUCCUGGUUGCUAACCGGUGUGGGAGACGAAGCCAAGUCAUUUCCCUUUAAGGAUCUAAGUGCCACUCUUUCUAGUUUCAUUCAAAAUGCCACAAAAGUAUAUGUUUAAAACAUCUCAUUGGAGGUGGGAUAUAAUUCUCGGAUUGAAUGUCUCUCAUUGUGGUCUUGAUUUUAAGCUAGUACAAUCAAAGAUUUUGGUAUGAAUUUGGUACUAAUCUUGAUCUUUUCUCUUGUCUGUUUUUUUAAUAGGUCUUCUGCCUUCGAUCCGCGAAGUACAACUUUAAAUUUGUCAAAAUAAUAAAAUUUAAAUACUUGAAAUUUUAUAUUUUAAGUUUUUAAUCAUUUUUUAAAUAAUUUAAUUAAUCAUUUUAUAGUUAUCAACAUUUUUUACUAAAAUUUUUAACUUUUUAUUAGUCAUUAAGAUUUCGAAUUAUAAAUACUAUUUUUCUUUCUCAAUCGUGAUUUUCAUGAGUUUAAACCUAGUAAUAAUAAUGUAAGUACAAUAAAGCAAACAUAAAUUUGAAAGUCGAAAGGGUUAAUUGAUUAUUUUGAAAGUAAUAGAUAUUAUGAGGUCGGUAGAUUGUGGGAGAAUAAGGAACGACCAGGAACCAAAGAUUUAUUUAUAUGGAUCUGAAUUGCGAUUAUACAUAUCGUCUAUUGAAUUUUCUUCCCAAUAAAUAUCUUCACCAAGUCUAUAUCUAUGCCGACAAGCCACGUAUUAUCUAUUUUAAUAAAUGAAGAUUAAUUUGUCACAUUAAUCUCUUAUAAGUUUUGAUACUUGUCAUUUUGUGAUUUAUUUAAAAUAAAAUAAUAUCCACAUGUCAAUUUCUAAAUUUUUUUCAAAUUUUAAAAUUAAAAUUACAUAAUAAUUAUACUUAUAUAUUAAAGUAUUAAAUGUAAUAAAUUUAAUAAUAAAUUGCAAUUAAUAUGUUUUUUAUUUCUUAUUUCAAAAUUUUAUUUUAAAAAUAUUUAUUAUUUAGAUUCUUAUAUUUAAUCUUUUUUUAAUCAACUCGUAUAAUACACGGAUUUUGCACCUAGUUUAUAAUAAAACUUAAAUUACAUAGGAUAUUUAUUUGAUUUAUAAUAAAAUUGACCGCCAAUAAGAAAAAGUUAAAAAAAUAUAGAAUAAGUUGUAUUUAAAAAGUAAUUGAAAUCAUGGCUAAAACUAAGGGAUGCAGCUUAAAUCUAUUAAUUUACAAUUUUAGAAAAUGAUUAAUAUAGUUAAAUAAAAACNNNNNNNNNNNNNNNNNNNNNNUUCAUAUAGUUUUCUCUCUCUCUCUCUCUCUCUCUCUCUCUCUAUAUAUAUAUAUAUAUAUAUAUAUAUAUAUAUAUAUAUAUAAUGUUGUUUUUUUAGAUUUUUAAUUAAACAUCAUGGUUCCCAUAAUUAUGGUAGUGUUAGACAAGAUUCAAUUCAAGAAAAUUCAAAUAUUCUUUGGUUAUAUUAGCUCGGAUAACUCAAUAAAACUUGAGAACAUUAGGUGUUAGGACACCGCCGUUGGUGGGGUUUCAAGGGAUCACCCCUGACAUGGGUUUUGCAGUCCCGUCAACAGCUAGGGUCAAGAAGUAGACCCUGACUUGAAAAAUAAUUGAUAUAGAGAAAAUAAACCAUAUUGAAAUUUUCAUGCCUUAUGGAAGUUUUUUGUGUUAAGGAGGCACCGUCAAUAUUGGAAAAUUUGAUGUUGCAAGAGUUUUUAUACAUUGGGAAAACUCUUUUCUUGUAUCUUUAAAAUUGUUUUUAGUAAACAUAUCACAAAACAAGAUAAUUAUGUGUUUUAGUAUUCGUAUGUCACACCCCCGAAACCAGACGGCGGAAACGUCCGAGGGUUCGCAUGACUUAAAUUGAAUAUCAUCGCAAUGAAUAUACAUGAAUCAUAACAUAAACAUCACCAUGCAUCAAUACAUUACAACUGAUAUUGUUCACGUCCAAUACAUUGUUUUAAAUAUUACACAUCCAUAACAUAAAUUGUUUGAGAGUUUUCAGAACAUAACAUCCUAAAAUACUUGGUAUUAUCCUUCAGCUUACCUGUUACCUGAGAAUACAAGUUAUUUUGAAAACGGUCAACAUAUGAAAUGUUGGUGAGUUCAUAAGCAGGAUUGUGUUAAAAAUGAUUUGUUUUGUUUAUAAAACCCAGAAAAUCCGAUAUUUUCUUAAAAGACAAUUGUUUACUAAAGUGUGAAGAUCCAUAAGUUGAUGCAUGAGUGAUUUCAAAACGUGUAUAAAAGGGAGUUUUGUAUUAUAUUUAUAGAUAAAUACAAGUGAGUGGUGUUGAUUUCCUCGAAAAACCCGAUAUUUUCCGAUAACAUAAAAUAUAAUUGUUUUUCAAAUUGCUAUACCGCCAUAACGAAUGAUCUUGAUUACUCUUCCUUGAUUACUCGGAUGAUAUUGGAUUUAAUUAAUUAUGUAAGUCAUUAUAACCAUGCAUAAUAAUGACUAAUUCAUUUAUCUUGGCAACUUAACGUACGCCGGGAUUGAUCUUAAGAUUUUGUCACCCUAUACUGGCCGAGUCUAAUUGUAGCGAACAACUGAGGUGUGGGGGAGUCACCCCCAUAUAGAUCUAUACACAAACUCUCGAUCUCCUUCCAUGAGACUUUGAUUAUAACUACAGACUACGAACGACCCUUAGAGGUGUCGCCCGUUAUUGCUCACUUAAUCCAAACAAAAUUGAUUACUAUUGAUUAACAACCUGAAUUUGUUUAAUUUGAUUACAAAUAAGCCUAACAAACGAGGAGAAGAGGAAUACAAAGUCCUGCUAAAUUUCGUGUGUUAUUUUAGGCUGUUGGAUAUACGAAGGACACAUUGGCCCAUUAUAUAUUUGAUUAAAUUGGACCUUACUAGCAAUGCUAAUGGACCACCAAGCCCCAAUAGCGCAUAUAAGCCAUUAAGGGUCCGUUAAACAUGUAAUUGGGUCACAGGAGGCCCAAUAGACACGCGUUAUUAUUAAUGUUAGGCCCAAAAGUCAUGUCAAUGGGCCACGAAGGUCCAAUAAGCAUGAUUACAAUCUUUCAAGCCCAACUAUUUGGAUAUUUACUUGUUUUAGGUAUAGUAUAGUUGUUGGAAAGUUUGAUUGAACGAUUGUUAUCUUCGUAUCGACGCGUGGUCGGUCGGUUGUUGAUAACGAUAUUUGGAGUUAUAUAUAUAUAUAUAUAUAUUCAUCUUUCUAUUUUCAUGUGUUGUAGUUUGGUAUUUUUGACUCAAAUAUCUUAAAAUCAGAAUAAUUGGUUUAAAAUGUUGGUUUGACCCUUUUCACCAUUUCUUUAAUAAAAAUGACAAUUUUAGUCCCUUAUUUUGAAAAAGAAACAUUUUAGGCACUUAAACCAUGUUCUUGACAUUUUUGACCCAUAGACUUGUUUAAAUGAUGAUUUUUAGUUCAAAAAUUUCUCUUUGGCAGUUUCAACCCUUCCAGUAAGGAACGUUUCAGUUAAAACCCAAGCUUUUCGCAAUUUUUACAAUUUUGGCCCAAAAUCCAAAAACUUUACAUUUUUUUAUCCUUAUUUGGAAAAUAAAUCAUUUUAACCCCUAAAUUGGUUUUGUUUACCCUUUUUAUCCCCUGUUUUGAGGAUUUUAUCAUUUCAGUUCCUUGAAAAUUAAGUUUUUUUUGCAAUUUUGAGCUCAAUGGGCCGAAUAGCCCAAAAAUUGGCCCAUUAAGCUACACAUUACAUUUCUAGUCCUUUGAAGAGUAUAAUAUUCAUAGCAACAUUUAUUUUAACUAUUUUGACUUUUUUGAUCCUUAAGAAAAACCGUGAAUGACGAUUUUUAACCCAACUUUUGUUUAUUUGAGAAUUUAAGUCCAAAAAUGGGUUUUAUGUUGUAACAUGCUUAUUUUAACCUUAGAUGAUAAUUUUUAUUAACUUGUUAAGUGUAAUAUGUAUUAGAUCAUGUUUUUUUCCUUCUUGUGCCAUAGAUAUCGAUAUUUCUUUCUUUUUGUUUGCAUAUUUACCACAUAACCACAUAAAACCACACAUACAUGCAUGAAAUCACACACAGCAUACACAUACACAUAGAUCUACACAUUUUACUUGUAUUCUCCCCUAUAAAACUUGUGAAAACCGAAAAGAGAGGGGUAUGAACUCACCUUUUCUUGUUGAUUUCGAUUUGAAGAAGAGAUGGAAGAGUUUGAUGUUAUUUUCGGCCCUAGCAAGCUUUUCUUGGGUUGACUUUGAUAUUAGAGAUUUCUAGGAUGGUGAUCAUGAGUUUAUAUGAGUUAAGAAGAGAUUUUUGAUAAAACAAAGAGUCUAGAUUAUGGAUCCAAGCAUCAACUUACCUAAGAUGAUGAUUUUUGGUGGAAUAACCUCCUUGAAGAGCUCUUAAUUCUCGAAAUUUUGAUGGAUAAAGGAGUUGUUAUUAUGAGUUCUUGAGAUAUGUUUAAGUGAAUUGUCUGUGUGUGUGUGUUUUUCCCUUUGGCCGAGAGUGAUUAAAAGAGAAGGAGAAGAGAGAGAUGUGAAAUGAUGGUUGCUUGGAGAUAUGAGAUGUUGCUUGGAAGUCCAUGGUGUAAUAAGGAGGUGGGUAACCCUCCUUAUUUCAUGAGUUUUUUUCCCUCUUGGGCCGAGAAAAGGGAAGAAAGAAAAAGAUUUUGGGCCUUUGGUGCUUAAGUCCAUAUCAUGGGCCCAUUUUGAUGAUUUGCGACCCAAUAUAAUUUAAAGAAUGAUUUUUAUGGCCCAUUAGGGCUAUUUAGUUUUGUUAUGGCCCAAUAAGGCCCAUUAAAGGGUUCUAAGCCCAAAAAUUCAAAUUGUAAGCUUAUUGGUUCAUUAGGCCCAAUAAGAAAAUCCUAGUCCAAAAUUACUUAAACCGGGAUUUUUAGGGCUUCUAACUUUUGUUGACUAUUGAGAGUUUGUAUAGGGUAUUUGAUGGAAUUUUUUCGUCAUUGAAUAACACCAUACAUGUUUUCUAGUUUUAGCUGCAAUGUCAUUCUUUGUUAAGUGUCUACAACGUAUCAAAAUUCCUAGUUGUGACAUCAUCCCCCCGUUAGAGGGAAUUUCGUCCCGAAAUUCUUUUUAAAGCUAGAUUGGAGAAUGUGAGAAUACAUGAGGGUACUUCUGCUUCAUUUGGUCAUUGCGUUCCCACAUGAAUUUUGGUCCGCGUCUUGCGUUUCAUCGAACUUUCACAAUCAGAAUGUGACUUUACUUAGUACGCUUCACUUCCCUGUCCAUGAUUUCGACUGGUUCUUCAAUGAACAGGAGAUUCUCAUUGAUUUCGAUUUUUUCUAAUGGAAUGACGAGAGUCUCGUGGGAUAAGCAUUUCUUUAAAUUAGAAACAUGGAACACGGGGUGUAUACUGCUGAGCUCAGCGGGUAGCUGCAGUCUAUAAGCCACUGGACCGAUUCGGGCCAGAAUCUCGAAGGGUCCAAUGUAUCUAGGGUUUAGUUGUCGCCGUUUUCCAAAACGAAUAACCCCUUUCCAAGGAGAGACCUUUAACAACACUCGAUCCCCGACUUGAAACUCCAAGGGCUUUGUCCGUUUAUCAGCGUAACUCUUUUGUCGGUCUCGUGAUGCUUGUAGUCGAGCUCUGAUUUGAACUAUUUUCUCUGUUGUUUCACGUAUGAUCUCCGGUCCCGUUAACGCAUUGACUGGUGUCAGUCCUCUUGCUAGCUGGGUGUCACCUACCUCAGCCCAACACAACGACAAUCUACAUUUACGUCCAUACAACGCCUCGAAGGGAGAAACAUUGAUGCUCGAGUGAUAACUGUUGUUAUAUGAGAAUUCGAUUAAGGGCAAGUGGGUAUCCCACGAAUUUCUAAAGUCUAUCACACAUGCGUGAAGCAUGUCUUCAAGCGUCUGAAUGGUUCGUUCGCUUUGACCAUCCGUAUGCGGAUGAUAAGCGGUGCACAUGUUGAGAUGUGUUCCUAGUGCUUUCUGAAGUGAUUGCCAAAAACGUGAAGUGAAUCUACUAUCCUUAUCUGAGAUGAUAGAUACUGGCACUCCAUGGAGUCUCACAAUUUCCUUGAUGUAUGUCCUCGUCAACCUUUCCAUCUUGUAGGAUUCUUUUAUUCACAGGAAAUGAGCGGAUUUCGUCAAUCUGUCGACUAUUACCCAUAUGGUAUCCAAUCCAUCUGUUGACUUGGGUAAUUUGAUCACAAAGUCCAUAGUAAUCCUUUGUCCAAAAGCUCACCGAGUUGGCUGGACAAUUCUUGCAUCUCUGUAGGAGUCAAUCUGUAGGGCGAUUUGGCGACGGGUGUAGCUCAUGGUACAAGAUCAAUUCGGAACUCAACUUGUCUUUCUGAGGGUAUCCCCGGAAGAUCUUCAGGGAAGACAUCCGGGAACUCGCAAGCUACUAGAAUGUCUAGAAUAUUGACCUCUUCCUUGGAUUUAUCCACUAUAUGAGCCAAAAACAUCAAGUCCUUCUUUCGUAGAUACUUAUGUGCCUUACUGCACGAGAUAAGACGAAGGUUCGUGUUGGGUUUGGUGGAAUAACCUCCUUGAAGAGUUCUUAAUUCUCGAAAUUUUGAUGGAGAAAUGAGAGGUUAAUGUGAGUUCUUGAGAUAUGUUUAAGUGAAUUAUGUGUGUGUGUGUUUUUCCCUUUGGCCAAGAGUGAUAAGAAGAAAAGGAGAAGAGAGAGAGGUGAAAGGAUGGUUGCUUGGAGAUAUGAGAUGUUGCUUGGAAGUCCAUAGUGUAAUAAGGAGGUGGCUAACCCUCCUUAUUUCAUUAGUUUUUUGUUUUUUUUUUGUUUUUCCUCUUGGGCCGAGAAAAGGGAAGAAAGAAAAAGAUUUUGGGCCUUUGGUGCUUAAGUCCAUAUCAUGGGCCCAUUUUGAUGAUUUUCGGCCCAAUAUAAUUUAAAGAAUGAGUUUUAUGGCCCAUUAGGGCUAUUUAGUUUUGUUAUGGCCCACUAAGGCCCAUUAAAGGGUUCUAAGCUCAAAAAGUCAAAUUGUAAGCUUAUUGGUCCAUUAGGGCCAAUACGAAAAUCAUAGUCCAGAAUGGACUUAAACCGGGAUUUUUAGGGCUUCCAACUUUUGUUGACUAUUGAGAGUUUGUAUAGGGUAUUUGAUGGAAUUUUGUUUUCAUUGAAUAACACCAUACAUGUUUUCUAGUUUUAGCUACAAUGUCAUUCUUUGUUAAGUGUCUACAACGUAUCAGAAUUCCUAGUUGUGAAAUCGUAAGAGACCUGCAAUUUCAAACUGAUUUUCUUGGAUUAUAAAAAAUUACAUUUCGUGAUACCUCUUUGAUAGAAGAAUUUUAAGGCGAGAAUGGAUAAGUGUGUGUAAUUAAGGGUGAGCAAACCCAAACCAAGAAACCGAUUAAAACCGACAAAACCGAAACAAAAAAAAAAAAAAAAAAAAAAAAAAAAAAAAAAAAAAAAAAACUGAAACUGACGGUUAGGGUUUCAAUUUUUAAAAACCAAAAAAUCGGGUUCGGUUUCGGUUUUACAUAGAAACCGACCCACUAAACCCGUAAAACCGACCCAUAUAUAAACCCAAGAAACCGAACCAAGAACCGACCCAUGUAUAUACUAAAAAACAAAAUAUUUAAUAUUACAACCCUAAAUGGCGUAAUCGGUAAUCGAAAUCGAAAAUUAGGUCUCACUUUCUCACUUAGCACCGUUCUUAAUAUUGCUCAUCUCCCUUCCCCUGAUCGAAGCUGACGACGCAACACUCCGACGAGCUCAACCCCAUUCCCAAACCGCCGACGCCACCCAUCCAAAGACCAAAGCUACUAGCCUGCUACCGUGCUACGCCUCUGACAGUUCCUUCUCCCGUCUCACUUAUCAAAUUCUCAGGUUUGUUUUCAAAUUUCUCCCUUCUUGCUUAUCAGUUUGUCACUUCUUGGUUGCAAUUGCCAAUUUGUGCAUUGCUUUGUUGUUAUUGGAUUGCUUGUUCAUCCCUAAACAGCUGAUUAGUACACCGAUUUUGGAAUGGCAGGAAACUACCGACUAUUCUAAUCUUCUACACCGGUUCAAUUUAUGAAAUUAUUACACCCUAAUGUUCAAUUUCUUAUUCCGACUGCUAUAAAUUUGUAUAUAAUACACAAUUUGUUAACUCAAAGUUGAUGGUUUGGUUUUGGAUUUGUUUAUGAAUUAUAAUGCUGAAAUAUCGGCGAUUUAUUAUGAAUUCUGUCAUUCUGAUGCUGAAAUAUUGUUCAUGAAUUUGUUUAUGAAAUAUAAUGCUUAAAUAUUGUUCCUGUAUGACCUAAAAACAUAAUUUUUUGGUAACUACGGACUUUGUGUUUUACUUUGAAUGUGUUUUGGUUGUAAAACUCUGUUUUUUGAAGUAUUUAACUUCAAUUUGGUGUUUUUUGAAUUAUUUAACUUAUUGCUCCAUCUCCGGAAAAUGGGUUUAAACCCAGAACCCGUAAGUGUAUGGAUUGAACCCAAGAAACUGAGAAACCGAUAACAGAACCCGAGAAACUGAACCGACCAGAAACCGAUCCUAUUGGGUUCAGAAAAUCAUAAAGCAACCAUUUACGGUUCUGGUUGGGUUGGGGUCCAAAAUCGACCCAAACCGACUCAUGCACAUGCCUAUGUGUAAUACAUUACGGUACAUGAUAUAUCCAUCAGAAGUCAUACACGGUCCAACAAUUAUCGAAGUGUACUAUGGAUAUCCAAAACCCGAAAUCUAACAUCAUAACACAAUAAUAUAUAAGAACGAAUACCAACAACUAGAUAUGAAACUAUUGAUCUCUUGUUCUCUGAUAUUUGAUAUUUGAUAUGAAGAAUGGGAAUCACCUCAAAUUUAUUUACAAGUGAGUGUACUUUUUGGUAAUUACAUAUCAUUAGGGUACUUUUGUUGUUUUUGUAUUUAGUAAUCGUUUCGUGUUCACUAUAACAAUUAGUUAGGUAUUUUAUUAUUGUAAUUGUAAACUUGUCUAACACUUUAUUCUUCAAUUGAACAUAAAACUAUGGCCAUCUCGAGUAAUUCCAUCUGAAUUCACUACAAAAAAAACAAACGCUAUCCUAGCCACCCUAUAGAUGUGACAAUUGUCCCAUAAAUAUCUUUACCUAUAAGGACGACAAGUCUGCUCUAUAUCAUUUUUAGAAAAAAUCUGCCACGGGAAUAAAAUUUAUUCUCCAAAAUGAAAAUUUAUAUAGAUCAAAGAUCUAUCAGUAUAGGGUAGAAUUCUAUCAAAACUAAAUAAUAUAUUUUAAUUUUUCCAUAUCUAUGUUCAAUAUAUAAAGUGUCAUCGUUUGAUACUCAUUCUUUAGACAUAUAAUCUGCCUGAUUUAAAUUAGGGAUCAAUCCAACUUCAUCAUUCACACAUCCAUCGUCCUUUUUGUUCUGACAAGAACAUGAUGUGGGGUUUCUUCAGUACCAGUGAAGGAAUCUAGUGAGGACCCAGCGAAAUAAUAACUAUACCCUUGUUUAUAGUGUAUAAUUUAUUUUUUAAAGGUAUUAUCUACUCUCUUUCUUAGCUGCUCUCUUUACCGGUUAUGACUCAAGACGACGGAGACAUUCCUCCGACGAAGAAAUCCCAAUAUGAUGGCUUUUGACCCUGUUUUGUAAAUGAUAUUUUUAAUUAAUUAAGAUAUACAUCCAUGAUUCCAUAGCUUGAUUCUUGAAUUUUGAUCUUUAAUUUUUGCUUUUUAUAUGUUAUUGUUAGUAAAUAUGAUCAUAUGCUCCUGAUUCUAUAAAUUUGGUAUUGAUUCCUAACAUUUGGUAUUUUAUUCCUAUUUUUGCGAUUGUUAAUUUCUAUAAUUUUAACAAAAAACUUAUAUGACAACAAACACUAACAACUAGUAUGAGAGGAAACUUCUAAAUGUUAUUCUAGAUUGGAAAACUAACACUAUAGCACAAUGAUAUUAAGUUGUUGUCUCGGAUUGAUCAACUAUGUAUUUUGCUCAUUACACCAUUAAUUUUUUAUUUUAUCUGUUUAAAUAACUAAUUUGUGACCUGCUUAACAUAUUUUCUGGUGACUUAGUAAUGUAGAAACAAUCAAUGUGAACUCAACUGCCACCUCAUCCACAUAGUGUCGACCAACUUAUUUAAGCACUACCAUAAUCGGAUCACACUAAAAACUUAUUUAACCACUCCUCUAAUCAUACCAUGGAUUUCUUACUCUUAAUAUCUCACAUAUCACAUUUAAAUUCCUUCAAAGAACUCUUUAUCCUUGUUCCAUCCAUGGAACCCUUCCUCUAAAUUCUUUAAUCAUACAUAAUAUCAUUCCCAUGUGAAUCAUAUAUCAUCAUCUACUAAAGGGGCCAUACUCUUAUUCACAUAGGAAUCAUAUUCUCUAUUUCAUGAUCAAUCAUACUCUCAUUCUUGAAAGAAACAUCUUUCUACUUUUUUCUUACUCUUUCUCUACACAUGUCCCAUAGACAUGAUAACUCUUUAUCUCAUCAAGAGAUAUUUUCUACUUCUCUAGUACUCAACUCAGUGAGUACUUAAUCUUAUUCUUCUUCUAAGACUACUACAUUUUAUGGCUUUGGUCACUUGAUAUUAGAAACGAACAGUCACUCAUAUAAUAUUUUAAGUAGUUGUAGGUCUCCAUCAUGUGACUAUUCGAAAUUGUAUUGUUACACCUUCUAAUAAUUAAGUAUUUGAAGUGAAUUGAAAGAUUUUUGCGAAACGGUCAACCACUUAUUAAUUAGGAGGCAUGACUAUAGAAUAUUGAGUUCGAUCCAUUAGUUACUCAAUACAUAAAAAAGUGACAAAUAUAAUGGAGUAAAAAAAAGUGUCCAAAUGUCAUAAAUUAUCACAUGAAGUAAAUGUUUAUGUCGCUAAGAACUAGACCGACUUAAAACCGGAACUAGUUUUUCCUAUAUUAUAAGAACCGGGGACUGGACCACCGGUUGUAGUGUCGGUUCCGGUUUCGGUCCCGGUUUUAUUGGUUAUUUUUCAAAUUAUAAUCGAUUGAAAUAUUAUGGAUGAUAUGUUAUCUUCCGGAGUUUAUAAAUGAUUCAAUAUUUAAUCAAAUUAUGACUUUUUACAUUCUAAAUUGAAGUACAAACACUAAAUUACCUGAUGAAAACAAAAUCAAGUAAUUUCGACUUCAUAUGAGUGAGUUAUGUGCAUUAGAUUAGAUUUGCCGGUUCAAAAAAAAAAAGUGCUACGCAUUCCAAAAAAAUGUUGAAACAGAAAAUGACAACAUUGAUAUGCUGUCUUCCAGGGUCUAUAACUGAUUCAAUAUCUAACCAAAACAUGUGUUUUUAUAGUCUACAAUGAUGUACAAACACCAAAUUACAUGCCGGAAGAAAAAUUAAAUAAUUCCGACGUCAUAUGAAUAGGUUAUGCAUAUUUAAAAAAAUGGGACGGAUUCAAAAAAAAUAUUAAAAUAGAAAAAAAACGCGACAUCGAUAUUCUUUCUUUUGAGGCAUGUGUCUUAUUCAAUAUCUAACCAAACCAUAUGUAUAUACAGUCAAAAAUAAUUACAAAGUCCAAAUUACAUGUUGGAAAAAAAUCAACUAACUCCAAUCUCAUAUGAGCGAGUUAAUACUCAUAAAAACAGAAAAAAUGUCAAACCGGUUCCGGUUUUUAGAACCAAAACCAGUUUUCAUAAAAAUGGAGAACCGGUAACCAGACCUUAUUACCAAUUAUGGUUCCGGUUCCGGCGGUUCUAAUGCUCAUCCUUAAUUUUUACUAUCUAGUUUUUAAAAACCAAACAGACCAAUCAUAAUUUUUUUAUUAUAAUUCAUUACAAAUAACACAAUUGCUUUGGUUAUAUAUUAAUAACAAAUUAGUAAAUAAUGAUAAUAAAAAUAUAAUCUUUUAAACCUCUUUUGCUAUAUAAAUAAAAAGUUUCAAUUAAUUUCUUGUACAUAUACUAAAUGAGCCUACAUAAUAUCCUCUGAUUGUGAUGCCGGAAGACAAAUUGAGAUUGUUCUUUUCACUUGAAUAGAACUCUUAUUAGAUUUGCAUACCAUUGUGCACGCAAUUGUACUUUUAUUGUGUGGCUAUCAUGCAUCCAAAUCCAACACACUAUUAUCCAUUUAUCUUUACGUGUAUGUAGUCAAUAUAACCAAAACUACUACUAGAGGUUCGUAGAAUCUAAAAGAUGGCACUGUUUUUUCUGUGUCUUCUUGUGUGUGUUCCUCUCCUAUCUCUCCUUUACCUUCUUUCAAAAAUCAUCAAAAACAGAUCAUGUUCAUAUCCGCCAGGCCCUCAUGGGUUACCCUUCAUUGGAAACUUGCACCAGAUCGAUUACUCAAGCCUCCAUACUUUCCUAUGGCAACUCUCUAAAUCCUACGGCCCAGUCAUAUCUCUUCAAUUCGGUUUCAUUCCAGCUAUCGUUGUUUCUUCUGCGAAUGUAGCGAAAGAAGUCUUGAAAACCCAAGAUAUCAUCUUUUGCAAUAGGCCUUCAUUUGUUGGGUCAAAAAAGUUAAGUUACAAUGGCCUUGAUGUAACUUUUUCUCCCUAUAACGACUAUUGGAGAGAUAUGAGAAAGGUUUAUAUGUUUCAUUUGUUGAGCCCUAAAAAAGUAGAAUCUUUUAGGUAUAUUCGUGAAGACGAGGUCUCAAGUACCAUGAAGAAGAUAUAUGAGCAAGCUCUUUCGUCUAAGAUGGUAAACCUGAGCGAAACUAUGAAGCAUGUGGCCAUUACUUUAGUGACAAGAGUGGGUUUUGGGAAGAGUUAUCAGGAUGAACAUGAAAGAAAAAAUGUCCUUCGACUACUUAAUGAACUUCAAUCGAUAACGGCAGAAUUUUUUGUUUCAGAUCUUUGGCCUGGUCUUCCGUUUGUGGGUUUGGUUGAUAGGUUCUUGGGAAAGAUGGAUCGGGUAGAAAAAUGCUUCAAAAGUCUUGAUUCAUUUUACGAAGAACUCAUUGGUGAACACCUCGACCCUCAAAACCGAAAGUCUAAUGAGGAAGAAGAGGAUAUUGUUGACAUUCUACUCCGCCUUAAGAAAGACAAAGAUUUCAAUUUCACAUACGACCACAUUAAAGGCAUGCUCGUGGUAAUCAUUACUUGCUCAUUUUAUUGGUUGGAUUAGUGGUCAUUUUUUUACAAGAUUUCCACUAACCAUCAACUUUGAUUUUCAUAUGUCCCAUGAAAACUUAUCAUAAUAAAGGUUUGAUAAAUUUUAAUCACAUCGAAAGUUUUUCUAAAACUCUGAAUCCAAUCAAACUUACGGAUUUUAUAUAAC
RNAcentral lists this long non-coding RNA (130899 nucleotides) under Lactuca sativa (garden lettuce). Its description in RNAcentral is "long non-coding RNA (LSAT_LNC004060)". The record is from RNAcentral. Lineage: Eukaryota; Viridiplantae; Streptophyta; Magnoliopsida; Asterales; Asteraceae.